Molecule: long non-coding RNA, 100096 nt
Filed under: Malus domestica (apple)
Lineage: Eukaryota; Viridiplantae; Streptophyta; Magnoliopsida; Rosales; Rosaceae
Description: long non-coding RNA (MDOM_LNC009719)
Source: RNAcentral
UUAAUAUCUUUAUUUUUAGUCCCUAUACUUUUCCAAAUAUUCCACAUUCGAUCUAUAUUCGAAUGGUGCGAAAAAAAUAUUGGAUCCCUUCCAGCGGAGUAAAAAUUCCCCAUGUCUUCAAAUUAGGUUGCGUGUUAUCUCCGGUCCAUAAAUGAACCGGACCAUGUGGGGUCGUUUCGAUUGAACCGCCCCCUGGAUCUGGUUCAGUGCCAGCCCUGUAGGGCGAACCAAAGAACAACAGCGGUUUCUUGGAGUUGGAAACCAUCUGCCUAUACAUAAUUUUGAGGUUGGCUUCGAUUUGAGCAUCGUUGGACAUUGUUUCAUCCGUGCCGUUGAAGUCAAGAUCGAUGAGAGUCGGCGGCUGAUGGCUGGCAGCGCGAAGCUCGUCGUAAAGCGGAGAGUCCGGGUUAGCGAACAAGGCAGGGAGUUGCAUGCCAGCUGGCGCGUCCCAGUUCCAAAACGGCAACGCGAACGUCGGAUCGUCUAUGAGUUUGGCCAAGAUUCUUUCGUGGAAGUAUAGGUAGUAACGAUGGAAGGGGAAGAAAAGCCAGCAUUGAUGGAUUUGGAGCUCGAGGUUGGGGAAGCCGACUUGGUCGUACGCGCCGUCGCAAUAGGCACAGUGGAGAUCGGCUUGCUGGGUGAAGCUACGCGGAUCGUCGUCCGGGAGGGCUUUCAUGAGCUCGAUGGCUUUUGAAUAUUUUUCGAUGUAGGCUUUAUCCACGGUGUGAGCUGCCGGCCUGACGCGGAGUUUGGUAGGGGAGGGGAAUUUGAAGUCUACGAUUUUUUGGGACGUUGGCGGGCAACAGUUGGUCGGGACUGCUCCACUUGGAAAGUCCGCAGCUCCGCAUUUGGCUAGGUCAGGCGGCGACACUGGCUUUGCAACAGCGAAGGGGUCGCUGCCAAGACCAGCCACUCCACCGUAUAGGCUUCCGAGACCUAUAAGUACAUUUCUUCUGUCUAGGUUUACUGGAGAAGGGUUUUCAUGGUCGUGAUCGUUGGAGCUAGUGGAAGGGUUUUUGUUUUGGUCACUACUAUUAUUUGUGGCUUUGCAUGAGACAGCUUGUAAAUUGGAAUGCCUAGGGUUUCCAAAUGAGGAUAUUCGGUGAUACUUUUGGGAGAAAGGGGAGAGGAAAGUUGUGGGGAUGAUACUUGUGGCGGAGGUGACGAGUGGAGCUGACAUAGAAGCCAUGGUUACUUUUGACUCUGAAUAAUACGUUGUAUUGGCUUUGCUUUUAUAAUGUGUUCUAGGUUGUACUUUUCUUUGCACAGGUGGCAGGCCGUACACACGUGGUCGGUCCUUAAGGGUUUGACGAGGAAUACUACGUAGUCAUUUAGUACAGGACAACCAUACACUAUAGCAAGUGGCAUGUAUUUAGAGAUCGAGAGAGAAUUGGGUAAGGUUCACGAGGGAUUUGUAGUUUCAGAAGGUGAAUUGGUUUUGGUCUUCUUGUGUACCAAUAAUAUUUACUUAGUCAUUUAGUGCAGGACAACCAUGCACUAUAGCAAGUGGCAUGUAUUUAGAGAUCGAGAGAGAAUUGGGUAAGGUUCACGAGGGAUUGUAGUUUCAGAAGGUGAAUUGGUUUUGGUCUUCUUGUGUACCAAUAAUAUUUACUUAGUCAUUUAGUGCAGGACAACCAUGCACUAUAGCAAGUGGCAUGUAUUUAGAGAUCGAGAGAGAAUUGGGUAAGGUUCACGAGGGAUUGUAGUUUCAGAAGGUGAAUUGGUUUUGGUCUUCUUGUGUACGGCUGUGGGUCUGCUGUCCCGGACUCUCUGUCUCAUUUGUGUCUUAUUUUUUAUUUUUUCACACGUGUCUUUUACUUAACGUCAAAUCAUGAUAGCAAUGUUAUGCAAUUGGGAGCUAAACGACCGAUGCUUUUAUUUUUUAGUUUGCUUUUUUUCCAGAUCUGAUCAAAUCAUGAUAGCAAUGUUAUGCAAUUUUCAAGAGGGAAAGAUGCACCUGGGAGAGAAACGGUACGGUGACUUCUAAAUCACCGUCCAACAGAACAAUUCUCAGUAGAGACUACUAGAGAGAGAUGCACCUCACCAAUGAAAAAUUUAACUGCAAAAAUUCUGGGUAUUGGGUAAGGAAAUUCGGUGAUACUUUUGGGAGAAAGGGAAGAGAGAAGUUGUGGGGAUGAUACUUCUCGUGGAGGUGACGAGUGGAGCUGACAUAGAAGCCAUGGUUACUUGACUCUGAAUACUACGUUGUAUUGGGUUUGCAUAUAUAUAUAAUUAGGAUUGAAGGAUGUAGAGCUUAUUUUGUUAUGUAUUUUAACGAUUUAAGUGCUUAUCUUUUAGGUUUUCUCUUAAACAUCAUGUCUAUAAAAAAUCACCAAAAUUCAAACCAUAUGACCAUUAGAUCCAUAGUCAUUUUAGUGUUUAUUUGUAAAAUGUAUUCAUUCAUUUUCUUCACUACAAAUGAGUGAAUUAAUGAUUUUAGAAUUUGUCUAAUUUUUUACAUUGAUUAUUUAUGAAUGUUGAAUUGAAAUUUAGACGAUUCAAAAAUAGUUGAUAUGCAUUACAAAAUGAACUCCACAAAAUAAGUGUCAAAAUAUGUAUAAAAAAUGGACAGCGUGAAUGGCUUGGAAAUUGGAAUAGGUUUGAAAAUUGUGCUUUUUGUAGCAAAUUUUAGCAAAGUUUGCUUGGACUUUCACAACCGUAUAAAUUAAAGGGAAACUUGAUAUAACUCCAAUUUUUUGAGCCAAUAGUAGGAAUAGUCCAGUUUAUUAAAAUAAGUUCAAUUCUUUAAAUUUAAUUAUUUAGUUAUCAAUAAUUAUCUCUUAAAAGAAAAAACUUAUUGUAAAAAUCAAAUUUCUUCCUAAUUAUCUCUUUGAUUAUUUCUUUUUAUUUAUUUAUUUGUUAUUUCUUGUUCUUCCUCCUGCUUUAACCCAUUUAUAGAUUUUUUUUUUAAUUUUAUAAUCAACCUAUGUCACAGGUUAAUUGUAUUUAUCUACCUAUAUGACAUAUUCUUUUUCAUAGUCAACAUUUCACAGAUUAAUGUGUCUUGCUUGUAGAUAUAUUAUGUUUUUUUCUACCUUUUAGUUAGGUUUCAUAUCUCACUUAUAGGUAUAAUAUACAUUCAUAUAUUUGCUACUUGAGUUAGGGUAGAAUGUUUUGCAGAUAGAUUUAUGUUAGUAUAUUAAUUUUUUUUUGUUUAUAAGAUAUUAAUUAGAUAUUUUGGAGUUGAAAAAUGCAUAAUAUUAAAAGCUUUUAAUUGAUUUUUAAUAUUUUUAGAAAAUAUAAAAGGAGUAUAAAAGAAAUCAAAACAUAUAAUUAGAUAACGGGAGUCACUCCUAAAAACACUCUAUGUUUUUUGACCUGGAUCUUAAAGCCCCUAAAUUAAACUGUUCGCUUUGUUGGGAAAAAGAAGUGGCCCUAGUUUCCCUUUGAUUUUUCAAGCACGGUGGGAGACUGGUCAUAGUUUCUAGAUUGAUGCUCUAAUUCUAAUGUUAUACAACGCGUACGCUAUAAUAUUUUUAUCAAAAUAUUAGUUUUAGUGUUAUCAAAACAAUAUGUUAUUCUUACCAUGUUUUUGUAUCACAAUUAUAUACCACCUUAGAUGGUAUCUGAUGUGGACAGCCACAUCAUUUAAAUUAAUAAGCAUUUAAUUUCAAAAUGUUAAUCAAUAAUUAAUAAAAAGAUUGUUAAUUAAAUGAUGAUUGUGGUAUACAAGGAGUCUCCUUCUUCCUUCCUCUUUCCAUUCUGCUUUUUCUUCUUACCUCUUUUUUUUUUUUAAUGCCAGUUUUGUAUUGAUUUCUGUUGAUUUCCAUGAUUAUGGUCAAUCUUUAUAGAAUUUACUAGUAUGCCACAAUCACCAUUGAUUUCUAUCUCCAGACUCAUGCCCCGUAGCCCUAAUCCUCAUUCCCCUUCAAGUAUUUCUGUCUCCAAUCUUCUUUGGUACUCCAUGAUUGUUCAUCUCGUGAUAUUUUUUUUUUUGAUUAUUUCAUUAAGUAACGCUUAUUAGCUUUCAUGCGAAUUAGGAGUCAAAAUCAAAUUUGUCUAUCGGAUUAGGGUUCAUACCCAAUUAAGUUACUAACGCCAGAGGGAUUUUGAAGUAUGCAAUUUUCCUUAUUUAAGUGUUUUAAUUAAUAAGAAAAUUGAAAUUAAACAAUUUAGCUUGUCCAACUCAUCUGCCACCUAAGAUGGUAAAUAAAUGUGGUAUAAAAUUGUGGUAAGAAUAUCAUUACUCUUAUCGAAAUUACAAAAAAAAAAAAAAAAGCUGAUUCAAUAUUUAGUUAUUAAAAAAAAAAUGAUCAAGUAACUAUCCAAUACCCAUGUAUUGGGUGCUUUGUUUGAAAAUUUUCAAAAUGAUAUUGGGCUCGUUUGGAUAUGUUUUUAAAAUGACUGAAAGCAUUUUUAGAGAAAAUAUUUUUUUGAUUCCAAAAGCACUUAAAGUGCUUUCUGCAAGAAGCACCCGUUAUGUGCUUCUUCCUGGAAGCACUUUAAGUGUUUUUCCAGCAUUUACUUGCUUUUUUACUAAGGACUGGUUCCAAAAACAUUUUCACAAAAAGUGUUUUCAGUCAUUUUAAAAGCACAUUCAAACGAGCUCAUUGUUUUUCCUAUUUUAAUCGAGUGCGUCGUCCUCUGUUGAGAAUGAAUCUCAUAUUAUGGGAGGAGGGAUCUUGCAUGAAUGGGAGGAGGGACCUUGCAUGAGCUUAUAAGUAAGUUGGGUUACUCUCCAUAUUGCCAAAAGAAAUUUUAUUUGGACCCAGUUUUCCUCUCUCUAAACCCAACUUUAAUAUUUUGUUACCUAUAAACUCUCUAGUUUACCCUCAUAAAUUAUAAACAUAAAUAAACUAGAAAAAGAAAAACUCAUCAAACCCAUUUCCCAACUGUUCUGGCGUCUCUUCCCUGUAUUUGUUGGGUCUGUCUCCCUCCCGACUGUUUUUUUUUUUCUGAUAUCUCUGUGUGUUCCCCCACCUCUCCCACACCCACCAAUUCUUUGUGGUGGCUAUUCCACCAAACGUCCAGUGAAUCUUUCCAUUUUUCUUCUAUUGCGCGUGAUAGGGCCUUGCUAUUAAUAGGCAAAACUAAGCGGCAUCGUCGACUCCGUAAGCGACUUGUUGCAUAAGUCCAAAAUGGAGUCAAAUGGAUUUUGUAUUGGGUCGGGUUGUUGAAGGCGAUGGCUGAUUUAGCAAUCCCGCCUAACUAUUUCUAUAUGUAGGAGAAGGAAGAGGGAGGGAGGUCUGAAGUGGUGGUUGAGUGGUGGCGAUGUAUGUGGGUUCUCUCUCGGUUGAAUGGGUGUAGAAAGAUAUUUAAUUUUCAAUAUCUUAUUUUAUUUUGUAUAAGGGAUAAUAUAGGAAUUACAUAAAAAGUUUUUUUUAUAGCUAGGUGUAGAAAUAGUAUUGUUGGGUCUAAAUAAAAUUACCCUAUUGCCAAUUAGUUUUAUGGUGAAAUCUUAACUUUGUUCAUGCUUUCAUAGUAGGUUGUUCCACGUGUGAAGUCAAACAUCCACACGCGCUGCACGUCACCCCGUUGUGUUGUUCACGUGUUAAGCUUGAAAAUUCAUCACACAUGAGGGAGCGUGUUGAGAAUAAAUUCCACAGUUUAUAAGUAAGUUGUACUACUCCGUAUAUUACCAAUUAAUUUUGUGGAAUUCCGUCAAAGCUGAAUUUGACGGAAAAAAAUAACUUCAUGUUUGUUCUUAACUAUAAAGUCAGUGAUACACUAAUUCUGGUUUGUUUGUUUUUUCCUUCCUUCUUAAGGAAAUUCCCAAUCCAACCAAAAAAAUGAAAUUCCCAAGAGAAUAGUAGCACGAACAAUCGUAGCUUUCUUCUUCGAUAAGCCUUGGGGAAACAGAAAAGGGAAAACCGGACUUUAACCCUAAUUUCUCCCAAUGCCGCAGCACUCUCUAUUUUCUCUCUCGCUCUAUAUCGCGGUCCCUCUCUCUCGCCGUCCUCUAUUGCUCAAACUCAAUGUCUCCAACUUCCUCUGUAUGGUUCCCGAGGAAGAUGGUAAAACAGUAAGGGCAAGAAAUUGUGACAAGGUUAGAUUUGGGUAUUAAUCUGGUGGGGCUACAAUUCUCCAAUCCACACCCCUUUCAUCUGUGCUAGUGUUUGAACCCAAUAUUAGAUAACCGGUCCAUGCAAUCGAUGCCGUUGAAUGAGAAAAAUUCUAGGCCGUGGGAUCAAAUAUAAUGAUGUGGAUUAAAUAAGGAAAAUUUAAAGAGUAAUGAUAUUCAUACCAUGUUUUUGUACCACAUUUUCAUACCACCUUAGGUGGCAUUUGAUGUGGAUAGCCACAUCAUUUGAAUUAAUCAGAUUUUAAAAUUUAGUUGAUUAUUUAAUAAACUAAUAAUUAAGAAAAACUAAUUAAUUAAAUGAUGAUUGUGAUAUACGAGGAGUCUUUCUCGUUCAUUUCUUUGGGUUUUGCAAAUUUUUCAAAUGAUGUGGCUGUCUACAUCGGAUGCCACCUAAGGUGGUAUAGAAAUAUGGUAUAAAAAUAUGGUAUGAAUAUCAUUACUCAAAUUUAAAUGUUUAUCUUGGUUAAAUUACCAUGAUAAUAUUGUGGAAUUAUCUUUUGCAUAACGGAAGAGCGAGAAAAGUCCAAGGGUGUAGGGAAGUUGUGUGGUUGACUACCGCUAUUUUGAUGGUAUAAUCUGUAGAGUAAUAUUACAUUUAACAUCUAUUUGUAUCAUAUUUCUAAUAAAGAUAAGGACCAUCAAUGCAUAAAUAAUUAAACAAAUAUAUAAUAAGAGUAUCAUUUUUGUAACUAGAAUAGGAGAAGAAAGACUUCAAGAUGGGAUCAGCCAAAUAAUUAGCGUUAAGAUAAAAAUAUUGAAAGGAAAACUAAUGAAAAUGGCUUGAAAACUUUGAGUUUUAACGAUAAGGACAAGAUAAAGGGUAAAGUGAAUAGUACCAGGAUUGACUUUUUAAUGUAAAAAUAUAGUUUUUCGUUAAAGUGAACAUUACCGGGAACUUUUCGUUAAAGUUUCCAAUGAGAUAAUAUUGCAACAGCUGGCAUGAGACAAUGAUGGUAUAAAGAUGGCUACUACGGCCAAACUACUACAUAGGAUUCCAUACAUGCGGUCAUUAUUUCGACAAAUCAAUGGCUGCCGCAAUCAUGUGCUCAUUAUUCCGACAAAUCAGUAGCUACUUGCAUUGGAUUAGGAUUGCAUGCGUGUGGUCAUUGAAUGAGGAUUGCGUGCACGUGAUCUUUAUUCAAACAAAUCACUAUUGACCAUAUAUUGCAAUUGGUUAAUGGUAGGCAAAUUGAAUUUUUACAUCAAAUAAUGUGAUUGCUGAUAAUUGAAUUAUUAUUUAAAUGUUGAUUAAUAUGCUUAUUUUUUAUUUGUGAUAUAUCAUUUAAUUUGUACAUUUAGUUUACCUAACAUUACCAACUGUAAUUUGUAUAAAUGGACUGGUACCUAACAUAACCAGUUGUAAUUUGUAUAAAUGGGACUGUAAUUUGUAUAAAUGGACUGGUGCCUAACAUUACCAGUUGUAAUUUGUAUAAAUUUACUGGUCCCAAGAGCACAUGCUACUGCUCAAGAAGCAAAGUUCUUAUUUGCCCAAAAAAAAUCAUGGUUUUUUAAUUGAUGCUCUCAUUUUAAUUUACUAGCCCCUUACUUGGCCUUUUUUAUUUAUCAUUUUAUACAUAUUAAUAUUUUUUUGUAAAAUAUAUUAGUUUGAGUUUUAUUAAAAUUAAAAAUAAAUAAAAAAACUUAGUUUUAGUUUUAUCAAAUUAAAAAAAAAUGACUUAAUAUUUAGUUAUUGAAAUUGUAAAAAAGUGAUCAAGUAUUGGGUGCUUUGUUUGAAAUUUUUCAAAAUGAUAUUGUUUUUACCAUUGAAACCCUGUUAUAUACAGUGAUGGCUAAUUUGUCAAGUUCUACGAAGUUGGGAUACCCAGCGUUUUAGCAUAUAACAUAGCUUAGUAUUACAAGCAUAAUUAAUUAAAAUAAAGGCAAAAUAAGAGGAUAGCUUAGUAUUACAAGCAUAAUUAAUUAAAAUAAAGGCAAAUUGUAACAGCCCGUCCCUAAAAAUGACGAUUUUAUAAUCUUAACACGUGAGUUUAUGAAGAUGCCCUUCGAGGCAAAGUGUUGACUACCGCGUCGUGUCAUGUGAGACUCAUCUUCUUGGCGUAUUCUCGUUUUACUCGUCGCUACGGAUGCGUGGGCGCAAACGACACGUGAUUUGGAGCUAUAACAAAAGAGUUAUUAACAUUUAAAGUUAAGGACAUUUUAGUAAAUUAAUUAAUUUCAGAUUUUGUUGAGGGGAAAAUCUGGAGUGCCAUGUGGGUGGCCCAGAUUAAAGGAAAUGAGGAAUGGAUGGUGGAGGUGUAAAGGAAAGAAGAUAAAAGAAAAAUGAGAGGAAAUGUGUGACUAAUAGGGAGAUGAGAGAGUUAGGAUGGCCCAAUUAGAAACAAACGAAAGGAGGAAAAAGGAGAGAAGAGGGGAGCAGGGGAUCCCUUCAACCCGGUUCCACUUUCCGACCCGACCCGAUCCUUUUCAUCUUUUCCGGUGGUUUUUCGUCAGUUUUUCCGGCGAACCACGUUAUCUAACCCCGUUGAAAAUGUUCCACGACCUUCCCUCUACCAUUACAACCCAAAAUUGUAGAAAUUUAGCCAUGAAAGUAUGAAAACCGCACCGGUGGGUGCGGGAAACCUUUGUCGUCGAUUCUCCCAUUAUUGAAACGAUUUUCACCAAUUAUCACCACCUACAGCAUCCUCUUGAGGUCUGGAAUAAAGCCCAAACAAGUUUUGGGGCGUUGGAGUUCGUUUAAGGUCGAAUUGAGCACACCCAAAUUCAAGGGUUCCGUACCGUUCAUGGUGAUUUGAGGUGUUUCUCGGCCAAAUUGGCCUUAGUCACAAGUAUGAAAGUUGCUCCACUCGUUGAGAUCUUCAUUUAUGUGAAAUUUGAGAAUUUUUUGAAAUAUUUGGAUUUUCCAGCGAGUCGGGGUGGCGGACCGCCACCGGCAGCAGCGCAUGGCCAGUGGUCCACCAAUGUCAUUUUACGUUAAAUUGAUAUCUUGAUUUUAGAUUUGAUGUCUAUAUGUUAUGACUUGAUUAUGUGAACCUAGUUUGAUUAAGGUGCGUUAAUUGGUAAAAAUAUGAAACGACGAUCCGACCGUGGGAUCGUCACCAAACUUUAAUAUGUUAUAGUACAUAAUAUUUGAGAAUCAUAGGGACUGACAGAUAGGAAAUCCGAGAUACAGAUCUUCCCGAAAUGGAAUUGUAAGUUUGAAGAAUAAACGUUAACCGCCACUUUGUUUUGACUAUUGGUGGAGAUCCAACCGUUGGAUCAUAAUGAAAUUUUAGGAUGAUGUUUUAGAAGCAUAAUGUGGAUCUUUGGAAGUUACUGAUCGGAAAUCCGAGGAGUGAAUCUUCCGAAUUGAAUUACGUAGGGUUGUGGACCUUACCGUCGAUCGUUGACCGAUGAUCGACUUUUGGUCAAUGGGGCUUAAAUCAAUCUAAAACGUUUUUAGGGAUGUGUUUUACGUAAAUUACAUGAUCUAUUGAUAAGAAUUAUGAGAUGUGGUUUGAUAAUUGUCCUAGGUGCCGAUCGUUAGGAACGCUUCGAUGGUUAUGCUAGGAAAUUGUAGCACAGACUCCUUGUGAGUGAAUCUUUUCCUUCUUAUCAUAUAUAUAUAUAUAUAUAUAUAUAUAUAUAUAUGAUUGACAAUUCCACAAACGUUUAUAAAUUGAUUAUUGCAUAUAACUACUGUGAAUACUUUGAAGUACUUAUGCGAACUACGAAUGGCUUGAUCCGUGUUUAGGGUACGUAGGCAGUCUAACAAGACGUUAGAUGUAGUCAUACAAUAAUUGAGAUUAAACAAUUGAGAUAAAGCCUUGUUUGGGGAACUGGGCAAGGUGAAGGAAUUUGGUAAAAAGGUGAGAUUUAACCUUAUGAAUUGGUGAUUAAAUGUUGGUCAUAAAUCAAUGUGUAAAGAAUCAAGAAUUUGAAGUAAGGAAACGUAAGUAAUGAUAAUUAAUUAAACUAGUGUCUAGUUGGGCUUGUCACCUAUAAUUAUCCCCGAAAAUGAAUAAUUCGGGAGUAGGGCGUUACAGCUUCUGCAUUUUUAUGCCACAUUAUAUAUAUAUAUAUAAUUGGAAAUGCUAUAACAUGGUUGAGUAUCAGAUUUCAUCAUGGUUUAUCUAUAUGUAUAUUACCUGCACACAAUUAUUAUGAACGCGUUGAAGUGCAAAGGUGAAUGCACGACACCCAGGUAAGUUCAGGUGAGUUUAUGGUAUUAGUUGAAAUGAUGGGGUUAUGGUAUGACUACAUGUAUGUUUAGGUUGCAAUGAUAGGCAACUCCAACACUGUCGUACAGGUUGCCCAUGAAUUGUACAUGUUACAAUAGAUACAGUUAGAGCUCAUAAACCUACACCCCGGUGUUAGUACUCCCGCUCGUGGCCAGGGCACAGUCCUUCACGUGAUGUUCACCUCCCGCACCUUACGCUCACCUUGGAUCCAAGGUAGGUGCACAAUCAUGUCGUACCACUAUAGGUGGUUCCGACUCGUAGAUGACCCGCGAUUAUUUGCACAGUCUUCACGUGAUUGUAGCACUUGAGCGUAUUUAUUUACACCCAGUUCUAUUGUACAGACCACUUUAGGUGGUUCCGACUCGUAUGCAGGUAUACUUAUUAAGCUAUGGAUAAGUCGUACAGGUCACUAGAAGUGACUCCGACUUAUGAGCUAGCAUAUGUGAUGAGCUAGCAUAUGUGAUGAGAUAAGUGAUGAGUUAGUAUAUGUAAUGAGAUAUGUGAUGAGCUAGCAUAUGUGAUGAGAUAUGUGAUGAGCUAGCAUAUGUGAUGAGAUAUGUGAUGAGCUAGCAUAUGUGAUGAGUUAGCAUAUGUGAUGAGCUAGCAUAUGUGAUGAGAUAUGGGUAAGUCGUACAUGUCACUAUAGGUGACUUCGACUUGCGUGCUAGUAUGGGUUAUUAAUCACAUGAUUAUUGAUAUUACUGAUGAGAUGCUGUGUUGUGGUAUAUUUAUGAUCUUUCUGGAAACUAUGCAAGUGUUGUAACGAGGGGUUAUAAUGAGGUGUUGUAACGAGGGGUUAUAAUGUUUUAUAUGGUUUCUGUUAAAAUUUUAUUUCUAGGGUCACUCACCCUUAUUUUGUUUUCACCCUCUAGGUUUUAUUAGCUGAGCUUUCUUAUCGUCGAAGAUUCGUGGCGAUUCUUAGUAUUGGAGAUUAUUUCGAGAGUACGAUUCUUAAUUCACUUUACUGUACUUGCUUAAGCUGUAACGUCACGUGUGAAGUGGGUUCAUUUCCGCUUACCAGCGCAUUCUGGUAUUUAGGCACUCUUAGGUUUAAAUUUAUUCACAUUUUUCCACAUCAUCAAACUUUAUGGCUUUGUCACUCUUUAGGUGUCGGCCAGCACAGCUCGAUUUGGAGUCCUAGUGGACAUUCCGGGUCGGGGUGUGUCACAAAUGAAGAGGAUGGUUGAACUUGUUAAGUUUCUUAAGUGUGUCUACUUGAAGUGUGUUGCUAAUAAAUAUUUUGUUGUAGGCAUAAUUUACUGAACAAUUAUGGAGGCAGAGAGAGAGAGAGGGAAUAUGCGGCAUAGAGAGAGAAGAGAGAGAUGUGUAAUUGUGAGGUGUGUUCUAUUCCACCCCAUUGUACCUUUAUUAUAUUAGUAGGGAAAGUUAAUUCCUUACCCUUUUAGGAUUACAACUCUAAUAGGAAAAUAUCUAGUCUAAGAGAUAUGAUAGAAUCUCAUAAGGAUAUCCUAGAUAUGUUAGGAUUUACACAAUCAUAUUCCUAUUCCAAUAAGACUGCAACACAUUUGUAUUUUUUUAGAAUUUUUUUGAUAAUUUGUUGGUAUUCUCAAUUUUUGUUAACAUUGAAAAUAUAACGGUUCAGAUGAAAAACCUUUGGAAAUCCAACAGCUUGCAAGACGUUGGGCUGUGCUGAAGGAAGCUGGGCUGUCACGUGGAUGGGGCCCUCCCUCUCCCUCUUGUUGAUUCAAAGGGCGCAGGCCCGUGCAACAAUUGGCGAGGCAGCCCAUAGAGAUCCUGCGAUUCACCCAUUCGCCAUUUUUUCCACCGCUGGAGCACCAAAAUUCGGUCAAAAGGCAGGGGUAUCAAUGGCAAGGGCAAUUUGGCUUCCGCUGGAGGUGCUCUUUGUCGACUUUGUUUUUUCUCUCAUUUUAGCUUUUGCAGUAAUAUUGAAGUAAUCACUCCAAUUUUAUCCAAACUUUUGUUGUCCGUCAAUUUUUAUCAAAACUAUUGGUUAAUUUACAUAUUCAGACUAACCUUCUCAUUAUUUUUAGUAUUUUUAUCAUAAAUAAUAUCUGAAAUAGUCACAUUUUAUUCAACAACCACUCAAUUAAAAAUUAAUUAGUGUUGUUUCUAAACCAUUACAUCAAGCUUUUGUAGAUACACAUCAAUAUUGCAGCGAUCCGAGGCAUUGUUUUAGUGACGGUAGUACUUUCUACUCCUUGGAUUUGGUGAAUCGGAAAAGAGAAGAGUUACGAGUAAAAGUCCCUCGCAUUGUUUUGGGGAGAUGAAGAUGAUGAUCUUUUGUUUUUGUUUUUUAAUGAUUAAUCCACGCAGCAACAUAUAAUUAAAUUGUUGGGAUCUACUCAAGUUCCAUAUCACACACUAACAUAAAAUUUGACAAACGAAACGAAAUAUGUGUGUAGACAUCGAAAUUUCGUAAAUAAAUGUUGACCGAUAAAUCAAAGUGUCAACGCUCAUGUAUUACAUAAAUUUUACACGUAGCGUGUGACUCAACGAAAAUUGAAAUGAGUUGGAAAAGUCAUCAAAUAGGACACGUGUCAACACCUGGCAGAAACGACUUAUUUCAUCUGGGAUAUUAUAUUCAAAAUUAGCCAUUGGAAAAUUCUAUAAAUACAAGCCCAUUUCAUUCAUUUAAGGAGAGGAAUUCAUAUUACACCUUGAAGCUCUGAAGCUCUGAAACUCCGAAGCUCUCAAGCAUCCAGGUUCCCGAAGAAUCAAGAAAGUGUUCUUCGUUCUUCGUUCAUCGUUCUUCCAAGAUCAAGCCUCGACGGCCCUUGGAUCAACAAUCAUCCACCUUCAAGAUCAAGCCCCGACGGCCCUUGAAGAAAGCGUUCUUCGUUCUUCGUUCAUCGUUCUUCCAAGAUCAAGCCCCGACGGCCCUCGGAUCAACAAUCAUCCACCUUCAAGAUCAAGCCCCAAAGGCCCUUGAAGAACUUCCACCAAUUCAAGAUCAAGCCCCGACGGCCCUUGAAGAAAGCACCAUCGUUCAUCAUCCGUUCAUCCAAGAUCAAGCCCCAACGGCCCUUUAGAUCAACAACGUCGACAAAUCCACACAUCCAACCGUUCUUCAAGAUCAAGCCCAAAAGCCCUUGAAGAUCCGUUCAUCACUGUUCUUCAAGAUCAAGCCCAAAAGCCCUUGGAGAUCCGUUCAUCACUAUUCUUCAAAGAUCAAGCCCAAAAGCCCCUUUGAAGAUCCGCUCAAAUCCACCUUCAAGAUCAAGUCCACGGCCCUUGAAGAACGUUCAUCCUUAGAUCAAGCCCAACGCCCCUUUGGAUCAAUCGCACAUCCACAAAUCAACACCUUACGGAGAUCGAAUCAGAGGAUCAAAAUAGAGAGAGAUUGUAACCCAAAAUCAUCAAAUACAAAUAUUUGUUUGUGCGCGUUGUUCUUGUCUCUUUCGUUUCAGGAAUUUUCCGUGUUCACAAUGUGCUCUUGAAAUCAAAAUGAGGGCACUGCUCCAAGAACAAGAAGGGCACCUUGUCGAGGUCGCCAUCCGCCGUGAGGGAAAACCGGAAGAAGUUGGACAACAAUGAUAACAUCAAUUUGCGGCACCCAUAUCGGGACAUCACACUGUGAAAUAAAUAUUGAAAUAAAUACUCAAAACUCCUGGAAAGUCCUCGAGACAACAAACUUUCAUCUCCUUCAAACAUUUCAUUUUACUAAGUUUUAUCUUUGAAGGGAGGGAAAAAAAGAGAAGAGAGAAUCCUACUCCUUAUUCCUGAAUAUAUUCAAGAAUAGCUAUUGAAUAAAGAGAGAAUGGAGGGUGAUCGAAAGAGGAGGGAAGAGAAUUCUAGUUCCAAACAUAAAAAGGACCACAACUUUUAAAUUAUCAGCACAAUCAUCACCUAAUUGAAGAGACCAUUCACUGUGAAACAUAUUGUCAAUCAGUCUAUCUAUAUCUAUUUAUAUACCAUAUUUUUAGAGUAAGAUUCUCUCACCUCCUAUUACCAUCCCCUUCCAUCCUUUCAUCUCAUACUCUUUUUUUGUUGUCUUAUUCUCUAUAUAAAAAAAUUCAAAACAAGAUGUAUACGUGACGUAAUCGUAACCGUUUAAAUAAGAGGGGAUAGAAGAGAAGAGAGAUUAGGAGAAGGGAGAAUCCUACUCCCACAUUUUUCUUCUUCAUAAACAAAAGAGAGGUUCUAGAUUACUUGACUCUAUGCCUCAUUUUUUUCAUCAAGUAUUUGUGAUAAGUGGGUUCAUUUUCAAGUAUUUUAGUUUUUUUGUCAAAAUUGAGAAAACUGAAAAUCAAACAUUAAUAUGAAAAAUUAAAAAAUCAACAUAUAAUUAUUUAGAAAUCGCAAUAGAAAAGAAAAAAAAUGGAGGUUUGUGAUGAAAAAUCUUUUAUACUAAGUAAUUUAGUAUCCUUAUGCAUGAAGAUAAAUCAAUUUGUUCGUUACGGUCAUACUCUUUUUUGAAUUUUUGAACACAUUCUCCAUAGGGCCUUCUUAUAUGUUCCUUCUCCAAGCUCGGGUUAUGGAAGAAGUAAAAGAAGGAAUCGAAAAGAAAGUAUUGGUAACAACCGAUUUCAUUACGAGACAACUCUUGAUAUUCAUAUCAAUCUAUUAUGUACCUUUGCAUCUAGCAUUAGACAAUAAUUGUCAUAGCUUUACCAUAUUUUUUUGUUUCAUUUCUUCUGAAACAAUCUCACACACUUUUUUAUUAUGUGUCUACUACUAGGAAUUCAAUACGUAAUCUUAGCAUUCAAUAGUUAUUCCUAAAUAAUUUCAAUUUUCAAAUGAUCAACCAUUUCAUUUUACCAAGUUCAAUCAAUGUUAGUCAGAUUAGUCAACAUUUAUAUAUUUUGAUGCAACAACAAGAUGUUAUUUGUAACAAGUGAUUUUGUUAGUUGGUUAAUUGGUCACAAGUUAAUGUUCGGUUCAGUUUAGUUUUUCUCUCGAUUUUUUGUGAUUCGGUUUUUUCAAUUCUCUUUAGGGUCGGUUCGGUUUUGUUUUUUUAUUUAUACUUGAAUUUUAUUUUAAUUUAUUUUAAUUUAUUUUAUUUUAAAUCUGGAAACACCAAGAACAACACAAGCACAUAGUCAAUCAAACAACUAUCCUUCUCCACAAAUCAUAGUAAUAAUUACAUUCAUUGAGCUGAAAUGCAAAUAACUAACAAACUCACAAAAAUCAAAUAAAAACUACAAAUUGCUUACUCUUUUUCUUUGGGUUUCACUCGAAAAGUGUCGGUAAAAUUUAGGGUUUGCAAGAACGCAACUGAAAUCUAAAACGGAGGCCUUGUGGCCUAUGGGUUGCUAUUGAGUUCCAGUACAGAGAACCUUGCUUAAUCUCGAUCACGGUACAAAGUAUCGAGUACCUUUAGCACUGUAUUUUGGUAUGAUUGGUAGAACCAAAUUAAAAGCUAACAUCAACAACAACUACCAGAGACAAAAGCUCUUAUCAAUGCUUUGGAAACAUUUAUGUAUCUCCAAGUGUAAUGAUAUAAUUGGUUGGAAACUUGUGAUUUCGUAUCAAAUCAAUAAAAAGUUACAAUAUUGACAAUAUAUUAGCAAUUUUUAUGUUAAUUAUGAACAAGUCAAUCAUGUAGAACCAAAUUAAAAGCUAACAUCAACAACAACUACCAUAGACAAAAGCUCUAAUCAAUGCUUAGGAAACACAGUCCUGUAUCUCUAGGUGUAUUGAUAUAAUUGGUUGGAAAUUUAAAAGAAAAAUGGUGAUUUUGUAUAAAAUUGAUAAAAAGUUACAAUAUUGACAAUAUAUUUGACACACCCCGACCAAGAUCAAGGCAUGCUGGCCGUCACAUGAGAGUGACGUAACCAUGUGCACAGUGCGGAAGCAAUAAUGAUAAGAAAUAUAUGAAUAAUUAAAAACCGAAUCUACUAGAGUGCACUACUAAACAGGAAGUAUUAGGAGUAAGAUACAAAAGUAAAUACUCCUAAUCAGAGCAUAGAAAGUCUAGGUGCAAUCCAGUAGGACAAGUACUAAUUAUACAGUAUAAAAUGUCUUACAAUUAUUUAGAUAGGUCAGAACCGCCGAAGUCCUCACACCCAACAACUGCAAACUUACUUAAAACCUGAAGGGGCGCAAAAUAGAAAACGUGAGUGGGAAAAAACAAAUGUUUUACAAAACCAUUUCAUUUAUCAAUAUAUCUAACCCCUCGCUGUAAACAUGUAUAAUUUUUCCCAGAAUCAAGAUAUAAGCAUAUACAUAAAUAUAUAUAUAAAUAUAUCAAUUCAAAUCAUGCUUCACAUAAUCAUAUUCAUAUGUAUGUCAUGCCAAGAUAUAACAGAGUAAGCAACUCAGGUAAGAGUAAUUUCAUAGAAAUAUAACAUGUUAGCCGGAACCCCUGUAGUAGUCUGUACGGCUGAAUUCAUAGCUCAAAAGUCAAUCUAGCCGAAGUCACUACAAUGACCUAUACGGCAAUAUACUGCACAAGAGUCGGAACCAAAUGAAAAGAUCUGUACGACAAUAAUGGGUGUUGUUGAUGCACAAAAUCAGUGAGGACUUUGGUACAACAGAAAGUGUUAAGUUUGUGACAUUCUCUAGAUUACUCCGAUCACUAGUGUGGAUAAGUAUGUAAAUGGAUAAAGACAGGGAAGCAAACACAAGAUGUACGUGGUUCACCCAGAUUGGCUACGUCCAUGGAGUAAAUGAGUUCUUAUUAAUUGUGAAGGGUUUACACAAGUAUAUAGGUUCAAGCUCUCCUUUAGUGAGUACUAGUGAAUGAUUUAGUACAAAUGACAUUAGGAAAUAUUGUGAGAGAAUGAUCUCUAUUUAUAGAAGAGAGUUUCUAGUUUCAUUCUGACAUUGACACGUGUCAUGUUGUGAUUGGCUUCUGAUGUUGACAUGUGUUGCACUAUGAUUGGCUUUAGAUGUCAACAUGUGUCGCGUUGUGAUUGGCCUCCUGGUUUGAGGGAAACUCUUCUGGCUCCUUGACGGUAUAACGUUGAUCGAUGCUCAGUAGUUUCGGGAUUGGUCAAGUAUGGUACAAACAGGUGUAAUAUAAUCAUACUCAAUACUACUCUCACAUAAUAGCUGGGUGAUAAAUCGCUAGUCACCUAUGAGUCAGAACGAUAAUAAAGGUCUGUACGAAGACUGUGCACCUAAAUUGGAUCCAAUAUGACCAUAUGGUGCGGGAUGUGACAUUAUAUACAGGCUUGUGCCAUCACUGGCGGAGCUACACCCACGGCUACAGUAGGCUGUAGCCUAGGGAGGAUUUUAACAAACUGCUGGUAUAAUAGUUUAUAUAUGAGUUUGUUGUUGCUUAUUGUAUGUAUAAUAGCCCACAUAAAUCCUGCCAAAAUUAUUAGUUAAUGUGUUUCUUAAUUUAUAAAUAAUACUUUUAUUACCUUUUAUUAUUUUAUUAUUUUUAGGCUAAAAGUAAAAAUGGUAAAUUAAUACAUAAUUAGGUUUCUCCUAUUCCCCAUGCUUUUUACCUAUUCGUUCAAAACAAAAAAAUUAAACCCUCUACCCUAAGAAAAGAAAAACUAUGAAUCACCAUCAAAUUAUUUUCUAAUGAAAUUCAACACUAGAUAUGCUCUUCAUGUCUUCAUUUAACCUAUUUCUUGAUUCAAUUGUUCAUUCCAUAUAUCUACAGCACGACUUGAAUUGGUAUCCCCUAACCUUUUUUCUUUUGGGUACUUGUUAUCAACAAAAGUGAUAAUAUUUGUUCUCUUUCUAUUGCUUUUUUGUAUGCAUGUUUUAUUUGUGUAAAAAUUAGUUGGAAAGUAAUUAAUAAACUUGUUUGGAUUAUUAGUACUUCAUGUUCCUACUUUUAUGUAGAUUACUAUAUAAUUUUAUGUAGGCAAAAAAAAAAUUCAUAAGAUUAUAUGCUAAUGAUUUUAGUUAGCCCACCCAAGAAAAAUUUUCUGGCUCCGCUAUUAUGUGCCAUAACUCUGGCAAAAUCACAAUCACCCUAAGUGCAGUUUUAUGAGUUCAACGUUAUUCUAUCACAUAUCACAUCAUCGAUAAUUCACAUAACCAAACAUAACUCACAUGAGCUUACCUGAGCGUCCACAGUACCAUAAUUAUAUAUAAUGCAUCAUAUACGAAAUAUAAAUUCAUAUGCAUGGCAUUUAAGGUAUACUUUCAUUUAAACACAUAUUUCUGGGAAAAUAUCAAGUAUAUAAAUAUAUACUGAAAACCAAAAGCCCACUCAUUGGUAUGUCGAAGGGUCGUAGCCCCCGAGUCGCCUUUGAAUACUCUCGUCCUCGUGAUAAGUCUCACCUAUAUGCGAAUUAACUAUAAAAACGUUAUUUUAGAGCACAUACAAAAAAUUAGCUAAUAACUCUCAUACAAUGCUCAAUUUUUGUAUUUGAAUAUAUCACAGUGACCUACACAACCUCAAGAUCAUCCCUAAAUUUUUACAAUAUUUUUCUGACCCCUCACGCGCUGCCACGCACCGGCAAGGGCAACGCCUUACUCGCCCCCACGCGCGGCCACGUGACAAGCAUACUGAUGGCGUCAAUCAACAUCAUCAGGAAUAUUCUAGGGAAUAUUCUGUUAAAACCCAAUGGUAACUGUUAAAGAUGACUGACGGCAUGAGCAUAUUCUGUCAACCUUGACGGAAUAUACUCCUUUCUUCUCCGAUGAGUCGUCGGUCGCCGGCGACUUCGCCGAUUUCUUGGUAAAACUUUAAAUCGCUUAUUCUUCUUCGUUUCUUCGCCAUUUUUCAUGAAAUUGGUACCAAAAUGAAGCUAAUAACAUGUAGAAUCACUUUGUAUAAGUUUCAAGGCUUAAAAUCUACUAGUUUUUCCCUGAGAAAGCUCGAUAGUUCGGCUUACCUAGAUAUGCGUCGAUCUCAGCCCUCCGACGUCCAAUUCCUUCCAACGAAGUACCCCAAGACUCGUGAGGACCUCCUUAAGCUUCCUAUAAGCUUCAAAUUCCCUGAAACACAAGAUUUUACGUAUGCAUGAACAAUGCACAAAGUCGGAGCUAGGGUUUCCACGUGAAAUCGAAGGUUUCCUUACCUGAAAAUGGUUCCUUUGAAUUCGUAUGGUUCUCACGAACACAAUGGUGAUCUUAAAACCUUCGAUCUACAAGGUUUAAGAGGGUUUCUGGGUUGGUCCGUACGAAGAAGGGAGAGAGAGAAUGAGAAUCUGCGAGAGAGAGGGCACGGGAAGGAAAGAGAAAUAAGAUAGGUGUGUGUAUGGUCCAAAAGCCACCAAUCAAAACUAAGAAAAGUCUUAGUUGUAAUUGGGUCACCAAUCUAAAACAAUUUAACCCAAUAAUAACUUACACACAUCAUUUAACAUCCGAGGGUAAUUCCGUCAUUCUACGUCAUCGAGAAUAAUCUUCCGGGACGGGCUGUGACAAUAUCAGCAAUAUUUAUGUUAAUUAUGAAUAGGUCAAUCAUGUAUUUAAUACUUAAAUGUAUUUAAAAUAAACACCUUAUCAAUGUUUUCUGAACUGUGCUCGAUUUUUCUCCUUCGCUUUGGUUCUGUCCCAUUGGAUUUUUCAAGCAAGAUUUUAUCAAGGCAACUAUCAUUAACUGUGAACAUAAUUUAUCAUUGAGACACGAACAUCCAAGGGGGAGUGUCGUGGAAAAAAAUGUAGAUAUCUUUAUACGUUGUAUGGUAGUAAACCAUCAUAAACACCAUAAAUAUGUAGAAACGCCCUUGCGGUACCUUUGAAUGAUAACUCAUGUAUUUGUUGCCCUAUGUAAAGAUGGCUAAUGAUAAUGGAAGACUAAUUUUCUCAUCCCAAUCUCUCCUGUCUCUCUUAUUCUCUUUUCUCUAUAUUUUAUUUCCAACAAGUUGUGUUUUUUUUUUAGUAUUGUUAAGCAACCCAAUAGAUUUUAAUCGUAGUCUUUGUUUUUUUUCUUUUAUAUUUUUAAUCAAUUUCAGUUGCUUAUCAGUUCUAGCUAAUUGAGCUCUUUUACAGCAAUUUUUUUCUUUAAAUAAAAUUAUUAUUAUUAAAAAGAGUGAGAAAAUUCGAAAUUGUUACAAUAAUUUAAAAAAAAUAGGAGUUUCAAAUCAUGAAGGUAGAGGGAGUUAACAACAUUUUAGGGGGGGGUGUAGUCAAACUAGGAUUUUGAAGGAUUUUAAAAGUGAUAGAUUUGAUAGGAUUUAAGAUGAUUAAAGACUCUUACAAAAUUCAUAUGGAUUUUAAAGAAUAUGAAUGGAUUGCGGUGGAUUGUGGGGGAAGGAUUUGAAAUCCUAGGGGGUGAGGUUUGAUUCUUUUUAGUUUUGGUUAUAUAUGGUAUGCUUUCAAAUCCCAGAAAAUCCACAACUUUUUAAAAUCCUUUAAAAUCUUAAUUUUUUUAAUACACUUAGAUUUGGAUGGAUUCUAAAAUCCUUUAAAAUCUUUUAAUUGACUACACCUAGAUUUGAAUGGAUUCUAAAAUCUUUUAAUUGACUACACCUAGAUUUUAAUGGAUUCUAAAAUCCUUUAAAAUCUUUUAAUUGACUACACUAUGAUUUUAAAGUCUUUAAAAUCCUCUCAAAUCCAAGUUUGACUACACCCCCUAAAGAUUUUAAGGAAAACUAAUGAAAAUGGCUUGAAAACUUUGAGUUUUAACUAGGGGUGGGCAAACGGGUACAGGAACCGCGGGUAGGGGUGGGUAAUUCAAGUUCGGGGCAGGUAUGGGACAUGUCCAAUAUUUCUAAACACAAAACGGGGCGAGGCUGUUCGGGUAUAUGAAAUUAUCGGGGCGGGGCGGGUCUUAAAAUAGAAGGGAACGGGCCCCCAGCCUGACCCGUUUCUUUUCCUCAUCCCUAGUCUUCUCUAUCUCUCUUCCCCGACACUUUUCAUUUCACUCAAACCCGGCCCAUUUCUUUUCCUCAUCAGUCAUCCCUAGUCUUUUCAAUCUCUCUUCCCUAACUCCUUUCAUUUCACUCGUACCUCGAGACCUCCUCUUAACUCGCUCCCAGCCUCCCACCGUCCUAGCUCCGUACCUCGCCAUCAUCAUCGUCAGACCUCCAUCUCUCCUGAUUUACUCAUGUCUUCCUCGCUGCGUCCGCCGCCAUGUCUCUCUUUCUGUGACGAACUUAAAGGGACGGACGAAGUUGAACAACUCGAAACGACGCCUCUUCUGUCUGAAUUAGACCCAUAUUUGCAGCGCACGACUCUGCUCAUAGUCCUCUUCGGUUUUAAGGUAUUACGUUUUAGAGAUUUAGGAUUGAAAAUUAAAUUAGGGUUUUCUAGAUUUAGGGAUUUUGUUGGGUUCUUGAACCUUGACCUCUGUUAUGUUCCAAUUUCAAAUAUAUAUUGAAUUGAAUUUGAAUCGACUGUGUUUGAAACUUCUGUUGAAUUAAAUUGAAUUUGAGCAGGAGAAGAGGCAGAUGUGGGUUGGGCAAUGUCGAAUCUCAUUGUGGGUGGUGAGGUGGGCAUGGCGGGCGACAAUAUUGACUGGCAAUGGUACGGGCGGUGCUAUUAAGUUGCAGAAGAAUACGAAGGAGGGGGUGUGGGCAUGGGUGGAUAUCGCAAGCUCAAUUGAAUUUUUUCUGGUUUUGUUUGUGAUUAAUUGCUUGUAUAUGAUAGUUAUUGAUGGAUCUUGACAUGCCCAUUUAAUUGUUAUUGGCAAUGCUAGUUUGAUUGUAACAAAUUCAAACCGAUUGAAUUGUAUCCCAGAAAAAAAAAUCAAUAAAGGAACUGAGGACCCGGCCCGAACCAGCCCAUUUCAACCGGGCCAGGUUAGGUUCGGUUCUUAUAUUAGAAAAUGUUGUUCCCGGCCCGUUUCUCUUAAGCCCGGAUCCAGUCCGAUCACUUCGAAAUUGGCCCCAACCCGGCCCGGGCCCACCUCUAGUUUUAACGAUAAGGACAAAAUAAAGGGUAAAGUGAAUAGUACCAAGUUUGACUUUUUAGUGUAAAAAUGUAAUUUUUCGUUAAAAUAAGAUUUUAAUGGAUUCUAAAAUCCUUAAUUAAGAAAUUAGGCUUCAACCCAACUCAUCUUUGCAACGCCGGUUCCACUUCACAUCAACAGGCAAUGUUUUCUCCUCAACAAAUAGUAUUCUUUUAUGAGACAAAGACUAAUGAGGGUGAUAUAUAUAAUUAAUAAUAAUACUUGUGUUCCCUUUGUGAGUGAAUGCACUUAUUUUACCAUUCUCUAAUAAUGUAUCUUUAUUAUAUAAAUUUAUAUCAUGUGGAUAUCUUCCUAUAAAAAAGUUAUUCAAAUUGGAAAUCCUUACGUCAUCAAAAUAUAUAAAAAAAUGGACGAUCUCAUCGUAAAUAUGUUAGUUACUCACACUAUAACUUUGUAUAUUCCCUCACGUAGGAAACGCAAUAAUUAUCCUCUAAUUAAUUCUUCUUGAGAGUAGAAUUUUUAUUGUUGGUUUUUCGCAACCUUCAGACCUAAAGCUGAUAUGGACCUCUCAUUGUUUUUUGGGUUGCCGUUCUUAUUUUGCUUGGUCCUUUUACCUUUUCUAUAGUUGUUUAUCUAGUUCUUUUGAGCCUCGUACUAAUUUUUAAUGUAAUGAAAAUUAUCUUCGUGAUAAAAAAAAAAAUCAUUAGUCCUCGUAUGAACAUGCGAUGUAACACACUUUCAUGGAACAACAGAUGAUAAAGACGAUAUCCAAAUUUUCUCUGUGUUAUGUGGACUUUCCCAACCAAAUAAAUAAUAACCAAUAAACAAAUAAAUAAGAGUUUAACUUCAAACAUUGAGAAGCGAAAUUCCAACACUACGAGCCUAACUUUUGUCUUCAUCAUCAUCAUAGACUAGUCUCCUAUCCAUCAACUCCUACAUCAAUUUUUUUUUUUACUAGAUUGUAGCUCACUUUCAAAAGAGUUACGUAAAGUAUUUAAGCACCAUAAAAGAAAAUUAAACGACAACGAUUGACAUAAUAUUAGUAGUAUCAUGGUCUAAAAUAUUCAUAAUAUCUUGAUAUUUUUAUUGAAAUUUUCGUGUUUUUAGACUACCUAUAUUUUCAAUAUCAUCGAUAUUUUAAACCUUGCUAAGUCACUCAUGUAUCUUACCAUGCAAUGUAUAAAGUGUAAAAUAUUGUACUAAUUCAUUAUAUAUAAAUGAUUAUAGUGUGUUUAAACUUCUUUCAUUAAUUACUACAUAUUUUCUACACUCACAAUGUUUGCCAGCUCGCUAUAUAAUCAACUUAAAUCAAUUAUAUCUAUCAUGUAAUGCAUUUCCUUCCAAUUUUUUGUGAUAAACUAAUAGAUAAUUGACUAAAUAAACAUCCUGCAAAGUUUCAAUAAAAAUUUCCAAGUUUUUCUUACAAUUUCCGUAGUUUUUAUUCAAUUUUUAUCGAUAUCGAUAAUAUCCCGAUAUUUCCAUCGAAAUUUCCGUAUUUUUAGACUACUGAUAUUUCCGAUAUCAUCGAUAUUUUAUACCUUGGUAGUUAUACAUUUUAUCGGCCUCAUUUUUAUGCAACUUAUACAUUAAAUUAUUGUCAAAAUGUACAUAUAAAGUAGCUGAUCAACGAUGAGAUUUUAGGCAACCAUUUUCUUCUACGACGUCAAAGGUUGUAGAGGUGGCCAUGUGCACUACAUGCGUAAAUCAACUAGGGACUUGGAUCCUCUCUUAAGCCCAAGGAGAGGAUCCUCCUAACCAAAUGACUUGGAUUGUUGGAUGAAAAUCUAACGAUUACAAACAGAUGAUCUCUUUAAAGUUAUAAUAUUUAUUACCGUUGAAUUUUCAUCAAACGGUCAAAUAUCAUUGGUCAAAAGGGUCCUCUCAUUGGGCUCAGAGAGGACCCAAGUGCAUCAACCAGAACUAUUGCUAUUAUAACAAUUCAUGAAAUCAAUUAAACAAUAAUUUUCCUUCUGGCAGGCAUGUUAGUUAUUUCUUAUUUGGCCAAUUGCCUAGUGGAUUUGGUAGAUUUAACCUCUCCACCACAAACACAUUUAAAAAUUUCCAGAAAUCCGUAACGUAAAAUUUAAAAAUAAAUAUUAAUAACAGCAAGUUCUUUUCACCGACCGUGACCGAGAUCUGUCACAUAUCCAAAAUGUCACCUCCUUAUCGCAAAAACCAAAUUUGACUUGGGAUAAAUACCGUGUACAAAUUAAACGCGUUUCUCUAGCUUUUGCGUAAAGAGGCAACCCAACACUAAACUAGGAAAACGUUGGGUUGACAAAGAUACCAUGAAGAAUAAAGGGGUUAUGCAAUCCACUUUGCAAGAUAAUCAAAGUUUCCCGUUGUAGACUUGUCUUAACCCAACACUAAACUAAGAAAACGUUGCUUUCCCGUUGUAACAUGAAACAACAUUAAACAACAUUAAACAAUAUUAAAUAACAUUAAAUAACAUAAAAAUUAUACAACAUAAAAAAAACCAUUUAACAACAUAAAACUUAAAAUGCGUACUUCUUGCUUCUUGUGGCCUAAAGAUGUGCAACAAGAUCUUGAUGUAGGUACUUGUUUGUGGCACGAAAACGUAUCAUCCUAGCCGUUGGAUUUGAAUUUUUUUUGUUUUCGGCCAAAAAAUUUUAAAUUUAAAAGUUGAAGAUGGUGAGAAAUAUGAUCCUACACUGUUCAUUAAAAUAUUAAUUUCUUGAAUGACCAAAAGGCUAAAACAAGCCAUCCUUCGGUUGGAGAUGCCUAAGGAGAGACUAGAGAUAGAGAGUUUCCUAUAUAUGAUUUUCAUUAACAAGAUUGAAAUGAUUUCAGAGAGAAGAUCAAGUAUGGUUAUUUUUAUUUUGUAGAGUGUAGACAUUAUAACUAUACAUUCAUAAUAACAUGAGUAAUGUUAUAUUUAUCACAUUUGUACUCUUUCUCUGAUAAAGGUAGGGUUCAUCAACACAUGUGGGUUCUAUUUGCCCAUCAACACAUGCGGAUCUCAUUUUUAUUAGAAAAAUAGUACAAAUAUGGUACGGAAAAUAUGAUAAGAUCGCAAUUUUGUAAUAACAUAUAUACUCAACUAUUUAUAUACCGACCCAUCUCCUUUUAGUGUAGAUAAUAUCGUUUGUUAAAAAAAAUGUUGAACUUGUCAUAAUCAUUGAAUCCAUUUACCAUGAACAAACGGCAGUUUACUAAACUUGCCCUCAGAGUAUAUAUAAAAGGUGAAUCACAAUCUAUUGCAUUAAUAUAAGGAAACAAUUUAUAGGGUUUGACGGGUGACUUAAUAUGCUAUAUGGCACAAUGAAAAUUAAGUUCACACUUUAUCCCAAAUAAGGUGUUGCACCUUUAAUUUAUGGAUGCUGGUUUGACGUGUGACCGAAAUAAUCAAAUUGUAGCCAUUAAUCAUUUUACAAGUAAUAAUAUGUAGUUUUUACUGUUUACGAUUCACACAACAAUCUGCUAGGAAGUAGAAAAUGCAGUACUUGUCCCUCUCACAGAAGUCAUGAAUAAUUAUCAAAUUCAAAGAUAAAGAAAAACCACACAAUUUACAAGAGGAAAGAAAAUGAAGGGAUAAAGAAAGUAAGAAAGGAAUACCUCUAUGGGAGGACUCUUAUUUGCUUCAGAUGCCUACAAUAUUCAUCAUAUAAACACUGAUUAAGUAGUCAUCGAAAACCAAAACAAAUGUCGAACAUAGGGUGAAAAACAGAAAGAAUAACCGCAGCUCAUCAUACCAAUAGAGAUAGAACUGCCCGAUGCCCAAGUAUGACUGAAAAAUGGCAAUCCAAACAUGGCGCCUUCUAGCUCAUCAAACUGUCAAAACCUAGGUUCCACCAAAAAGAUACAAGUCACCUAGUUACUUGUAAAAUAAAAAUCUGUUUCAAAAUAGUGGAAAAUAUUAUUAACAUUGUUCAAAGUCCACAUUGUUGUACCUACCAAGAAACAAGAAGGAUUGUAUCUUAUCAUGAAAAAGAACAUAGGUACCUUUUCAAUUGUAAUUGUACAAAAAUGAGAGACCACUUCCGAACUUCUCUUGGAACUUCAAUCAAUUUCUGCCCACUUUUAAAUGCCUUGACAUACUUAAGCCUAUUUCUUUGAGCUUCAGUUUUGGCUUCUGAUGCCUUUAAAUUUCUUAAAGAUUCUUACCAAGUUUUACAAACUCACUUCUAUACAACCAUUUGUCAGUAUACAUACCAUUUUCUUUGAGCUUCAGUCUUUGCAACACCAAAACCCCCCAAAUAGACCCGGAAUUUUGCAAUGUGCAGGGAAUAUACAAAAAAAACCCUCCUAUCCAUCUAAAACGAAAUCAGAACCCAAACCACAAUCAAAAUCCGUAAAAUUAAUUUAGCCAACCCUAAAUCUAAUAAUUCUAACAAAUAUUAUAGUAUCAAUUGAGAGAGAAUUUGAGAAGAUACCUAGAGAUGAAAGGAAGAGCGUUUCCUCUGAUAGGGGUUCCGUGAAAGCAUCUGUUGACCAGAAAAGAAAAGGCAAAAAACCCCAAAUUACAUAUCAAGCAAUUAUAGAUAGAUCGAACCUUGAAAAUUGAAAUUUCAAACAAGAGAAAGGUUAUAAACUUACAACGAUCUGGGUGUUGGUUACUGGGUUUGGAUUUGGGUUUCUGAUAAGAGAGAGAAUCGUAUGAGGAACCGAUAGAGGAACUGCACCGGCAACAGAGAGCAACUGAUAUGGUGGAGAAUAGAGAUGGGCAAAAUAUCCCGGUUAUCCGCCCAUUUAAAGUUCACAGUUACGGUUAUGGUAAUUGAACGGUUAUGGGUACUACCCGUGGUUAUAACGGGUAUCUAUUGGUUAUGGGUAUUAUCCGCGGUUAUAACAGGUAUUCAUUUACCCAUUUAAUUUCAUAUAUGUAAAAUUUAUAAUAUUUUUAACAGUUAUAACGCGUUUUUGUAUUUGUUGCCAAACUUUUCGUAUACAAAAAAUUUGAAGCACAAGAAGCCAACAAGGAGAAAGAUCAAAGAGCUUACUUGAAGCUUAUGAUCUAUCCUGCGGUUAAUAGAAAGUACUGGUAUUAGUGUAGAAAAAUGUUUGUUUUUAGAAGCUUUAUUUUGUAAUCAUAUGAAUUAUAAUUAAAGACUUGCUUGGGUGUAGUAAAAAAAUAUCGUUUGUAAACUAUUAUUUCAAUUAUUAGAAUUGUAUGAUGACCUAAAUGAUUAAAAUAGAGAAAUGCAUGCUAAAAUGUAUUUAUAACAGUGUUUAAUUGUCAGAUUUUUUUUUUUUUUGUAAUUUUCAAGUUGUUAAAAAAAACAUGCAGAGAGGUGAAAAAAGGGAUUAAAAAAUGAUAAACGGGUUCAAAACGGGUAAACGGGUAAAUGAUUAUGGUUAAAUAGGUAAACGGUUAUGGGUAAAUGGGUACACGGUUAUGGGUAUGAGUAUAACCGUUUAUGCAAUUACCCAACGGGUAAACGGCUAUGUGGGUAUGAACAUAAAUGGUUAUGAGUAAAUAACCGCGGUUACCCGCCCGCUAUAACCAUUGCACAUCCCUAAUAGAGAACAUACGAGAAUAGCCGCUUGGAUGGUCAAUCCAAGAAGAGAAAAUCUUGCCACAAUCACGGUACUUGAAAAAAAAAACAAUUUUAAAGGAGGGAAACAAUCGCGCCUUUUUUUUAAUAGACUCUGUCGACGAUAUUCUUGACAAAUAGUCGGGUGAGCUUAUUUUUCACAACAUUUUAUUUAGGACUAGGUUCGGUUGGCAAAUCGUGUCAAAUUUCUUGUGCCAUUUGCCAGCCACAUAUACAUAAUUACCAAAAAUCAGUUACCGUUCGCCAACCAUCUUCUUGCGGUUGCCAAAAAUCGGUUCAACCAAAAUGAUUGGCUGGUUCGGUUGGUAAAUGGCACAACCGGUGGUUUCCACUUCUUCCUCGCUAUCUUCUAGUUGCAAGGGCUCAAUUUGAUUUUCAGAUUGGGAUGCUUGUUCGGUUGCAUUGUGUGGUUCAUUUUGGGUUAAUCCAUGUUGUGCACUAGCAAUUAAUUGGCUAGACUCCAUCAUCCUAAACAUAAGCAACACAUAUACAUUCAAAAUCAUAUAUAUGUACGUGUAUAUAUAGUAUCAGUAAUCAUCAUGUUAUCAAUUUUGUUAACAAUAUUUUCUAUAUUGAUUAUGGCAUGAAUCAUAUACAUAUACAUAUAUUUUUUAAACCCUAAAACUAAGGAGUUAUUUAUUUUCUAAGCCCUAAAAUUGAGGAGUCAAGCAUGUAAAAAAAUACUUAAAAUAUCUAAAUAGAAAAAGAAAAAAAAAAAAAAAAAUAUAUAUAUAUAUAUAUAUAUAUAUCGGUAGGUAUGGCAUACCGCCGACAUACAAAAUCAAUUACCAAAGCCAUGCCAUUAAUUGUCGGUUCGGUAAAAUGCCAACCGAUUAUGAAAAAAUGCCAAAACUAUACCAUACCAUUUUGAGCCAACCGGUAUGGUUCGGUCGGUAAAUCGGCUUAUGGCAAAAUUUCUCACCCCUAAUUUUAUUUGUCGCCUUAAACCUAUUGGUUUCUAGCCUACAAUUUGGAUAUUUUGUUGGGGAAAGAUUUUUGUACCAAUAAAAUUUUGCUUUGUCAGCUUAGGAUUUGUCGGCAAAAUGACAUUUUCUAGUCGUUAUAAUAUUAGGUAGAUCAAAUUUGUAAACUAUGUGAUGUGUCACCAAUAGGAAAAAAAUUCAGUGUGCUGAAAAUACAGUCUAGAACACCAAGUGUCAUAAUAUAUACUUGGUUGGAAAUUUUUUAUUUUCAAGUUUCCAACUAAUUGUAUUGUAACAGUUGGUGUUCCAAGCUAUUUUCUCGAUGCGUUGGAAAAUCUCUUCACCAAUUAAAAAUAAACAUAUUAAUUAACACUUAAGUAAUAAUCAAAGUAUCAACAACUACGUCAUAAAAUUUACGAAAUAUGAUCUUAAUUAAUGAUCUCCAUGGCAUUACCCUUUAUCUUAGCGUAUACGUACGCCUUCACAUGUUUAUUUGCUGAUAUGCAGCUUGAGUAAAAAUUUCUUUUUAAGAACAUAUAUGUGAAUAUAAACAUAUAUAUCUAGUGAUCCAUGUUGCGUUAUUUAAAAAUAAACAAAUUAAUUAAUUAAUAAAUGAACUGUGUGCAUGUCUGUGUAGAGUAAUCCAUAUGCAUGCUUGAAUCCUGAUCACCACGAAACCAUAAUAUAAGCUACUCAAGGCCCGGAAGCUAGGAUUGAAGAGAAAAACACCCAGUCAGAUUAAGCCAAUAUAUCAAAGUUAAUACUUCGAAAUGUAAGCUUUAAGAUAGAAAAAUCACUUACUACCUUGAGCAGUCGAGCUUCUUCAAUGGCAUGAAGCUUUUAGCAUGAGAUUGACUGCAUCACAACUAAAAUUUUCUCUUGGAAACUACAUAAGGAAUAGCAUGUAUACCUAUAACGUUGAGAAAGUACGCCAAUUUUUUCCUUCUGCACAUUCAUGUUUAAAAGUAAUCCUCAAAUGAACUUGCCCACAAUGAAAUGCAAUUUGAGGUAGUCGAGUGUGUUCCAUUUCCAUUCCAUGGGAAUUACUACUAAACUUUGAGAUGGUAAAGGAUUCAUGAAAUUUUUUACUUUUGAGAUAGCCUCUUUAACAUUUCUCGACUAUAACAAUGAGGGAAUACUUCACCUUGUAUCAAACAAGGGAGAGCGAAAAUCAACUACUAAUAGCAUCACAGAGCCAGCAGAAGAUUGAGGAGGCCAUGAAGAGGAGAGAGAAAAUACACUCUUUUUUUUUGUAAGGACAGAGAUAAUACAUUCAGUAAGGGGUACUGAUGUUUAUAUGCAAUGCUGAUUAGGUUUAAAUAGUCCUAUUUAUUCUGUACAGUGCCAAUAUUACCACCCGUUAGUACACUUUCAAGACACUGUACUCCAGUGUGUGCGCUAUGCAGUACGUAGUACUCCUCAUUUUUUGGGGAAAUUCAUUAUUGGUCUUCAUAUCUUCUUUAUUUUCCUUUUCCUCAUUGUGCCACGUGUUUAAAUCACUAAUUGUAGGUAAUCUUUCAAUUUAAUUAAAUCUUAUGUAAAAAAAGAUAUUUAAAUAUCAUUUAGUAUUACAAGAUAGUGAUAUUCCUCUUUAGUAUAAAAUUUUUAUAAUUAAAAGCGUUCAGUUUUUUAAUCUUCAUUUGAAUACUAUCUAUAAAGAAAAAUUAUUCGAAUAAGAGAUCGUUUAUGCAUUCAAAUGUACAAAAUGCAUCGACAGUGUGAGAACGAAUUAAUAUAUUUUUGAUGAAGUACAAUUAUUGAAUACAUUUGAAUGAUCAAAUGAUAUAUGAUUCAAAAUACAUAUUAAGAUAAUAAAUAUAAGUGAAUUGUUAUUAGCACUCCAAGAAUCUUAUUAUACACUCUAAAUUUUCUAUAUUUUGAAUGAAAAAUAAAUUUAUGAAGAGUGUAGAAUGAGAUUUUUUAAUGCUAAUAACACUUCUCUAAAUAUAAUUAUGAAAUUAAUAAAGUAAAGAUACAUGACCUCGUGAAUGAUGUAUGUAUUAUUCAAAAAAUUAUUAAAAACAAAUUGAAAAAGGACGCUGUUGUUGCCACCACUUAUGCAAUGAUCGUCGCUGCCAUCACCAACCCCCAACACCCCAUUACAGCUCAUAAAAGCACAUCAUAAGCAAUUUAUGAAAUAAAUUUACUGGAAUACUAAUUUCCCCCUUAGUUUAGGUCACCAAUGUUUAAAUUUAGGGGUGUGAUAUGCACAUACCUUUUUUUGCUUCUCUCACACUUUUUUUGUUGUUGUCGAAUCAGAUGAAUUGAAGAAGAUCAAUUGACAGAAAUUAACAAGGGGUGUAUGAAAAGUAAAAAUGGAUGUGUAGAUAACACAUCCCUAAAUUUAUCACAACUUUCAUUCCAAAUUUAAUUUUUAUGCGUAGUUUUGUUUGUUCAAAUUUACUUUGACAUUUCAAUUAGUAUUAAAAUCUAAUUUAAAUUUUAGCGUUCAAGCUAGAAAAAGUGUUCCAUUUAAUAUUUAAUCUCAGUUUUUCUCUUUAUUCUUUUAUUCCGAUUUGGUUGCAUCGUAUCUCCAUUUUUCUCGGUGUUGUAUGUUCAUAAGGCCUGGGAAACGUUGGCACGGAGUGAAGGGUACUCACUUUUUGGCCCAAAAUGCAUAAGGCAUGUAGAUAUGUUAAUCAAAUUUUGUAAACUAAAGGAUAUAGAAGUUGAUACUUAGAUUAUAAUUUAAGAUAAUACUAAAGAGACUAAAUUUGCAAACUAAAUGAUGUGUCACCAAUAAAAAUAAGCACGUUUAUCAACGCUUAAGUAAUAAAUCAAUCAUCAACUUUCAUGUCCUUUAGUUUCCAAAAUUUAAUAUACAAAUUUAGUCUCCCAAGCAUUACUCUAUUACUUAAGUAUUGAUUAACAGACUUAUUUCUUAUGGUGACAUAUUAUUUAAUUUACAAAUUUAGUCAACCCAACAUUACUCUUUUGAAAUUGUCUUGUCCACUGAUAUAAUUCUAUUUUUCUUGUGAUCAAAACUUCAAAUGUUAGCAAGUCGCACGUAAAGUCACUUCUGAGAGAAUGUGCUCACAUUGUAGUUGAAAGAUUAUGUGGCUAGCAACAUUACAAAUUUAAUUUGGUAUAAUUUAAAAUAUAGAUUGAGGAAAAAAUGAUCACAUUAACUAGAAACUGAAAAGGUUUCAGCACAGUUUGUUCAAGCAAGAAACUCAAUUUUGAUGCUACCGAUCUUAACAGCCUGAGCGCCGUACCUGGGCACUAAAGUCACCACCACACUCUCAUCAUCUUCAGCACCCAAAUCCUCCAACAGGUCCGUUAACCCCAACCUUAAACAACUCUUGCUCUUUUCCUUCUGCUUAUGUGGAACACUCACAAAACUCCCAGCAAACUCGCUCUUGUCGGGUCCACUCGGUGCCGCAUCCUCAUCGUCCACGUCAUUCACAUACACAUCAAACUUCACAGCCACAUCUUUGUCAAGCUCAAUCCCCUGAAUCACCAGUAUCUCCUCCUCAUCCUCUUUCUCCUUCUUGCUCCUCUUCUUCGGCUUCGGCCUUGACACCACCGUACUUAUCUUUGUCUCCAAAUUUAUUGGAAAAUCUUUACCCGCCACCACCUUCCCCGAUGACGUCGUCUCAGCGGCCUUCGCCACUCCAGCCGCCUUUGCCUUUCUCGCAAGCUUUGUCCGACGUGGCGUCGGUCUAGACUUGAGCCAUGGAAUCUCAACAUCUUCAUACGUAUACCCUAGCUUUUUAUUAUCAAGAGUGUCCCUCACCGUGACCCUAACAAGCUCAGCAUUCUCGUCAUAAAACAAAAACCCCGUAUCCAACCAAUCCUUAUCGUUAAUAUCUUUAUUUUUAGUCCCUAUACUUUUCCAAAUAUUCCACAUUCGAUCUAUAUUCGAAUGGUGCGAAAAAAAUAUUGGAUCCCUUGCAGCGGAGUAAAAAUUCCCCAUGUCUUCAAAAUUAGGUUGCGUGUUAUCUCCGGUCCAUGUAUGAACCGGACCAUGUGGGGUCGUUUCGAUUGAACCGGCCCCUGGAUCUGGUUCGGUGCCAGCCCUGUAGGGCGAACCAAAGAACAACAGCGGUUUCUUGGAGUUGGAAACCAUCUGCCUAUACAUGAUUUUGAGGUUGGCGUCGAUUUGAGCAUCCUUGGACAUUGUUUCAUCCGUGCCGUUAAAGUCAAGAUCGAUGAGAGUCGGCGGCUGAUGGCUGGCAGCGCGGAGCUCGUCGUAAAGCGGAGAGUCCGGGUUAGCGAACAAGGCAGGGAGUUGCAUGCCAGCUGGCGCGUCCCAGUUCCAAAACGGCAACGCGAACGUCGGAUCGUCUAUGAGUUUGGCCAAGAUUCUUUCGUGGAAGUAUAGGUAGUAACGAUGGAAGGGGAAGAAAAGCCAGGAUUGAUGGAUUUGGAGCUCGAGGUUGGGGAAGCCGACUUGAUCGUACGCGCCGUCGCAAUAGGCACAGUGGAUAUCGGCUUGCUGGGUGAAGCUACGCGGAUCGUCGUCCGGGAGGGCUUUCAUGAGCUCGAUGGCUUUUGAAUAUUUUUCGAUGUAGGCUUUAUCCACGGUGUGAGCUGCCGGCCUGACGCGGAGUUUGGUAGGGGAGGGGAAUUUGAAGUCUACGAUUUUUUGGGACGUUGGCGGGCAACAGUUGGUCGGGACUGCUCCACUUGGAAAGUCCGCACCUCCGCAUUUGGCUAGGUCAGGCGGCGACACUGGCUUUGCAACAGCGAAGGGGUCGCUGCCAAGACCAGCCACUCCACCGUACAGGCUUCCGAGACCUAUAAGUACAUGUCUUCUGUCUAGGUUUACUGGAGAAAGGUUUUCAUGGUCGUGAUCGUUGGAGCUAGUGGAAGGGUUUUUGUUUUGGUCACUACUAUUAUUCGUGGCUUUGCAUGAGACGGCUUGUAAAUUGGAAUGCCUAGGGUUUUCAAAUAAGGAAAUUCGGUGAUACUUUUGGGAGAAAGGGAAGAGAGAAGUUGUGGGGAUGAUACUUGUGGUGGAGGUGACGAGUGGAGCUGACAUAGAAGCCAUGGUUACUUGACUCUGAAUACUACGUUGUAUAGGCUUUGCUUUUAUAAUGUGUUCUAGGUUUUACUUUUCUUUGCACAGGUGGCAGGCCGUACACAUUGGCGGUCCUUAAGGGUUUGACGAGGAAUACUACGUAGUCAUUUAGUACAGGGCAACCAUGCACUAUAGCACGUGGCAUGUAAUAUUUACGUAGUCUCAGAAGGUGAAGCGGUUUUGGGCUUCUUGUGUACCAAUAAUAUUUACGUACUCAUUAUUCCACUGGAUGGAUUGCGUGCACGUGAUCUUUAUUCAAACAAAUCACUAUUGACCAUAUAUUGCAAUUGGUUAAUGUUAGGCAAAUUAAAUUUUUACAUCAAAUAAUGUGGUUGCUGAUUAUUGAAUUAUUAUUUAAGUUUGAUUAAUGUGCUUAUUUUUUAUCGGUAAUACAUCAUUUGAUUUGCAAAUUUGAUUUACCUAAUAUUACCAGUUAUAAUUUGUAUAAAUGGACUGGUACCUAACAUUACCAAUUGUAAUUUGUAUAAAUGGACUCGUACCUAACAUUACCGGUUGUCCCAAGAGCACACGCUACUGCUCAAGAAGCAAAGUUCUUAUUUGCCCAAAAAAAAUCAUGGUUUUUUAAUUGAUGCUCUCAUUUUAAUUUACUAGCCCCUUACUUGGCCCUUUUUAUUUAUCAUUUUAUACAUAUUAAUAUUUUGUUUGUAAAAUAUAUUAGUGUUAGUUUUAUCAAAAUUAAAAAUAAAUAAAAAACUUAGCUUUAGUAUUUAGUUAUUGAAAUUGUAAAAAAAGUGAUAAAGUAUUGGGUGCUUUGUUUGAAAAUUUUCAAAAUGAUAUUGUUUUUACCACUGAACCCCUGUUAUAUACAGUGAUGGCUAAUUUGUCAAGUUCUACGAAGUUGGGAUACCCAGCGUUUUAGCAUAUAACAUAGCUUAGUAUUUCAAGCAUAAUUAAUUAACGAAAAAUUAGUAUCCGGUCCCUAGUUUUUACUGUUCAUUGACUAAGACCUUAUUAGUUCUCAAAUUUUGAUUCAAGUCCCUAGCAUUAAUGUGAUAAUGAAUUUACAUGUUUAUUAUAUAAUUUUUUAAUAUAAAAAUUAGUAAUUAAUUUAGGGUUUAAUACUCACACCUCUAUUAAACUUCUAAUUAAUUUUCAAUUCAGACAUUUCCAAAAUAAUAAAAAAUUAAAUUAAAUUAAGUUUGUACCUAUUAGUUUUUUUUUAUAUAUAAAAAGAUUCUCAAUUUUUAAUCUUAAAUGUACAUCUUAAAUGUACCCAUUCUCAAAUAUAUCAAUUUGUUAUAUGUAAAAUGUACCCUUUUUUAAUAUAAAAUCCAUUCAAAAUUUUUAAUCCAUGUUUAAACUUAUAUGGGUACAUUCUUUUUCGUUGAUUUGAGAAUGUAUCCAUGUUUUGGUACAAUAAAUUUUUUGUUAAUUUUGGUUAAUGUACCCAUACAUAUAUGUACACACACACACACACACACACACACAAUAUAAUAGAGAGUAUAAUUUAUAUUUUAUUAUUUUUAAUCCCAUAAAUGAUGGGUUUUAUUUAAAAUCUCAUUAAUAUAAACAAUUAUAAAUUUCAAUUUUUAAUUUUUAAUUUAAAAAAUAUAGUAACUUACAUUAUUACAUUAAUGUCAGGGACCUCAAUAAAAAACUAAAAACUAACAAGGUUUCAAUCAAAGAAUAUUGAUAGCUAGGGACCACAUCCAAAGUGUCCCUUAAUUAAAGGGUAAAUUACAUAGUAACCCCUCAGGUUUGAUGUCUAUUACAACCCCAUACAACAUCUUUAAAACAUUUCACUUUCAUACCUCAAGUACUAUUUUAUUUCAAUAUAAUACAUCUGUUAGAUUUUCCAUCCAUUAAUCCGUUAAAUGCUGACAUGGAUACCACAUUUGUGCCACGUGGCUGCCAAAUGCGUGUCAUGUGGCAAAAAUAAUAAUUUUUAAAUUUAAAAAAAAAUGAAUCUUCAACCCAAAAAAAAAAAAAAAAAAAAAACCCCAAACCCAGAUCCCAUCAACCCCCCCCAAACGAUUAUCCCUUCCCCAUAUCCCCCAUCCCACCCCCCAACCCCCCCUCUGCGACCAACCUUACCAUAGCGCCCCCCAACCUCGCGACCCACCUCACUCAAGGCCCUAAUCCACACUACCUACAACCCAGAAACGAAAAAAAAAAACAAAAAACAAAAAACUCAUCUCCCUUUCCCUGCAACCCAAAUCCCAUCUUCCCUAAUGGGUAUGGAUUUAAGAAGUGGGGUGUGUAGAGGAGGGAAGAGGGUGGGUGCGGAGGAUGGGUAUGGUGGGUUGCAAGGAAGGGGGGUCGGGUAAGAUGAAGAUGGGUUUUUUUUUUCUCUCUCUCUUCUUCUUCUUCUGGGUUGCAAGUUGUAGGUUGGGGUUUUUUUUUGGGGGGGGGGGGGAGGGAGGGAGGGAAGACGACGUGGGGUUUGGUUUUUUUUUUUUAAUUUAUUUAGAAGAUUUAGGUUUUUUGAAAAAAAAAAAAAAAUUCCACGUGGCACAAAUGUGGCAGCCACGUCAGCAUUUAACAGAUUAAUAGAUGGAAAAUCUAACGGAUGUAUUAUAUUGAAAUAAAAUAGUACUUGAGGUUAGAAAGUGAAAUGUGUUGAUGCACAAAACCGAAGGUCUUUGAACAACGUAAAUCCGAUCGUGAAUAUGCAAGUAAUGUAAAUAACACAAGAUGUAUCGUGGUUCACUCCAAUGUUUGGGCUACGUCCACACUGAUUAUUGUAUUUCUCUGAGAGGUGAGGGGGAGAGCUUUGAGAAAGCUUAGAGCUUAGGGGAUGUGAGAAGGCUUAAGAAUUGGCCUCCCUUAUUUGUGAGGGUGAUGAGUCCUUUUAUAGAAUAAGGGAUCCUCACUUAUUACAUAUUUGCCCAUUCCUUUAUUACAUAAUUACAUUUAAGUCCCCUGAGUACUUGUACAAGGUCUAAAUACGGAGGCCCUAAGUAUGGUACAAACAGUAGUCCCCCAAGUCUUCAGUCAAGAGAGUCUUUUGGCUAGAGACUUGAAAUUCUGUCCAUGUGUGAGCCGAAAUAACUAGAUGUCGUCUAGAACUGAUAUUUGAUAUGCGGCAGUGCCCAUUUUGAAAUAAUGCUCAACUAGAAGUAGCACAUGCUGCGAGGCUGCUCUGCUUGUGUUGCCUUGGUUGGCUCGACUUGUGGCGUUGAAGGUGAGAGAGUCCCUUUUAUAGAAUAAGGGCUCGCUCCUCAUUACAAAGAUGAUGGGUUAGUUGGUGCUUGCGGUGAGGCGGAUGCUCAGCUGGCGGCGAUGCUCUCUAAUGAUAGUGAGGGAGUCCAUUUUAUAGAAUAAGGGAUCGCUCCUCAAUACAUAAAUAAUAGGUGCUCUCUAAUGAAAGUAAGGGAGUCCCUUUUAUAGAAUAAGGGCUCACUCUUCAAUACAUAAAUAAUGGGCUAAGUCCCCUAAGUAUUUUUUAUGAGGCCUAAUUGAGGCCCAAUAUAUGGUACAUAAUGUAGUCCCCCAAGUCUUCGGUCAAUAGAGUCUGUUGGCUGGAGACUUCAAAUUGAAUCCAUGUAUGGGCCGAAGUGGCGGUUGUUCGGAAGCGGUAUUUGUAUACCCUGCACUGAAGCUUUAUAGGUGAAGCUUUGCAAGUGAAGCUUUGAAGCUGGAGCUCAGUAAAUGAAGCUUUUGAAGCUAGAGCUUUUGUAAAUGAAACUUUUGAAGCUGGAGCUCUAUAAAGGAAGCUUUUGUAAAUGAAGCUUUUGAAGCUGAUUCACAUGAGUGAUGCUCAUGAAUGUUUAUGUUGAUUGAUAUGAGUGAUGCUUAUGGAUGUUGACAUGAGUGAUGCUCAUGGAUGUUGACGUGAUGCUCAUGAAUGUUAACAUGAGUGAUGCUCAUGAAUGUUUAUGUAUGAUUGAUAUGAGUAAUGUUCAUGAAUGUUUAUGUAUGAUUGACAUGAGUAAUGCUCAUGUAUAAUUUGAAGUACUGGGCAUACUUUUGAUUACCUGGUUGGCGAUAAUAGCGGCAGGGUGCCGAAUAAUUUUUUGUAGUACUGGGCGUACUUUUGGUCACCUGGUUGGUGAUAAUAGCAGCAGGGUGCCGAAUAAUUUUUUGUAAUACUGGUCGUCCUUUUGGUCACCUGGUUGGUGCUAUUUUGAGCUUAUGGGCCUUCGCCCUCUACACAACAUUCCAGCCUAUUUAUUUUGGGCUUUACCGUUUUUUUUAAUUACCCUAUGAUGGGGUUUAUACAGAUGUCUCCGAAAGAUAUGAAAAAUAAAUUACAUCAUUCAAAAAUAAAUCCGACCCUCUGCUCAAUGGGUCACGCCAAUAAUUCUUUUUUUUUAUGCAUGCCAUCACCACCGCAAUUAUGUCUGCUUCUUUUUAUCUUCUUUUGCUUUCUGCUUUUGCUUUUACUUUAUCUUUCUCUUUUGGCAUAUGGCAGACAACGCCAAAACGGAAUAAUGAAUUAUUAUGAGAACAUGAAUCUUAUCUUUUGCCUGGUUUUCCACUAGUGCUCGUGGUAUUCUCAGGAGAUUGGAUCUGGGGGUAGGCGACUACCCCAGCACCUUGCCCUGAUACGUAAUAGCCUGAUGUCCCACUGCCAUCUCCAUACUGGAAGGUGUACGAACAAUGGUUAUUCUGUGUGGAACAAAUAGAAUCCGAUUGAGAUUCAAGACUGCACCUUCGAUCUGAGCAAGAAAUGAAUUGUGACGUUGAUGAACUUCUAGGAGGAGAAGCAGAGGAUCUUUGACUAUGAUGAUCUUUGAAUUCCAGAUGAAACUGAAUAAAAUGCAGGUUGUGGAGCUUGAUGUGGGCCCAGAUCUGCUUGACAGCUUUGGGGCGGGAGGAUUCCUUGACACUGAGGAAGAUUCCCAGAGCUGGAGGGAUGAGAAUCGACUUCAUAAUCCCGAUGGUGGGUUUGUGCUUGGUCGAAAGAUCAUUUCUGGCAGGGGAAAACAUGUACCAUACCUAUUGCAAAUCUUGCAAAUUCUCUGCUUCUCCAUGGAAGAUGAAGAGCAUCGAAUCUCUGUUUUCUCUCUCUCUCUCUAAAACGUUUUCGUUAUAGAGUGCCCCAAUAGAAGUGGACGGGCAGUGAGCAUGCCAUUUAGUGCCUCCUCCAAGACAGUAACUGAUACGGUGGUCUUUAUUGGCACUCCAAGUUUACUAAAAAGGGCAGCAAAAAUAGUAUUUACAGCACCCAAACUUGAAAGAUCUAGCUCCAACUAGUGGCUUUCUGUUUCAACAGCCUGAAAGCCGGCAGUGUCAUACCGACGCCGUUUGUCUGGAUCAAAUAAUAUAUUAUAAGAAAACAUGACCUUCUUGAAGAUAUCAGCUGUUUUAGAGUCAUUAGCAUUUUUGUCAGGAUGGUACUUGAGAGCCAUUUUCCGGUAAGCACUUUUGAUUUCCUGGUUGGUGGAAUUCCUAUUGAGGCCGAGGACCGCAUAAGGGUUUUGUCGGAGCUGCUUCUUAGCUUCUUGCUUCUCCGAUUUUGAUCGGCUGCCCUGCAUUUUUGAAAUUGACGGUCAAUUUCUUCACAAAACCCUAGAAAUUGCCUCUCGAUUACCUCCGAAACACAUAAUUCACGACUCUUGGUUGAAAUUUUUUUUUUUCAUUUCAAAGAAGUGGCGGAGGUAAAUCAGUUGUCACAUAGCACCGGAGCAUGAGGAAAACCUAGAAAACCAAGAGGCAGAGAGACUCCAUGCACAUCUAACCUGGAACCUUGCAGGAGAGAGCAGAGAGAAAGAGACAAGAAAGAUUGAGGGAGAAGCGAUCUUGGUGCAUCGUCUGUGAUUCCUUGGUGAUUUGCUCGAUCGGGACUCUGAAUUCGUGCAAGUCAUUGCUGUUAAGCAAGAAUCGCGAGGAGUCGGAGAGCUUGGAAAUCGAGAAGGAGAGAGGGCCUUUAGUCAGGGCUUGGAGGGUGUCGGACUCCGUCGGCCAAGAUUGGUGCACGGUCACGGCGUCUGGGCCCAUGGCGGUUGUGUAAAUGGGGGAGGUUCUAGGAGUCCAAGAAAGAAGAAGAAGCAGCGACCAUAGAUCUGGGAGUCCAUGGCGCUUGAAAGAUACGGCGAACAAGUCGGACUUGCUGCUGGGCAGCUGGCGGUGAUAAUGUUGGUGCAUGGGUUUUGGAGUGGGAGUGUUUGGAAUGGGUUUUUUGUUUAGUUUCUAUGUGUUUUUUCACAGAGAGAGAGAGAGAGAAGUGAUGGUGUUUAAGGGAUGAGUUUUGGAGCUUAGUGAAUGCUUUUUCUGGAAAAGCCCAGUGAGGUUUGUGGGUUUUUGCAGAUUUUGCAGAUUCGCGGUGGAGGUGAAAGAAUGAAAGAGAACCGACACAACUUUUCGUAUUGAUUCCCACAUACGGCGCCAAAUGUUGAUGCACAAAACCGGAGGUCUUGGAACAACGCAAAUCCGACCGUGAAUCUGCAAGUAAUGUAAAUAACACAAGAUGUAUCGUGGUUCACCCCAAUGUUUAGGCUAUGUCCACACUGAUUAUUGUAUUUCUCUGAGAGGUGAGGGAGAGCUUUGAGAGAGCUUAGAGCUUAGGGGAUGUGAGAAGGCUUAGGAAUUGGCCUCCCUUAUUUGUGAGGGUGAGAAGUCCUUUUAUAGAAUAAGGGUUCCUCACUUAUUACAUAUUUGCCCAUUCCUUUAUUACAUAAUUACAUUUAAGUCCCCCGAGUAUUUGUACGAGGUCUAAAUACGGAGGCCCUAAGUAUGGUACAAACAAAAUGUUUUAAAGAUGUUGUAUGGGGUUGUAAUAGACCUCAAACUUGAGGGGUUACUAUGUAAUUUACCCUUAAUUAAAAUAAGGGCAAAUGAAGAGGAUGGUUGAACUUGUUAAGUUUCUUAAGUGUGUCUAAUUUAAGUGUGUUGUUAAUAAACAUUUAUUAUGGAGGCAAAGAGAGGGAAGGUGCGGCAUAGAAAGAGAAGAGAGAGAUAUGUAAUUGUGAGUUGUGUUUUAUUCCAUCCCAUUGUGCAUUUAUUUAUAUUAGUUGGGAAAGUUAAUUCUUUAACCUUUUAGGAUUACAACUCUAAUAGGAAAAUAUAUAAUCUAAAAGAUAUGGUAGAAUCCCAUAAGAAUAUCCUAGAUAUGUUAGGAUUUACACAAUCAUAUUCCUAUUCCAAUAGGACUGCAAAACAUUUGUAUUUUUUUAUAAUUUUUUUGAUAAUUUGUUGGCAUUUUCAAUUUUUGUUAACAUUGAAAAUAUAACGGUUCAGAUGAAAAACCUUUGGAAAUCCAACAUUGAAAAUAUAACAGUUUGACGUUGGGCUGUGGUGAAGGAGGCUGGGCUGUCACGUGGGUGGGGCCCUCCCUCUCCCACUUGGUGAUUCAAAGGGCGCAGGCCCGUGCAACAAUUGAGGCAGCCCAUAGAGAUCCUGCGUUUCACCCAUUUGCCAUUUUUUCCACCGCUGGAGCACCAAAAUUCGGUCCAAAGGCAGGGGUUCCAAUUGCAUGGGCAAUUUGGUUUCCGCUGGAGGUGCUCUUUGUCGACUUUGUUUAUUCUUUCUUUUUAGCUUUGCAGUAAUAUUGAAGUAAUCACUCCAAUUGUAUCCGAACUUUUGUUGUCCAUCAAUUUGUAUCAAAACUAUUGGUUAAUUUACAUAUUCAGACUAACCUUCUCAUUAUUUUUAGUAUUUUUAUCAUAAAUAAUAUCUAAAAUAAUCACAUUUUAUUCAACAACCACUCAAUUAAAAAUUAAUUAAUGUUGUUUCUAAACCAUUACAUCGAGCUUUUGUAAAUACACAUCAAUAUUGCAGCGAUCCGAGGCAUUGUUUUCUACGCCUUGGAUUUGGCGAAUUGGAAAAGAGAAGAGUUACGAGUAAAAGUCCCUCACAUUAAGAGGGCUCCUCCUCGGGGAGAUGAAGAUGAUGAUCUUUUGUUUUUGUUUCUUAAUGAUUAAUCCACGCAGCAACAUAUAAUUAGAUUGUUGGGAUCUACUCAAGUUCCAUAUCACGCACUAAUAUAAAGUUUGACAAACGAAACGAAAUAUGUGCUCUCGAAAGCAAAAUGAGGGCACUGCUCCAAGAACAGGAAGGGCUCCUUGUCGAGGUUGCCAUCCGCCAUGAGGGAAAACCGGAAGAAGUUAGACAACAAUGAUGACAUCGAUUUGCAACACCCAUAUUGGGACAUCAAACUGUGAAAUAAAUACUCAAAACUCCUGGAAAGUCCUCGGGACAACAAACUUUUAUCUCCUUCAAAUAUUUCAUUUUACCAAGUUUUAUGUUUGAAGGGAGGGAAAAAAAGAGAUGAGAGAAUCCUACUCCUUAUUCUUGAAUAUAUUCAGGAAUAACUAUUGAAUAAAGAGAGAAUGGAAGGGGAUCGAAAGAGGAGGGAAGAUAAUUCUAGUCCCAAACAUAAAAAGGACCACAACUUUUAAAUUAUCAGCACGAUCAUCAUCUGAUUGAAGAGACCAUUCAUUGUGAAACAUAUCGUCAAUCAAUAUGUCUAUAUCUAUUUAUAUACCACAUUUUUGGAGUAGGAUUCUCCCCCCUCCUAUUACCAUCCCCUUCCAUCCCCUUCCAUCCCCUCCUUUCAUACUUUUUUUUUUCUUAUUCUCUAUAUAAAAAAUUCAAAACAAGAUGUAGAUGUGUCGUAAUCGCAAUAGUUUAAAUAAAAGGAGAUGGAAGGAGAGAUAAAUUACGAGGGGAGAGAAUCUUACUCCCACAUUUUUCUUCUUCAUAAACAAAAGAGAGGUUCUAGAUUACUUGACUCUAUGCCUCAUUUUUUUCAUCAAGUAUUUGUGCUAAACGGGUUCAGUUUCAAGUAUUUUAGUUUUUUGUCAAAAUUGAGAAAACUGAAAAUCAAACAUUAAUAUGCAAAAUUAAAAAAUCAACACAUAAUUAUUUAGAAAUCGCAAUAGAAAAGAAAAAAUGGAGGUUUGUGAUGAAAAAUCUUUUAUACUAAGUAAUUUAGUAUCCUUAUGCAUGAAGAUAAUCAAUUCGUUCGUUAUGGUCAGACUCUUUUUGAAUUUUUGAACACAUUCUCCAUAGGGCCUUCUUAUUUGUUCCUUCUCCGAGUUGGGGUUAUGGAAGAAGUAAAAGAAGGAACCAAGAAGAAAGUAUUGGCAACAACCGAUUUCGUUACGGGACAACUCUUGAUAUUCAUAUCGAUCUAUUAUGUACCUUUGCAUCUAGCAUUAGACAAUAACUGUCAUAGCUUUACCAUAUUUUUUUGUUUCAUUUCUUCUGAAACAAUAACACACACUUUUUUAUUAUGUGUCUAAUACUAGGAAUUCAAUACAUAAUCUUAGCAUUCAAUAGUUAUUCCUGAAUAAUUUCAUUUUUCAAUUGAUCAACCAUUUCAUUUUUCCAAGUUCAAUCAAUGUUAGUCACAUUAGUCAACAUUUAUAUAUUUUGAUGCAACAACAAUAUGUUAUUUGUAACAAGUGAUUUUGCUAGUUGGUUAAUUGGUCACAAGUUAAUGUUCGGUUCAGUUCAGCUUUUCUCUCGAUUUUUUGCGAUUCGGUUUUUUCGAUUCUCUUUAGAUUCGGUUCGAUUUUGUUUUUUUAUUUAUACUUAAUUUUUUUUAAUCUGAAAACACCAAGAACAACACAAGCAUACUCAAUCAAACAACUAUCCUUCUCCACAAAUCACAGUAAUAAUUACAUUCAUUUAGCUAAAAUGCAAAUAACUAACAAACUCACAAAAAUCGAAUAAAAACUACAAAUUGCUUACUCUUUUUCUUUGGGUUUCACUCGAAAAGUGUCGGUAAAAUUUAGGGUUUGCAAGAACGCAACCGAAAUCCAAAACGGAGGCUCUGUGGCUUGUGGGCUGCUAUUGAGUUCCAGUACGGAAAACCUUGCUUACUCUCUAUCACGGUACAAAGUAUCAGUACCUUUAGCACUGUAUUUGGUAGAACCAAAUUAAAAGCUAACAUCAAUAACAACUACCAGAGACAUAAGCUCUUAUCAAUGCUUUGGAAACAGUCAUGUAUCUCCAAGUGUAAUGAUAUAAUUAGUAAGAAAUUUAAAAGAAAAAUGGUGAUUUCAUAUAAAAUCAAUAAAAAGUUACAAUAUUGACAAUAUAUCAACAAUUUUUAUGGGGUAAAUUACAUAGGACCCCCUCAGGUUUGAGGUCUAUUACAACCCCAUACAACAUCUUUAAAAUAUUUCACUUUCAUACCUCACCUACUAUUUUAUUUCAAUAUAGUACCUCCAUUACAUUUUCCAUCAAUUGAUCCAUUAAGAGCUGAAUUGGUUGCCACAUUUGACACGCCCCGAUCCCGAUAUCCUCGGGAUAUCAGGAUGGUCACGUGCUGGCCGACACCCGAGGGUGACGAAAGCCAUUUAUUGAGUGCAAUUGCUGAAAAUAAAGGAUAGAUAAAACUUAUAAAUGUAAAAGAAUAAGGAAUAUGCAUUUAAGGAACGUGUUCAGAGCAUACAACUAACUAGAACACUAAAAGAAUGAUAUAAAAUGGAAUGAAUAAAAGAAUGAGUCUUACACCAAGAGGACUCGAAGAUGCCGAUGCGGAAGUACCUUGAUUGUCGGGAUUGUACGCCUCGAUCCUAAAUCCUGAAGGGGGCGCAAAACAAACAUGAGUGGACCAAGUUGAUAUAUAUAUAAUAAAACAGUUAUCAAUAUACUAACCCCCAGGUUUAUGAAAACAAAUAUAUAAUGAUGAACAUAGGUUUUCCGAAACCUAGCAUGAUGUGCAGUAUCUCAAAUCAUAACUCAUAUAUAAUAAUCACUAGUGAAUUGUCCGAUAACCUGCAGGCCCCAUGCCGGCUCCCCGUCUCUGAGCAGACAGUCAGAGGAAAAUACACUUCAGGCCCCAUGCCGGCUCCCCGUCCCUGUGCUAAAUAGCCAGAGGAAACACACUCCAGGCCCUAUGCCAACACCAAACCGUCGCCCGGGACGGACCGGAAUCUAUUCCUACGUCCCGUAGCGGAAAUGACCACUAGGUAAGUACAAAACCAUUGAACAUACAUAUAUUGAAAAACAACUUCAUAGUAUAAAGUCAUCCAUCAUCUAUACUAUAAAGAGGUGUUCGAAACAUGUUCUAAAUAUCAUAUCGUCAUCCAUCAGAUAUUCUAUAAGAACACGGGUUAUAGGAAAAAUAGUAAUAAUUCAAGGUAGCCUCAGUAAGCAUGUUAUCUCAAAACGUUUCAUAAAACGUAAUCAUUAAAUCAUGCAUUUCAUGUAUGCAUUUCUACUAUUAAAACAUGCUUUUGAAGGGGUCCACUCACAGUACUUAGCCGCCGAAGAGCCACGCAAACUAACGUCACCAAUAUUGCCCCUAAGCACAUAAAUGGUCCAAUUAAUAAAACUAUAUAAUAGCAAUUGGAUUUGGGAAAACGGACGUUGGAAACGGAUUCAGAACGUCGAAUUACCCUAAGAAGGGUCCCGGACGAAAACCCGAAAAGUCAACUCUAAAGUCAAUGUUGACCGGAGGUCAACGGUCAAAUUAGGUCUAACGGGUUUUAGGCUUGAAAUCCGGAUUAGGGUUUAGGUUAAAUAGGAUUAGGAUUUAUUGGGUUUUGGAAUUCUAAGGUUUUUGGGUUAAAAGGGUUUAGGGUGAAAAUGGGUGGUUUGGGCUUAAUCCCAAACUCACACACAACACACACACACACUACACAAACCCUAAAACACACACACACACACGGGCUGCACUAGGGCAGCCCUCACAACACUUCACAAAGGCCCUAAGGCCUUAUUAAAGGACAGGGCUUUAAGCCCUUUAAAGGAUACUGGCCCAAGGCCCGUCAAAAUAAGGCCCGAGGCCUUUGGGUUUUAAAAAGAACAAGAACAAAUUUAAAAGAAAAGGGGCUGGGGUCUACUGGGCUAAGAUAUAACGGGCUUAAGGCCCGUGGGGUUUUCUAAAGGGCCUGAGAGGCCUGGGUUUGUCGAAGGAGAAGGCCGGAAUUUCGGCCGGAAAACCACCCAACUUUAAAUGGCCAUAACUUUGUCAAUACUCAACGAAAUCAAGCAAGACAAAAAUGAAAGUUGUAGCCCUUGAAGCGACGAAGAGAAUGGUUCCUCACACGACGUCUAACUCGCCGUGGUUUGGCCGGAAAAUGCCUCGAAAUCCGUCGGACUCGCCGGAAACUGGGUAAGAUUCAAAUGAGUAUAACUUCUUCAAUACUCAACGAAAUUAAGUGAAACAAAAAGGAAAGUUGUAUUACUCGACGAGACGAAGAGAUUGAUACCUUACACGCCGGCCAACUCGCUGUGGUUUGGCCGGAAAUGGCCUCGAAAGGGGCGGUGCUCGCCGGAGCUUACUCCGUGCCGUCGAACUCGCAGGGUAGGGUCCGGGGUUCGUUGCAAGCCUCUCUUCGAUGGUGACUCGGUCCUAGUGAGUCCAGGGGAAGAGAGAGAUGCGAAAGGUUGAGGGAGAGAGAGACGGGAGAGCUGAGAAAGAGAGAGCUACGGGAGGGAGAAACGAAGAAGAAGAAGAGAGAGAUCAGAAAACAUAAAAAAAAUAAACAAGGUGGGCCCCACGGGCUCACCAAUUAAGGCUUUAAAACAAUUUUAAAAUAUAAAAGAGGGUUGGGGUGUUUCAACAUUUGUACCACGUGGCAAAAAAAAAACCUAAAUCUUCUAUACAAAAAAACUAAAAAAACCAAAAAAAGCAAAAUCGAACACUCCACCCCGCAAAAAUCCUAGCAUCUUCCUUUUAUUCCCCACAACCCCAAAUUCCCCCCCAAAACCCCUAAAACCCAAACCCUAAUUCCUCCCCCACAUGAAGAAAAUCCCAGUCCAAUUCAAUCCCAAUUACCUCAAAUCCCACCAUAGAAACCCUAAAUUUUGGUUCCUCAAUCCCUAGAUUUCCCACGCCUCUGUUGCCUACACCUUAUCAAUCUUUAGCUUUCUCCCUCAUCCCCUCCAUGAACGACACUUUCUCUCAUCCGCUGUUCCCCAGCAACGGCACCGAUACCUACGAGGCCUGGUACGGCAACAUCCAGUACCUUCUCAACAUCUCCGCCAUCGGCUCAUUCUUAUGUGUCUUCUUUUUCACCUUGGUCAAGCUUUGAAGCGAUCGCCGCCGCAUGCCCGGCUCGUCCUCCCUCGUUGCUAAGCUCUUCGCAGUGUGGUAUGCUACCUGUCGAGAGAUUAUGCUCCCAUGUGGCGCUGAGGCCAUAAUACUCACGCACCCAUCUACACACCCACACCACCACUACCGUGGACUCUCUCUCACUCUCCCUCGUCUUUGUAGAGCUAGGUGAAGCCUAGAAACCGAGAACUAGCUCCAGCAAACCCCGUGAGUUUCGAGCCAGAUCCCUGCCGACUCCGACCAUCCCAUGACCAAUCUAAGGUACAAAACAUUUCCCCUUGACUCUAUGCUCUUUUUCGUAUGUAGAUCGUAGGGAAAAGCCCACAGAAUGAGAGAGAAUAGUGACCUGAGAGAGUCCACGGUGAUGGUGGUGUGUAGAUGAGUGCGUGCGUGGGUGUACUGUCGGGGAUAGAGUCUGAGAGAGAUAGAGAGUGAAAGAGUCUGAGAGAAGAGUGACUUGCGAGAGUGAGAGAUUCGAGAGAGACUCGGGAAAAGAUUUAUGGGUUUGGGUUUUUCUGGUUUUUUAUUUUUAUAAUAAUAGGGUUAAUAUUAUAAUAUUUUUAAUGUAUAAAAAUUUCUUUUUUGCCACGUGGCAGCCACAUCAGCACAAAUGUGGUAGUUGUAGAUGCAAAUUUCUUCCUCUUGAUCUUGGACAAUUUUGCACCUACAAAACAAUUAACACCUUAGGUUAAGGCCAAAAGCCUCACACACCCACAAUGAAUGGGGGGCUUUGGCCGAAGAACCUCUGUUGCCAAAGUUAGAAUUUAGAGAGAAAGAGUCUUUACAGAAUUUUGGGAUUUUUGCCAAAGUGUUGGAAUGGCUUUCUGGUGAGAACGGGAUCACUUUUAUAAGGAUAGGAAGUGGUCGGCCUAGCUAGGGUUUUUGGGUUUAAUUUAGGUUUAAUUCUUCAAUUUAUUUGGCUAAUUAAACCCUAAAGAAUAAAUUGGUGGUUACAAAAUUGAUUAUUUGUAUAAAUGGGGUAAUAAAAUGGAGAAAAGUGAAAAAGGUUAGGAAAAGGGAGGUAGCUAGCUUCUUAGUAGUUUUAGGUGUGAGUGGGUGUUUUAAUUGAUAAUUAAGGGAUUGAUUAGGUAAUUAAUCCCUUAAUUAAACAAUUUUUAGGGAAUAUGAAAGGAAAUUAUUAUUUAGCUAAUUGAUUAGCUAAAUAAUGGAAUACAAAAUAUAUAGAAUAAAUUAGGCUUUAGGUAUUACCUUAUAGAAAUGAUUUGAUGAAAUAGGCUUUAAAUUGUUAACUAUUUUGGGCACUUUUGACUUGGUUGAGGAUGAUUGUCUGCCGCUCGCACGUAGGAAUCUCGAUAUGCCUUAAGGGUAUUUUUGUCCUCUUUUACCCAAAAAUCCACGUGUCGCCUUGUGAUUAUUUUUGGCUCCACAAAUGCCCCCACACCUGUUGGGCUGCUCGCAGAAAAUGGCAGCAGGUGUAGAGAUCAUCUUGCUUUAGGAAACGUAGGACUACUUCCUCUUUAGAUGUAGAUUCUCUCUUUAAUAGGAAAUUAGGUUCUUCUAGGAAAGGGAAAUAAAUUUCUGUUAAAGCCUAUUUAAGUCUACCUUAAGUGGGUUAUUAAAUCAACUUUGGAGAGCGAUUUCUUAUACCCUACAAGAGAGAGGGAGCUUAGAGAAUAUUUGUUCCCCCUCUUCUAGCAAUCUUCUACAUCUUUCCCGUGCAAAGGAUCGUCUUUCGUUGAUUUCUUCGUCUUCUCCGUGCCGCACCGAUGUAAGAAAAAUUUAAUUUUUUGCUUAUCUUCUUCUUGGAUAGUACUAUUACAGGGCAACCGUUAAGGUAGUGCGGCACGUCUACUGGCAGGGGCUAGGAGUUGGCUCGGCAUCGGUCGAUGAGGCAUUAUGGCAGGGGCCACUGCUUAGGCUGUUUGGCUUGGCUAGAGCCAAUGGCAGCUUGUGCGGCUGGGGUCGCGGAUUGUGGCGUUGGGGCGCAAUGCUAGGCGAGCCACAUGGUUAAUGUCCUUUAGGCUCUUAGACCUUACUCGGGCCAGGCUAGCGACUGAAAGAAAUGAGGAGGUCGUGGGCCUCAUGGGUUGUUGGAAUGUUGGGCAUGCAGGCCUCCUGUCUGCUAGAAUGCUAGGUUGAGCUCCUCUGCUGAGUACCGUGAAUGGCGUUGGCUGCUUAGUUCUUUUUACAGAGAGAAAGGUGGGCUGCUCCCGAAAGAGGAAGUAAAGAGGAUCAAGGUGGAUGCAUUGGCUCGUCUAAUCGCUGUCGUGGAACCUCCUAUGAAUGAAGAUGGAAAUAAGAGAUCUUCCCUGCCUACUCAAGAGAUGCCGAUCGAGAAAAAUUGAAGACUUUCUCCACUGCUGCUCAUGAUGAUUUGUCUGCUGUCGAUAGGCCUGUGAUUGGCAUGACUUCUUCCAAUGGGAAGAAAAAUGAGGCUGCUAGAUCUGAUCAUGUGGUGCCUUCCAUGUUGAGAAUUGCUAGUACAAUUGUUGAUAAGAUUGCUUAGCGCAAAGGUUUUAUCAUGCCCCCAGUACCGAAGUCUGUACCAGGACUUUCGUUUGGAGCAAAGUCUGGUUCACCUUUGGAGAUACUUGCUAUUAUGAAAAGUGGUAAGGUGGACUCUGCUGCUAAAGUGGCGUCAAGGCCCACUCCCUUUGUUGCUGAGACUGAUUCGCCUGCUAGGAAGGAAGAUACUACUUGUAUGGGCAGCUGUGAGAAAUCCACUAAACUUGCUUCUGGGGAGGCUGCUGAGAUCAUUGUGCUUUUGAAACUAUAUCUGCUUGAAGACAUGGACGCUUGUGCCAAGUUUGUUGAUGGCGGUAGAAAGGUUGUUUACCUAAGUUCCUUUGCGAAACAUACGACCCAAUAUAAAAUGACUGCUCUGCUUACUAGGAUGCAUAAAUAGCAAGGUUGUCAAGGAGGUGGCGAAGAUUAUGGCAGCUAAAGCUUAUUCCUCAGUCGAGGAGAUCAAAAGGUUGAAUUAUGAGCUUGUUGCUUUGAAAGAAAUGGAAGAACUGCAACACGUUCGUGUUAGUCUGUUUGAGAAGAAUGAGCAGCUAAACGGUAAGAAUGAUGGGCUUGAGGUUUCUCUAUUUUUCCGGAAGACUUGCUUACUUUUACUUUUGAGGCUUCCAUUGGUGAAGUAGUUGGAGACGUUAGUGCCCAGGCUUAGGCAACCGGGGGUGAAGCACCGGAUGAUGCCGCUGCUAAGAACGUUACGGCUGCUGAAGGUGUGGAGACCAAGUAGUCGUGGGAUGUCCAAGCUGCUGUAGUGUAGUAUUUUAGGUAGCUUUUAUGAUUUUCUUUGUUUUUCCUUGUAGCUCUUGUUUUGCUUGAACUUCUUCGGCCUUUGCUAGUUGUAUAAACAUGUUUUCCUUCGCUUUUCUUCAUCUUCGCUUCUUUUGUUCAUGCCCUAACCUUUAGACUUGAUAGACCAAUGGCAGGCAUGCUACUUUUUUAUAAGCAGACAAGCUCGCGUAGCCUAUGCAGCCGUAAAUGUUGGUGUAGAACUUUGCAAAGUUGUUAGCCAUUAGGUUGGUAACCAGAUACCUUACUUACAGAAGUAGACAAGUCCGCAUAACCACUAGGCUAUUAACCUUGACUUUCUCCAAUUCUGUAGGUUGCGUAGCAAGUAUCACAACACUUUAGGAAUUGGUAUAGGUUGCUCCGCACUUGGCAGAGGUGAAGCCUAUCGACUACGUAGCAUGUCGGCAGUGGAUAAAACUUCCAUAUAUGCGCGCUAGCUUGUUUAACCUUUCACAAGAAUGUGCGGUUGUAUAAGUCUAGCACGGUUUUACUGCUUGAAGGGCAAGCCGUAGGCAGUCUUCCGGAAUCCGUAGGCUACCUUAAUGUACUCGGUAGCAGCUUUAGGGUUCCAGGGCAGCCGUCUAUAGAGCGUACUGCGUAAUGUGCCCCAUCCGUCUCUAGCUCCCGGUUCCCCACAGAUUAGACCAAGAGACCCAAAAUCCUUCAGUUAGUUAAGCCUUGAAAAAGACCAUUGUGGCUACUUCUAGGAAUCCCGGCUCAAGCCAUCGUACAUCUAGUUAUACUAGGGUAGCCAGGCUCAUCAGCGUCUGGAUAUUCGGAGUGUAAAGUUUAUCCUCCCGUCUUAGAGAGCUGACCCAUAUGAGUGUCGGGGAAUUGGUUUACCCUCUCACACUAGAGAGUAAUUAAUUUACCCUCUCGCACUGGAGAGCAAUUAGUUUACCCUCUCGCACUGGAGAGCAUGGUUGGUCCAUCGGGGGGCGCAAUUCCUGCGAUGAGUCCCUAAGAAGGGCGCAGUCUUCUUUUGAAGUGCAGGAAUGAUUAGUUGUUAUAAGCAUGUGAUCGAGUCAAGUUGUGAUUACUUCUAAAUUCCUCAUUGAAAAACGAGUGAAACGAACGAGAACUUAGCCGUAAGGUAGGAACUGCAUAACAACUGGAUAGUCCUCAACUUGUGUGGUGGUACCCAUCGAGCUUCUUGAGUCUUCGGGCUUUGAUGUAGUGGGAGGUUACACAUGGCACCUUUUCAGAUUGUAGGCGCUCUACUGCUUUUCGAACUUUUUUUUUGUUGUGUAAUUGCUCUUGCUGCCUACUCGGCUAAUCUUAUACAGACUUUCUCGGAUGAGAUUCAUCUUUUUGGAGCUUCUCUGCUGGCAGUGAUGAAGGCUUUUCUUAGGACUAGAUCUCUGGGCUGGAACUGCCAGAUUUUGGCCUUUUUGUUGUGGCUGGAAAAGAACCACUGCUGGUAAGUUGUAAUGCAGAUGAUAGUCUGCUCGCACUUCUCCUCUGCCAAAUUUAAGCUUGUGGCCAUCUCCUUUCGGUUGCUCGUCUUUUGGUGUUGCGAUGUGCCCAUAGACAUCCAGGGAGUUUGUCUGGCCAUUUUCUUUUCUUAUUGGUAGGGGAUUUCUUGUGGCAGUCGAGGAUCAUCUUAGUGGAUGUUUUGGCCAGCCUAUUGCCUUGAGGAUAUCUUGGCGUAGACAUGUGCUGCUUGAUGCCAUAUUUUUAGAAGAAUUUCGCCAAAUCUUUGCCCACGAAUUACGGGCCGUUGUUGGUGACGAUGGAUUAAGGUAUGCCAAAUCGGCAAAUGAUGCUCUUUCAUAUGAAGCGCUCUAUGUCCGUUUGAAUUGUGAUCGUCAUGGGCUCUGCUUCUACCUAUUUGGUGAAAUAGUUGGUUGCCACGAUCAUCAUGCAUUUGCCCUUAGUAGUCUGGCUGGUGAUUAGCUGGGAAUCAGAAUGAAUUGAAAGCUUUUUCACCACCAAGUCUUUUGUCACUCGAAGGCCUGCUAGUGGGGCUUUGUACUCUGCUUCGUUGUUAGGUGCUUUGACGCUUAGAGUGAUCGCUUACUCGAGCAUUGAACCGUCUGGGGUGGCAAGAACCACGGUUACUUAUAAGCCUUUGUAGUUGGAUGCGCCGUCGACAUGCAAAUGCCAGAAAUUUCCAUUGAGGGAGUAGGUAUGGCUAAAGUGUGCUCGGCUACCUUCGAAGCGUCGUUGGGCCGCUUUGUUACAUUGUCAAGGCUAGGUUUGAAGGCGCGGUAGAGAGUCGUGGAGCUGGGGCCAUGUUACAUGUAGCAGGAGAUGCUCAACUUCCGGUAUUAGGCCACUCUAGAGCUGAAUAAUGGAGCAAAGGUCGGCUAGGGUCGUAUGACGCGCAGCAGAAGGUAGUGCUCGACUGCUAGUACAUGUUGCUCUUACGUAGAAUCUUCUGAGGCGACGAGGACAAAACUUGCUUUUAAGUGUUCCUUCUAGUGUUCGUCUGCCCUUGGCGUGUCUUUUGGGCUGAGUUGUUGCGUUCGUCAGAAAACUUUGCAUCUGCCAGGGUUUACGUCUUUAUCAUCACGGGUUUGGAUUAGGCGGAAUAGUGCGUCAUGAUGAUGACUGCGUACAUUUGAAGGUAAAACUUAAGCUUUUGGGUUACAACAACUAUCACCAAAGUUAGCUUUUGAAUUUUUAAUAGCAUCGAGGAGAGCUUUUGAACUAUAAAAUACAUGUAGUUGGGCCCCCAACUCUUCUCGCAUGACGGUACAGCUUAUUUCUACUUUAGAUACCGUCAAACAUGCGAAUAAGUCCUCUGCUGCUUCUAGGGAGGUGAUGUUGGGUACUUCUUCAAGCCCUUGAAUGUGCAUUGGCGAGCCUCAUCCCAAAGUGCAUGCUUCUCUGCCAAAGAAAAAGAGUCUACCAGAGUUAGAUAUUCUUUCAUGAUCAAUUUUCUAAAUAGCGGUGGUCUGCUGGAAGGCCUUUUUGGAAGGCUGCUCUAGCUAUUGAGUCGCUGCAUCCGACUAUCAUUGCCUUCUCUGUUUUGAAUCUCUUCACAUAGUCACGAAGUGACUCCUUUGGGUUCUUUUUUACGUCAAACAAAUGGUCGGACUUCUUUUUGAUCGAGCAAUAAGAUGAAUAUUCUUUGGUGAAAACCAAAGAAAGUUCGUAGAAAUUCUAGAUAGAUUGUGGCGGCAGGGUGUAGAACCAAUCUUGUGCCUCGCCUUCAUAGUGGUGGCGAAUAUCUUGCACAUGAGAUCAUCGUUGUUUCGAUAAAGGAUCAUUGUGCUUCGGUAGCGCUUUAAGUGUCUCUUCGGGUCUUCAUCCCCUUUGAAAGAUAUGAAAUGUUGCAUACUGAACUCGCAUGGAGGCUCUGCCAGCUCGAUCUCAUCCGUGAAGGGUGACCUGCUUAUGUUGGUCAUGUUCCGUCGUAGUGCCUCGUCGGUGACCUUGUUGCGUUAGAAAUCAUGCAAUCGCUUGAUUAAAAGUCUCUCUACUUCUUCCUGAAUUUUCAUUUGUUAGGGUAGCAGAGCUCUCGGCUGCCCCUAGCCAUAACUUACUGGUCUAGGAUGCUCUUCCAUGUGUUUGGCUCGUAUACCGUGGAUGCAGUGUAUGUGGUGCGGUCCUAGUAGGUGAGCGAGUUCUUCGCAGGCUGCUAGUUGAACUUGAGCUGGAUUGAGUGACUACUUCUCUCCGUCCGUCGUGCUGCCUACUCCAAUGUGAGGUGAAAGAUGCUCCUUGCAGGCUUAGCCACGAAUGAACACUUUACCUGGAAGGUUGCUCAUGUUGACUAUCAGAGUAUGACCCUAACCGUGAAUGUAUAUUCACCCGUGGGCUUAGUCGAGAGUGCACGCUCCUCCGCGCGCUAAGACGAGAGUAUACGUUAUCUCGGGAGCCCAAUUGGGAGUGUACACUGCCCGAACGCUCGGCUCGUGGCUGGUCGAGUGGCUGCUUGCCGAAACGCUGCGGGAAAGGUUCGUCUGCCCUUGUCCUACUUCGGGAUACCUUGUUUGGGGCACGUUGGAUUCUGGUGCAUUGCAAAAGUUGAUUCACCAAGGUUGUCUGUUGUGCAAGGGUGCUCGUAAACGCUACGACUUGUCGAGACAAGUGUUGUUCGUCAUUUGGAUUGGAAUAGCUUGGAAGGAAUGUGCCUUCUUGGGCAGUGGAAGGGUGGUAGACUCCGGGCUCGAGAUUUGAGUUGGGAAAUGUCAAAUCUACGAAAAAAUGUGGUGAGAAUGCCCCCGGCUCGAUGGUAGGUCCGGAUGGUUGAGAUAGUCUUGGGCCGACUUGGGCUGCUUGGAAAGCCACGGGAGCAGGCUGGGCCACGAGAGUGAGCUGCUCGGCAGGAGUAGGCUGGGCUACGAGAGUGGGCUGCUCGGCAGGAGCAAACUGCUUGGAGUGUGAUGCACAUGGGUGCGAGGCUUGGGCUCGGCUUGGUAACACAUUGAGUUCGGGUUUGGCUUGGAGUGACAUGACUUGGGCCGUGGCCUUGGUGUCGUGAGCCUUGGAUGGCACGGCUCGGGCAGUGGUAGCUGUGCCAUGGACCUCGCCGCGGGUAGUGGUGACCGUGAUGGCCACCGCGGUGGUUGCCAUGGUGGAGCCCCGUAGUGAUGGUGCCGCUCCUAUGAUCACAUUUAGCCUCGUGGAUCGUCGUGGUCCCAUUUCUUGAAUAUUAGAAUUUUCACUUAUGGAAUUUUCUAAAUUUCUAGCCAUUAUAUUUUUCUUAUACGUUUUAUCAAAGAACCUUUGCAAAUAAAAAAUUCUAAUAAUAAGAACGUAUGAAAAAAUAUUCAAAUGGACUAGAAAAUAGAGAAAAACCUUUUUAUGCGAGAGUCUUCUACGAGUAUAGAUCUCAACUCUCAAUGAAAGCACCAAUUUGUGGAUGCAAAUUUCUUCCUCCUUGAUCCUAGACAAUUUUGCACCUACAAAACAAUUAACACCUUAGGUUAAGGCCAAGAGCCUCACACGCCCACGAUGAAUGGGGGGGCUUUGGCCGAAGAACCUCUGAUGCCAAAGUUAGAAUUUAGAGAGAUAGAGUGUUCAGAGAAUUUUGAGAUUUUUGCCAAAGUGUUGGAAUGGAUUUUUGGUGAGAAUGGGAUCACUUUUAUAGGGAUAGGAAGUGGCCGGCCUAGCUAGGGUUUUUGGGUUUAAUUUAGGUUUAAUUAGUCAAUUUAUUUGGCUAAUUAAACCCUAAAGAAUAAAUUGGUGGUUACAAAAUUGAUUAUUUGUAUAAAUGGGGUAAUAAAAUGGAGAAAGGUGAAAAAGGUUAGGAAAAGGGAGGUGGCCGGCUUCUUAGUGGUUUUAGGUGUGAGUGGGUGUUUUAAUUGAUAAUUAAGGGAUUCAUUAGGUAAUUAAUCAAUUUUUAGGGAAUAUGAAAGGAAAAUAUUAUUUAGCUAAUUGAUUAGCUAAAUAAUGGAAUACAAAAUAUAUAGAACAAAUUAGGUAUUAGGAAUUACCUUAUAGAAAGGAUUUGAUGAAAUAAGCUUUAAAUUGUUACCUAUUUUGGGCACUUUUGACUUGGUUGAGGAUGAUUGUCUGCCGCUCACGCGUAGGAAUCUCGAUAUGCCUCAAGGGUAUUUUUGUUCUCUUUUACCCAAAAAUCCACGUGUCGCCUUGUGAUUAUUUUGGCUCCACAACAACCACGUCAGCAUUUAACAGACCAAUGGAUGGAAAAUCUAACGGAGGUAUUAUUUUGAAAUAAAAUAACAAGUGAGGUAUGAAAGUGAAAUGUUUUAAAGAUGUUGUAUGGGGUUGUAAUAGACCUCAAACUUGAGGGUCCUAUGUAAUUUACCUAUUUUUAUGUUAAUUAUGAAUAGGUCAAUCAUGUAGAACCAAAUUAAAAGCUAACAUCAAUAACAACUACCAGAGACAAAAGCUCUAAUCAAUGCUUCGGAAACAUAGUCUUGUAUCUCUAGGUGUAAUGAUAUAAUUUGUUGGAAACUUAAAAGAAAAUUGGUGAUUUUGUAUAUAAUCGAUAAAAAGUUAUAAUAGUGACAAUAUAUCAGUAAUAUUUAUGUUAAUUAGGAAUAGGUCAAUCAUGUAUUUAAUACUUACAUGCAUUUAAAAUAAACACCUUAUCAAUGUUUUUUUAACUGUGCUCAGUUUUUCUCCUUCGCUUUGGUUUUGUUCUAUUGGAUUUUUCAACUAUCAUUAAUUGUGAACAUAACUGAUCAUUGAGACACAAACAUCCAAGGGAGAGUACCGUGGAACAAAAUGUGGAUAUCUUUAUACAUUGUAUGGUAGUAAACCAUCAUAAACACCAUAAUAAUGUAGAAACGCUCUUGGGGUACCUUUGGAUGAUAACUCAUGUAUUUGUUGCCCUACGUAAAGAUGGCUAAUGAUAAUGGAAGUCUAAUUUUCUCAUCCCAAUCUCUCCUGUCUCUCUUGUUCUCUUUUCUCUAUAGUUUAUUUCCAACAAGUUGUGUUAUUUUUUUUUUUUAGUAUUGUUAAGCAACCAAUAGAUUUUAAUUAGCAGUCUUUGUUUUUUUCUUUUAUAUUUUUAAUCAAUUUCAGUUGCUUAUCCGUUCUAGCAAAUUGAGCUCUUUUACAGCAAUUUUUUUCUUUAAAUGAAAUUAUUAUUAUUAAAAGAGUGAGAAAAUUCGAAAUUAUUACAACAAUUUAAAAAAAAGAAGUUUCGAAUCAUAAACACAGAGGGAGUUUACAACAUUUUAAUUAAGAAAUUAGGCUUCAGCUCAACUCAUCUUUGCAACGUCGGUUCCACUUCACAUCAACAUGCAAUGUUUCAGAAGGUCACGCGGUUUUGGGGUUGUUGUGUACCAAUAAUAUUAUAUAUAUAUAAAUUAGGAUUGAAGGAUACACGCAUUUUGUAGAGCUUAUUUUGUUAUGUAUUUUAAUGAUUUAAAUGCUUACGUUUUUCUUCACUACAAAUGAGUGAAUUAAUGAUUUUAGAAUUUGUCUAAUUUUUUACAUUGAUUAUUUAUGAAUAUUGAAUUGAAAUAUAGACGAUUCAAAAAUCGUUGAUAUACAUUACAAAAUGAACUCCACAAAAUAAGCGUCAAAAUAUGUAUAUAAAAUGGACAGCGUGAAAGGCUUGGAAAUUGGAAUAGGUUUGAAAAUUGUGCUUUUUGUAGCAAAUUGUAGCAAAGUUUGCUUGGACUUUCACAACCGUAUAAAUUAUGCCGCAGCACUCUCUAUUUUCUCUCUCGCUCUAUAUCGUGGUCCCUCUCUCUCGCCGUCCUCGAUUGCUCGAACUCACUAUCCUUUAUUGCUCGAACUCACCGUCCUCAAUUGCUCGAACCCACUGUCCUUUAUUGCUCGAACUCACUGUCUCCAACUUCCUCUGUUUGGUUCCCGAUGAAGAUGGUAAAACAGUAGGGGCAAGAAAUUAUGACAAUGUUAGAUUUGCAUAUUAAUCUGGUAGGGCUACAAUUCUCCAAUCCACACCCCUUCCAUCUAUGCUAGUGUUUGUACCCAAUAUUAGAUAUCCGGUCUGUGCAAUCGAGAUCGUUGAAUGAGAAAAAUUCUAAGCCGUGGGAUCAAAUAUAAUGAUGUGGAUUAAAUAAGAAAAAUUUAAAUGUUUAUCUUGGUUGAAUUACCAUGAUAAUAUUGUGGAAUUAUCUUCUGCAUAACGGGAUAGCGAGAAAAGUCCAAGGGUGUAGGGAAGUUGUGUGGCUGACUACCGCUUUUUUUUAUGGUGUCAUUAGUAGAGUAAUAUCACACUUAACAUUUAUUUGUACCAUCUCUCUAAUAAAGAUAAAGACCAUCAAUGCAUAAAUAAUGAUACAAAUAUAUAAUAAGAGUAUCAUAUUUGUAACUAGAAUAGGAGAAGAAAGACUUCAAGAUGGGGUCAGCCAAAUAAUUAGCGUCAGGAUAAAAAUAUGAGUAAUGAUAUUUGUAAACAUCGAAAUUUCGGUAAAUAAAUGUUGACCGAUAAAUCAAAGUUUCAACGCUCAUGUAUUACAUAAAUUUUACACGUAGCGUAUGUCUAAACAAAAAAUCGAAAUAAGUUGGAAAAGUCAUCAAACAGGACACAUGUCAACACCUGGCAGAAACGACUUAUUUCAUCUGGAAUAUUAUAUUCAAAAUUAGGCAUUGGAAAAUUCUAUAAAUAGAAGCCAAUUUCAUUCAUUUGAAGGAACCAAAAUCAUUAGGCAAAAUUCUUGAAGCUCUGAAGCUCUGAAACUCCGAAACUCUCAAGCAUCCAGGUUCCCGAAGAAUCAAGAAAGCUCUCUUCGUUCUUCGUUCUUCGUUCAUCGUUCAUCCUAAGAUCAAGCUCCAACGGCCCUUUAGAUCAACAAUCAUCCACUAAUUCAAGAUCAAGCCCCGACGGCCCUUGAAGAAAGUGUUCUUCAUUCUUCGUUCAUCGUUCUUCCAAGAUCAAGCCCCAACGGCCCUUUGGAUUAACAAUCAUCCACCAAUUCAAGAUCAAGCCCCAACGGCCCUUGAAGAAAGUGUUCUUCGUUCUUCGUUCAUCGUUCUUCCAAGAUCAAGCCCCAACGGCCCUUUGGAUUAACAAUCAUCCACCAAUUCAAGAUCAAGCCCCAACGGCCCUUGAAGAAAGUGUUCUUCGUUCUUCGUUCAUCGUUCUUCCAAGAUCAAGCCCCGACGGCCCUUGGAUCAACAAUCCACCAAUUCAAGAUCAAGCCCCAAAGACCCUUGAAGAACUUCUACCAAUUCAAGAUCAAGCCCUGACGGCCCUUGAAGAAAGUGUUCAUUGUUCAUCAUCCGUUCAUCCCGAAGAAUCAAGAAAGCCUUAUUCGUUCUUCGUUCAUCGUUCUUCCAAGAUCAAGCCCCGACGGCCCUUGGGUCAACAUCAUCAACAAAUCCACACAUCCAACCGUUCUUCAAGAUCAAGCCCAAAAGCCCUUGAAGAUCCGUUCAUCACCGUUAUUCAAGAUCAAGCCUUAACGGCCCUUGAAGAAACACUCAUCCUCAAGAUCAAGCCCCAACGGCUCCUUGAAGAUCCGCUCAAAUCCACCUUCAAAGAUCAAGCCCACGGCCCCUUGAAGAAACAUCCAACAGUUCAUCCAAGAUCAAGCCUCGACGGCCCUUGGAUCAACGAAACAUCUACAAAUCAACACCUUACGGAGAUCGAAUCAGAUGAUCAAAUUAGAGAGAGAUUGUAACCCUAAAUCAUCAAAAUACAAAUAUUAUUUUGUGCACGUUGUUCUUAUCUCUUUCGUUUCAGGAAAUUUUCGUGUUCACAAUAUUCUUACCAUCUAAAUAUACUAUAAUUUUAUACCAUCUUAUGUGGCAAUUGAGAUGGACUUCCACAUAAGUUUUAAAAAAAUCUCAUGUCAGCUAAGGUGGAUAUUUACGAUUUUACGAUUUUACUCAAUGAUUUUUAUUAAUAAAAUAAUUAAAAAAUAAUAAUGAAACCUACUUGCUCCCGUUUUCAAGCCUCAUCGCUGGGCCUCCUCCCUCUUCGCUCUCCAAUUUCACCUUCCUUCACCAACGAUCGAUGGUGCUCGACCCCCUUCAUCAUUGCCAACUGGCCGAAUAUCUUGAUGGUGCUCCCAGUGAUUGUUUUGCUCUGCCACCAAAUCAAGUUUGCAAUUUUAAUGGUUUAUGCCUUCUGGCCAAGUGUUGGAUUUGAUAGGUUUUUAAUUCCAGCAACAUUGAACAAAAAUAUGAAAAGGAUUGGAUACGAUAUUUUCCUCUGUUCUACUGCUGAGGAUUUUCCGAAUAGAAGAAGAUUUGGAAGACAACCUCUUUUCUUUUUUCUUCAUGGACUUUUGGUUAGCACCAAAAUCUUUUCCUAAUCCUCUAUAGGAAUGAAAAUUUCAUUCCAUGUUAUAUCCCGAUGUUGUCCAAGGUUUUGGCUUGAAUUUUCAUUGGAAUUAUCAUAUGUUGGAUCAGAUCAGGUGGAGAGAUGAAACGUAUCUAACAAGGAAGUUGAACGGGUAGGGUUUGAGCAAAAAUAAACAGAAAUUCCACCUAGGUUGACACCUAAGCUUCCACAUCAUGUGGUAUACUAAAUGUGGUAUAAUAAGAUGGUAAGAAUAGCAUUAUUGAAUGGGUAAUGUUAAGAGAAAUUUUUAGUUGUGACGGGAACACGGAUGGUACACCAUGCGUUUUUAUGUAAAUGGUGGAAAAUUUUAAUUUUUAAAUUAUUAACCUUUUAGCACACAUAUCCCACCAUUUAUAUGAAAACACGUGAUGUAUCACCUCGUGUGAUAGUCACAUUGAAAAAUCUCUCGUAAUGUUAGGAAAACUAAAUUUAUAAACAAAAGUUACAAAUUAAAUGAUGGGUUACCAAUAAGAAUGAUUACGUUUAUCAAUGCUUAAAUAAUAAAUCAUUCAUCAACUUCCAGUCCUUUAGUUUUUAAAAUUUUGUCUAACAUUACCCUUUCAAAACUCAUGAAAAUAAUUUUCAAUUUUUUUAACUGAAAAGUGAAAGUUACUAAACAAGAUUUCAGUUUUUAGCUUUCAAAAAAAUAAAAACAAAAGCUAAAAAUAAAAUGGUUAUCAAACAUCCCUAGAAGUCAUUCUUAGUGAUAGUAAGGUCAUCUCCAACCGAAAGAUCCAGGGGGCUAGAGGGCCGAAAAUAGUCUGAAAACCAUUUCCAAUCAAAGGCCAUGCCAAAGGGGUCGUGGACCCCAUUAGACAAAAAAGGGCCAAAGGGCCAACUGGCUGGCCCCAGUUCCAACAAUAACUAGAUGACGUCAGUUAACCGUUAUUUUUGAAUUUUUUUUUUAACAAAUUUUAACUUUCUAAGCCAUUAAACAACAUUAAAUUAAGUAAAAAAGAAAAUUCCUAUAACUUCCUAAGUCAUUAAACAAUAUUAAAUUAAGUAACAUGAAACAACAUUAAACAAUAUUAAACAAAAUUAAACAAUAUUAAACAACAUUAAAUAACAUUUAACAACAUAAAAAUUAUACAACAUAAAAAAAAACAUUUAAGAACAUAAAAUUUAAAUGCCUACUUCAUGCUUCUUUUGGCCCAAAGAUGUGCAACAAGAUCCUAAUGUAGGUACUUGUUUGUGGCACGAGAGCGUAUCAUCCUAACCGUUAGAUUUGAUUUUUUUUUGUUUUCGGCCAAAUUUUUUUAAAUUUAAAAAUAAAUUAUGUUUGACCUUUUGGCCCUCGAUUGGAGAUAGUUUUUUUUGUGACAUGACUAUGUUUAGCCCUAUGACCCUUUGGCCCUCAGUUAGAGAUGGUAAGAAAUAUGACCCAACAAUGUUCAUUAAAAUAUUAAUUUCUUGAAGAGCCAGAGGGCUAAAACGAGCCAUCCUUCGGUUGGAGAUGGCCUAAGAAGAGACUAGAGAUAGAGAGAUUCCUAUACUUAGCUGUGAGAGUUUCCUAUAUAUGAUUUUCAUUAACAAGAUUGAACUGAUUACAUAGAGAAGAAGAUCAAGUAUGGUUAUUUUUAUUUGGGAGACUUUGGAUGUGGUCCUUAGUUAUGAAUAUUAUUUGAUUGAAAUCUUGUUGGUUUUUAAUUUUUUAUCAAGAUCCCUGAAAUUAAUGUGAUAAUUUAUUUCUAUGUAAGUUACUAUAUUUUUUUAAUUAGAAAUUAGAAAUUUUAGUUGUUUAUAUAAAUGAGAUUUUAAAUUAAAAAAACCAUAAUUUGUGGGAUUAAAAAUAUUAAAAUAUAAAUAUACUAUUGUGUGUGUGUGUGUGUGUGUGUGUGUAUAAAUAUGGGUACAUUCAUCAAAAUUAACCAAAAAAUUUAUUGUAUCAAAACAUGGGUACAUUCUUCAAAAUCACAAAAAAAGAAAGAUAUUAGGCUUAAUAACAUUAGUAAAUUUCUUCGAUUAAACUUGACAUGGAUACAUUUUAAAAUCAAAGAAAAAAAAUGUACCCAUAUAAGUUUAAAAAUGGAUUAGAAAAAAAAAUUGAAUAGAUUUUAUACAAAAAAAGGGUACGUUUUACAUAUAACAAAUUGGUAUAUUUAAGAAUGAGUACAUUUUAAGAUUAAAAAGUUUUACAUGAAUGGGUUCAUAUAAUUAGCAUGGGUACAUUUAGCAAAAUAAAAAGUACAAAUACAAAAAAAUAUAUGUGUACAAAUACAAAUAAACUUUAAAAAAUAUGGGCACAAAAAGAAAUUAAUAUAUGGGUACAAAUUAAAACCGAAAAGAAAAUUGGUACAAGUUAAAAAAGAAUUACAAAUUAAAAAUGGGUACAAACUAAAACUAAAAAUAUAUGAUAAAAAAUUUAGUCAUAAAUAUAAAUAUACUAAUUGUAACAUUUUUAACAUUAAAUGAAUAUAUUUAGACAUAAAAAAUAUAUUUUAUUAUUGAAAUAAUUAAUGAUGUUAUUAAUACCCAAGGACCUUGAUAAAAAAUUGAAAAGAAAUAGAAUUUUAAUCAAUGGAGUAGCAAAAGAAAAGAUGAGAACCUAAUUUCUCCUUUGUAUUGUGUAGACAUUAUAACUAUACAUUCAUAAUAACAUGAGUAAUGUUAUAUUUAUCACAUUUGUACUCUUUCUCCAAUAAAGAUAGGGUCCAUCAACACAUGUGGGUUCUAUUUGCCCAUCAACACAUGCGAAUCUCAUUUUUAUUAGAAAAAUAGUACAAAUAUGAUAUGGAAAUUAUGAUAAGAUCGCAAUUUUGUAAUAACAUAUAUACUCAACUAUUUAUAUACCAACUCAUCUCCCUUUAGUGUAGUUAAUAUUGUUUGUUCAACCAAAAAAAAAAAAACUGAACUUGUCAUAAUCAUUGAAUCCAUUUACCAUGAACAAACGGCAGUUUACUAAACUUGCCCUCAGAGUAUAUAUAAAAGGUGAAUCACAAUCUAUUGCAUUAAUAUAAGGAAACAAUUUAUAGGGUUUGACGGGUGACUUAAUAUGCUAUAUGGCACAAUGAAAAUUAAGUUCACACUUUAUCCCAAAUAAGGUGUUGCACCUUUAAUUUAUGGAUGCUGGUUUGACGUGUGACCGAAAUAAUCAAAUUGUAGCCAUUAAUCAUUUUACAAGUAAUAAUAUGUGGUUUUAUUGUUUACGAUUCACACAACAAUCUGCUAGGAAGUAGAAAAUGCAGUACUUGUCCCUCUCACAGAAGUCAUGAAUAAUUAUCAAAUUCAAAGAUAAAGAAAAACCACACAAUUUACAAGAGGAAAGAAAAUGAAGGGAUAAAGAAAGUAAGAAAGGAAUACCUCUAUGGGAGGACUCUUAUUUGCUUCAGAUGCCUACAAUAUUCAUCAUAUAAACACUGAUUAAGUAGUCAUCGAAAACCAAAACAAAUGUCGAACAUAGGGUGAAAAACAGAAAGAAUAACCGCAGCUCAUCAUACCAAUAGAGAUAGAACUGCCCGAUGCCCAAGUAUGACUGAAAAAUGGCAAUCCAAACAUGGCGCCUUCUAGCUCAUCAAACUGUCAAAACCUAGGUUCCACCAAAAAGAUACAAGUCACCUAGUUACUUGUAAAAUAAAAAUCUGUUUCAAAAUAGUGGAAAAUAUUAUUAACAUUGUUCAAAGUCCACAUUGUUGUACCUACCAAGAAACAAGAAGGAUUGUAUCUUAUCAUGAAAAAGAACAUAGGUACCUUUUCAAUUGUAAUUGUACAAAAAUGAGAGACCACUUCCGAACUUCUCUUGGAACUUCAAUCAAUUUCUGCCCACUUUUAAAUGCCUUGACAUACUUAAGCCUAUUUCUUUGAGCUUCAGUUUUGGCUUCUGAUGCCUUUAAAUUUCUUAAAGAUUCUUACCAAGUUUUACAAACUCACUUCUAUACAACCAUUUGUCAGUAUACAUACCAUUUUCUUUGAGCUUCAGUCUUUGCAACACCAAAACCCCCCAAAUAGACCCGGAAUUUUGCAAUGUGCAGGGAAUAUACAAAAAAAACCCUCCUAUCCAUCUAAAACGAAAUCAGAACGCAAACCACAAUCAAAAUCCGUAAAAUUAAUUUAGCCAACCCCUAAAUCUAAUAAUUCUAACAAAUAUUAUAGUAUCAAUUGAGAGAGAAUUUGAGAAGAUACCUAGAGAUGAAAGGAAGAGCGUUUCCUCUGAUAGGGGUUCCGUGAAAGCAUCUGUUGACCAGAAAAGAAAAGGCAAAAAACCCCAAAUUACAUAUCAAGCAAUUAUAGAUAGAUCGAACCUUGAAAAUUGAAAUUUCAAACAAGAGAAAGGUUAUAAACUUACAACGAUCUGGGUGUUGGUAACUGGGUUUGGAUUUGGGUUUCUGAUAAGAGAGAGAAUCGUAUGAGGAACCGAUAGAGGAACUGCACCGGCAACAGAGAGCAAUUGAUAUGGUGGAGAACAGACGAGAAUAGCUGCUUGGAUGGUCAAUCCAAGAAGAGAAAAUCUUGCCACAAUCGCGGUACUUGAAAAAAAAAAAAACAAGUUUAAAGGAGGGAAACAAUCGCGCCUUUUUCUAAUAGACUCUGUCGACGAUAUUCUUGACAAAUAGAUGCUUCGUCGGGUGAGCUUAUUUUUCACAACAUUUUAUUUAGGAUUGGGUUCGGUUGGUAAACCGUGUCAAAUUUCUUGUGCCACUUGCCAGCCACAUAUACAUAAUUACCGAAAAUCAGUUACCGUUAGCCAACCGUCUUCUUGCGGUUGCCAAAAAUCGGUUCAGCCAAAAUGAUUGGCUGGUUCGGUUGGUAAAUGGCACAACCGGUGGUUUCCACUUCUUCCUCGCUAUCUUCCAGUUCCAAGGGCUCAAUUUGAUUUUCAGAUUGGGAUGCUUGUUCGGUUGCAUUGUGUGGUUCAUUUUGGGUUAAUCCAUGUUGUGCACUAGUAGUUGAUUGGCUAGACUCCAUUAUCCUAAACAUAAGCAACAAAUAUACAUUCAAAAUAAUAUAUAUGUACGUGUAUAUAUAGUAUCAGUAAUCAUCAUGCUAUCAAUUUUGUUAACAAUAUUUUCUAUAUAUUGAUUUUGGCAUGAAUCAUAUACACAUACAUAUAUUUUUAAAACCCUAAAACUAAGGAGUCAUUUAUUUUCUAAACUCUAAAAUUGAGGAGUCAAGCAUGUAAAAAAAUACUUAAAAUAUCUAAAUAGAAAAAGAAAAAGAAAAAAAAAUAAAUAUAUAUAUAUAUCGGUAGGUAUGGCAUACCGCCGGCAUACAAAAUCAAUUACCAAAGCCAUGCCAUUAAUUGUCGGUUCGGUAAAAUGCCAACCGAUUAUGAAAAAAUGUCAAAACUAUACCAUACCAUUUUGAGCCAACCAGUAUGGUUUGGUCAGUAAAUCGGUUUAUGGCAAAAUUUCUCACCCCUAAUUUUAUUUGUCACCUUAAACCUAUUGGUUUCUAGCCUACAAUUCGGAUAUUUUGUUGGGGAAAGAUUUUUGUACCAAUAAAAUUUUGCUUUGUCGGCAAAAUGACAUUUUCUAGUAGUUAUAAUAUUAGGUAGAUCAAAUUUGUAAACUAUGUGAUGUGUCACUAAUAGGAAAAAAUUUCAGUGUGCUGAAAAUACGGUCUAGAACACCAAGUGUCAUAAUAUAUACUUGGUUGGAAAUCUUUUAUUUUCAAGUUUCCAACUAGUUGUAUUGUAACAGUUGGUGUUCCAAGCUAUUUUCUCCAUGCGCUGGAAAAUCUCUUCACUAAUUAAAAAUAAACAUAUUAAUUAACACUUAAGUAAUAAUCAAAGCAUCAACAACUACGUCAUAGAAUUUACGAAAUAUGAUCUUAAUUAAUGAUCUCCAUUACCCUUUAUCUUAGCGUAUACGUACGCCUUCACAUGUUUAUUUGCUGAUAUGCAGCUUGAGUAAAAAUUUCUUUUUAAGAACAUAUAUGUGAAUAUAAACAUAUAUAUCUAGUGAUCCAUGUUGCGUUAUUUAAAAAUAAACAAAUUAAUUAAUUAAUGAACUGUGUACCUGUCUGUGUAGAGUAAUCCAUAUGCAUGCUUGAAUCCUGAUCACCACGAAACCAUAAUAUAAGCUACUCAAGGCCCGGAAGCUAGGAUUGAAGAGAAAAACACCCAGUCAGAUUAAGCCAAUACAUCAAAGUUAAUACUUCCAAAUGUAAGCUUUAAGAUAGAAAAAUCACUUACUUCCUUGAGCAGUCGAGCUUCUUCAAUGGCAUGAAGCUUUUAGCAUGAGAUUGACUGCAUCACAACUAAAAUUUUCUCUUGGAAACUACAUAAGGAAUAGCAUGUAUACCUAUAACGUUGAGAAAGUACGCCAAUUUUUUCCUUCUGCACAUUCAUGUUUAAAAGUAAUCCUCAAAUGAACUUGCCCACAAUGAAAUGCAAUUUGAGGUAGUCGAGUGUGUUCCAUUUCCAUCCCAUCGGAAUUACUACUAAACUUUGAGAUGGUAGAGGAUUCAUGAAAUUUUUUACUUUUGAAAUAGUCUCCUUAGCAUUUCUCGACUAUAACAAUGAGGAAAUACUUCACCUUGUAUCAAACAAGGGAGACCGAAAAUCAACUACUAAUAGCAUCACAGAGCCAGCAGAAGAUUGAGGAGGCCAUGAAAAGGAAAGAGAAAAUACACUCUUUUUUUGUAAGGACAGAGAUAAUACAUUCAAUAAAGGGUACUGAUGUUUAUAUGCAAAGCUGAUUAGGUUUAAAUAGUCGUAUUUAUUCUGUACAGUGCCAAUAUUACCACCCGUUAGUACACUUUCAAGACACUGUAAUCCAGUGUAUGCACUAUGCAGUACGUAGUACUCCUCAUUUUUUUGGGGAAAUUCAUUAUUGGUCUUCAUAUCUUCUUUAUUUUCCUUGUCCUCAUUGUGCCACGUGUUUAAAUCACUAAUUAUAGGUAAUCUUUCAAUUUAAUUAAAUCUUAUGUAAAAAAAGAUAAUUAAAUAUCAUUUAGUAUUACAAUAUAGUGAUAUUCCUCUUUAGUAUAAAAUUUUUAUAAUUAAAAGCGUUCAGCUUUUUAAUCUUCAUUGGAAUAUUAUCUAUAAAGAAAAAUUAUUCGAAUCAGAGAUCAUUUAUGCAUUCAAAUGUAUAAAAUACAUCGACAGUGUGAGAACCAACUAAUAUAUUUUUGAUGAAGUACAAUUAUUGAAUACAUUUGAACGAUCAAAUGAUAUAUGAUUCAAAAUACAUAUUAAGAUAAUAAAUAUAAAAGAAUUGUUAUUUGCACUUCAAGAAUCUCAUUCUACACUCUAAAUUUUCUAUAUAUUAAAAGAAAAAUAAAUUUGUGAAAAGUGUAGAAUGAGGUUUUUUUAAAUGCUAAUAACACUUCUCUAAAUACAAUUAUGAAAUUAAUUAAGUAAAGAUACAUGACCUCGUGAAUGAUGAAUGUAUUAUUCAAAAAAAUAUUAAAAACAAAUUGAAAAAGGACGCUGUUGUUGCCACCACUUAUGCAAUGAUCGUCGCUGCCAUCACCAACCCCCAACACCCCAUUACAGCUCAUAAAAGCACAUCAUAAGCAAUUUAUGAAAUAAAUUUACUGGAAUACUAAUUUCCCCCUUAGUUUAGGUCACCAAUGUUUAAAUUUAGGGAUCGUGAUAUCCACACACAUUUUUUACUUCUUUCACACUUUUUUUUUCGGUUGUCGGAUCAGAUGAAUUGAAGAAAAUCAAUGAACAGAAAUUAACAAGGGGUGUGUGAGAAGUAAAAAUGAAUGUGUGGAUAACACACCCCUAAAUUUAUCACAACUUUCAUUCCAAAUUUAAUUUUUAUCCGUAGUUUUGUUUGUUCAAAUUUACUUUGACAUUUCCAUUAGUAUUAAAAUCUAAUUUAAAUUUUAGUGUUCAAGCUAGAAAAAGUGUUCCAUUUAAUAUUUAAUCUCAGUUUUUCUCUUUAUUCUUUUAUUGGGAUUUGGUUGCAUCGUAUCUCCAUUUUUCUCGGUGUUGUAUGUUCAUAAGGCCUGUGAAACGUUGGCACGGAGUGAAGGGUACUCACUUUUUGGCCCAAAAUGCAUAAGGCAUGUAGAUAUGUUAAUCAAAUUUUGUAAACUAAAGGAUAUAGAAGUUGAUAAUUAGAUUAUAAUUUAAGAUAAUACUAAGGAGACUAAAUUUGCAAACUAAAUGAUGUGUCACCAAUAAAAAUAAGCACGUUUAUCAACAAUUAAGUAAUAAAUCAAUCAUCAACUUUCAUGUCCUUUAGUUUCCAAGAUUUAAUAUACAAAUUUAGUCUCCCAAGCAUUACUCUAUUACUUAAGUAUUGAUUAACAGACUUAUUUCUUAUGGUGACACAUUAUUUAGUUUACAAUUUUAGUCUACCCAACAUUACUCUUUUGAAAUUGUCUUGUCCACUGAUAUAAUUCUAUUUUUCUUGUGAUCAAAACUUCAAAUGUUAGCAAGUCGCACGUAAAGUCGCUUAUGAGAGAAUGUGCUCACAUUGUAGUUGAAAGAUUAUGUGGCUAGCAACAUUACAAAUUUAAUUUGGUAUAAUUCUAAAAUAUAGAUUGAGGAAAAAAUGAUCACAUUAACUAGAAACUGAAAAGGUUUCAGCACAGUUUGUUCAAGCAAGAAAUUCAAUUUUGAUGCUACCGAUCUUAACAGCCUGAGCGCCGUACCUGGGCACCAAAGUCACCACCACACUCUCAUCAUCUUCAGCACCCAAAUCCUCCAACAGGUCCGUUAACCCCAACCUUAAACAACUCUUGCUCUUUUCCUUCUGCUUAUGUGGCACACUCACAAAACUCCCAGCAAACUCGCUCUUGUCGGGUCCACUCGGUGCCGCAUCCUCAUCGUCCACGUCAUUCACAUACACACAUCAAACUUCACAGCCACAUCUUUGUCAAGCUCAAUCCCCUGAAUCACCAAUAUCUCCUCCUCAUCCUCUUUCUCCUUCUUGCUCCUCUUCUUCGGCUUCGGCCUUGACACCACCGUACUUAUCUUCGUCUCCAAAUUUAUUGGAAAAUCUUUACCCGCCACCACCUUCCCUGAUGACGUCGUCUCAGUGGCCUUCGCCACUCCAGCCGCCUUUGCCUUUCUCGCAAGCUUUGUCCGACGUGGCGUCGGUCUAGACUUGAGCCAUGGAAUCUCAACAUCUUCAUACGUAUACCCUAGCUUUUUAUUAUCAAGAGUGUCCCUCACCGUGACCCUAACAAGCUCAGCAUUCUCGUCAUAAAACAAAAACCCCGUAUCCAACCAAUCCUUAUCGUUAAUAUCGUUAUUUUUAGUCCCUAUACUUUUCCAAAUAUUCCACAUUCGAUCUAUAUUCGAAUGGUGCGAAAAAAAUAUUGGAUCCCUUGCAGCGGAGUAAAAAUUCCCCAUGUCUUCAAAAUUAGGCUGCGUGUUAUCUCCGGUCCAUAAAUGAACCGGACCAUGUGGGGUCGUUUCGAUUGAACCGCCCCCUGGAUCUGGUUCAGUGUCAGCCCUGUAGGGCGAACCAAAGAACAACAGCGGUUUCUUGGAGUUGGAAACCAUCUGCCUAUACAUGAUUUUGAGGUUGGCGUCGAUUUGAGCAUCCUUGGACAUUGUUUCAUCCGUGCCGUUGAAGUCAAGAUCGAUGAGAGUCGGCGGCUGAUGGCUGGCAGCGCGGAGCUCGUCGUAAAGCGGAGAGUCCGGGUUAGCGAACAAGGCAGGGAGUUGCAUGCCAGCUGGCGCGUCCCAGUUCCAAAACGGCAACGCGAACGUCGGAUCGUCUAUGAGUUUGGCCAAGAUUCUUUCGUAGAAGUAUACGUAGUAACGAUGGAAGGGGAAGAAAAGCCAGCAUUGAUGGAUUUGGAGCUCGAGGUUGGGGAAGCCGACUUGGUCGUACGCGCCGUCGCAAUAGGCACAGUGGAGAUCGGCUUGCUGGGUGAAGCUACGCGGAUCGUCGUCCGGGAGGGCUUUCAUGAGCUCGAUGGCUUUUGAAUAUUUUUCGAUGUAGGCUUUAUCCACGGUGUGAGCUGCCGGCCUGACGCGGAGUUUGGUAGGGGAGGGGAAUUUGAAGUCUACGAUUUUUUGGGACGUUGGCGGGCAACAGUUGAUCGGGACUGCUCCACUUGGAAAGUCCGCAGCUCCGCAUUUGGCUAGGUCAGGCGGCAACACUGGCUUUGCAACAGCGAAGGGGUCGCUGCCAAGACCAGCCACUCCGGCUUUGCAACAGCGAAGGGGUCGCUGCCAAGACCAGCCACUCCACCGUAGAGGCUUCCGAGACCUAUAAGAAGAUAGAAUUCAGUUCUUGGCAGUAGAGGACUCUAUUGCAGGGAAAAACUGAUUUGAAUUAGGAAGGCUUAAGUAGUUUUCCAUAAGGAUUUUAAUAGGGAAUCCAUAUUCUAAUAUGAGAAGGAUAUGUGUGUACAUAUAUAUAUAUAUAUAUGGCAAUCUCUUCUCUCACAGGUGUGUGCUCUUUUGGAACUAAGCCCUAUUCUUAGUUUGAGUGAUAAAUACCCUGACAGAGAGAAGAAGAAUUGAUGUGCUUUUCAGGUUGAUCGAGAUCCACCAUGACUGCAUCAAACGGGAGUUCUACAGGUUAGUAUAAUUAGGUUUUAUUUGGAUUGAUGUUUUGUGUCUACUUGGUUGUAGUUUAAGUAACUGAAUCUUGCAGCUAGAUUUUGGUUUACAUGUGGUAUCAGAGCCAUAGAUUCAUGUUCUUAAAUUCAAUCGAUAAAAUUGAUUGAAUCCAAAAUAAAAUUCCGAUCUUCAGACUUCGAAACAGGUUCUGGUAGUUAAAAUUAGGAAAAGAAGAAACGGUGCGUUUUGAUUAAAAUAUGAUGAUUAAUACUUGACCGUUAAGAGCUAAUAAACUAUCUUCUCUUCCGAAUUGGGAAUACAAAUCGACAUCUAUCGAUUUCGAUUUCGGGGUUUGAAAAACUGGGUUAUAUGACAUCUAUCGAUUUCGAUUUCGAGGUUUGAAAAACUGGGUUAUAUGAAUUGUUAUUGAGUAUCCACAAUUUAUAUUAAUUGCUUCCGCUGCUGGGUGUUGAUGCUCAUAGAACAAACGGGUAUGUCUCCUGAACAUUGAAUUGAAAUUUGUUUUUUAAUCAAUCUUAUCUUGAAUUUCAUUAUGUUCUACAGCAUGAUUCGAAUAGUGAGCAUAAAAAUAUGCUUAUUUAUGCUGAUUAGUCCUAUGUUUAUGCGUUUUUCUCUAACCAUCUAUGGAAGGGAGUUCUUCGAUAAGAACCUCUGCAGAUUUCACUUGUUUUAUGCAGAAAGUUUUAUGAAGAACUGUUCAUUUGAUAAAGAUCUGCUAAAACUGUGUUCUUAAAUGGAAAAAUCUUUUAUUCUAUAUGUGCUUAUCAAUUCUUCAUUGUUAAGAUUAUAUAUAUGGAUAAAAGGUUUUGAUGAUAUGAUGUACAAAGGAUUGUGAGAUGAAAUCUGGAACUCUAAACGUUCUUCUGUGAUUCAUUGUGAUUUCAUUGUGCUACAGUGUCUGCAAUAUCAAUGAAGACUCUGAAUUUGGCUAACAUCCCAAUUCUUACUGGUGGGGGAAAUUACAAGAAGUGGAGAAGGGAAAUCAGUUUGCUGUUGACUCUAAACGAGUUUGAUAUAGCAAUCGAGAAUCCCAAACCCGUGGUCAAUGAUCAGAGCAGCACAAGGGCUGAAAAGGCAGAUUUUGAGAGAUGGACAAGGGCUAAUAAGGUAGCAUUGUCCAUCCUUGAGAGUGGCAUGACUGAUACAAUCAGAUGAGGAAUUAAGAAGCACGAUUUGGCUGCUGAUUACCUAAAAGCUAUUGAAAAGAAAUUUCAAGAAUCUGAAAAAGCUGAAGUGAGUCAGUAUAUGUCUUUAUUAACUACUUACAAGAUGGAGGGUACAAGCUCUAUAAGGGAUCACAUAAUGAAGAUGACAUAUGCUGCAGAAAGACUCAAUGCAAUGGAUAUAAACAUAGGUGAAAAGCAGUUAGUAUUCAUGAUUCUUCAAGCACUUCCCAGUAAAUAUAGUCAGUUGAAGAUCUCCUACAAUACUCAAGACAAAAACUGGGAUAUUGAUCAGUUGAUUGCACAGUGUGUGCAAGAAGAAACUCGUCAAAAACAAGAAAGAGGCAAAGAAGUUGAGGACAUCAACUUUGUGCAAACUAUAAAUGACAAAAAGCAGUUCAACAACAGAAGCUUUUCUGGUUCUGGUAAGAGUUCUAAGCCUUUUAAAACUUCUAAUAAGUUCAGUAAUUCUGCUAAAGUAGUUGACUCCCCUAGAAAAUCUAUCAAGUUUAAAGCUAAACCUAAAGAUGUGUCUAAAUUAAAAAUGUUUUUGGUGCAAAACUAAGGGCCAUUUAAAAGUUAACUGUGAAAUUUUCAAAGAUUAUGUAAAGAGCAAAGAAAAGGAACAAGUACUUGUCUGUAUUGAAUCAAAUUUGUGAAGUAUACCUGUUGAUUCUUGGUGGUUUUGAUAUACCGGAUGCUCAGUGCAUAUAACUAAUUCUUUAAAUGGUUUUCAAAAACAAAAGGAAUUUGGAAAUGCUACAUAUAAUGUUUUUGUUGGGGAAGGAACUAAAGUUGCAGUAGAGUCAAUUGGGAUAGUCAAAUUAGUCUUAUGUUCUGGUUAUGUUUUAGAGUUGAAAGAUGUGUGCUAUAUGUGCCUAAGAUGAGAAGAAACUUAAUUUCUGCCCUCUAAAAUUGUAAAAGAUGGUUUUUCUUUUCUUGGUGAUGAUGAGUGCCUCAAAAAUUUUCAAGAAAAACUGUCCUUGUCCUAACACUAUUUUAGGGACUGCUUUUUUGUCUGAUAAUUUAUGGAAUCUAAAUUGCACUGUUAAGGCACUCAAUCACACGAUUUUCAGCAUUAGUACUAAGAGAAUGAUAGGUCAGGAUACUUCAUACAUUUUAUGGCACAAAAGACUAGGACACAUCUCUAAAGAAAGGAUAAUUAAGCUGUAAAAAACUGACUUGAUUCCAAAAUUAGAUCUUUCUACUGCAACUGAAUGUGUUGACUGCCUAAAGGGUAAAAUGACCAAUUUUAGAAAAACAGAUGCCAAAAUGAGCCAGGGGUUACUUGAAAUCAUACACACUGAUAUCUGUGGUCCUUUUCCAGUUAAGACAAUAUGUGGAAACAAGUAUUUCAUUAAUUUCAUAGAUGAUUUUUCAAGGCUGGGAUAUACCUUUCUGAUUAAUGAAAAAGCUGAUGCCCUUAAGUGUUUUAUAAUUUACAAAACUGAGGUUGAAAAACAGUUAGGCAAGGUUAUUAAAAUUGUUAGAUCGGAUAGGGGAGGUGAAUACUUUGGCAGGUACACUGAAUCCGGGCAGCAAAAGGGACCAUUUGCUCUCUAUCUCGAGAAGAAUGGUAUUGUGGCGCAGUACACCACACCUGGAACGCCUCAACAGAAUGGUGUUUUUGAAAGAAGAAACAGGACUCUUAUUGGUAUGGUUAGAAGCAUGAUGUCCAGAUCAAAAUUGCCAGGAUUCUUGUGGGGAGAAGCUUUGAAAACAGCUAAUCAUAUAUUGAAUCGAGUUCCAAGCAAGGCAGUAUCUACCACACCCUAUGAGUUAUGGCAUGGGAGAGUUCCUAGUUUUACUUAUUUCCAUGUUUGGGGUUGUAAAGCAGAAGCUAAGUUAUAUAAUCCUAAUGAAAGAAAGCUGGAUUCAAGGACUCAGUCAUGUUAUUUUAUUGGCUAUCCUGAGAAAUCAAAAGGAUACAGGUUCUAUAUCCCUCAAGGUCACACUCGGAUCCAAGAGACACACAAUGCAGUUUUCCUAGAAGAUGAAGAUGUCUCUCAUUUGUCAAGGGAAAAUUUCAUAUUUGAAGAGAUGCAUUCAGAUGGUGGGGACCAUGUGACAAUGGAUUAUAAUAUCGGUCUCAUUGUUUCCCAAUCAAUCAUCAAUUGCCAUUGAAGAUAUGAGUGAAGAUUUAGGAGUUCCUGAUGACAACUCUGUAGGAGUUGAUUCCACAACAUAAGCUGCAACAAUUCCUUUUGCAGAAGCAUGUGAACCAGUUGCUGUUCCACCUCCAGUUGAAAUCAGAAGGUCACAAAGAGCUCGGAAAACCACUGCAAGCAAUGACUAUGUGUACUUAUAAGAGACUGAGUUCGAUAUUGGUGACAUUUGAUGAUCCUCUUACAUAUACUCAGGCAACUGAAAGUCCUCAAGCAGUUCUUUGGAACAAUGCAAUGAAGGAUGAGUUAGAUUCAAUGUCCAAAAACCAGGUUUGGACAUUGGUGGAAUCCAACUCUGAAAUUAGGCCAAUAGGCUGCAAGUGGGUAUAUAAAACCAAAAGGGAUGCUGCUGGAAGAAUUGAAAGAUAUAAAGCAAGGUUGGUUGCUAAGGGGUUUACUCAAACGGAGGGGAUCGACUAUAAUGAUACUUUCUCUCCAGUUUCCUCCAAAGACUCCAUGCGAGUUAUCAUGUCUUUAGCUGCCUACUUCGAUCUUGAAUUACAUCAAAUGGAUGUAAAAACCGCUUUUCUUAACGGAGACUUACAAGAGGCUAUAUACAUGAAACAACCUGUUGGAUUUGUUGAAAAGGGGAAAGAGAAUUUAGUAUGCAAGCUCAAUAAGUCCAUAUACGGCUUGAAACAAGCAUCAAGGCAAUGGUACCUAAAGUUUGAUCAAAUUGUCUCUGCAUAAGGUUUUGUAGAAAACAAACUGGAUGAUUGUAUAUACAUUAAGUUCUCAGGUUCCGAGUUCAUCUUCUUAGUACUUUAUGUUGAUGCCAUUCUCCUAGCUAGUUCAUGUCCCCAAUUGCUUCAUAGCAUUAAGAGAAUGCUAAGUGAUAACUUUGAGAUGAAAGAUCUUGGAGAAGCACAUUAUGUACUAGGAAUAGAGAUUGUUCGAGAUAGGAAAAUGAGGCUCCUUGGUUUAUCUCAAAAGGGGUACAUUGACAGAGUGUUGGAGAAAUUUCAUAUGGCAAAUUGCAAUUGUGGUCAGGUUCCAGUCAAUAAAGGUGACAAGUUUUCGAAGAUUCAAUGUCCAAGAUCUGAUUUGGAGGUGAAGAAAAUGCAAGCUAAGCCUUAUGCCUCGUUGAUUGGAAGUCUUAUGUAUGCAACUAUCUGUACAAGGCCUGAUAUUGCCUUCAUAGUUGGUAUGCUAAGACGAUUUCAAGCAAAUCCUGAGAAGCACAUUGGGGGUGGCAGCCAAGAAGGUUCUUCGAUACUUGCAGAGAACCAAAACUCACAUGUUAGUAUAAUGGCCGAACUGAUUCUUUGGAGCUCAGGGGGUAUAUACUCGGAUUUAGCUGGAGAUGUGGAUGACAGGAAGUCCACAGGGGUUAUAUCUUCAUACUCAAUGGAGGGGCAGUUUCGUGGAAAAAUGCAAAGCAAACUAUUAUAGCCACAUCAACUAUGGAAGCUGAGUUUGUAGCCUGUUUUGAAGGCAUGAAACAGGCAGCAUGGUUGAAGAAUUUUUUGACAGAUUUAAAGAUUGUGAAUUCGGUUCAGAAACCAGUAACAAUGUUCUGUGAUAAACAACUCGGCUGUGUUUUUUGCUAAGAAUAAUAAAAGGACUUCAGCAUCUAGAUUUGGAUGGACGAAGUUUCUUAAGGUCAGAGAACAAGUCAAGAAAGGAGUUAUUGAAGUACAGCACAUUAGCACUACUAUGAUGAUUGCUGAUCCCUUGACUAAGGCACUGCCAAUUGGAGAAUUCAAGAAACAUGUUUCUUCAAUAGGAGUACUAGAAGGUUUUGAUCAGUGGGAGUAAUCACGUGUGUGUUAAAGGCUUGGGAUUGCAGAAGCAGAAGUAUAUAUGUGUUUCAAGAACUGUAUGUGCAAUUCUGACAAGCUGAACUAAGGAUGCUUUAUGUUUUAACUUGCUUUAGUUAGUUUGUUAAGGUUGUUUGUGUUUUAAUAAGUGUCCUUGUCUGCUACUCAAUACUUUGGCUUUCAGGUGUUGAGGUACGGAUACUGGACUGAGUUAGAAUUUAGUUUCAUUAGUAACUUUGAAAGAACAGUUUGUCUGUUUUUUAAGUUUGUGGUUAAUGAUGUUAUAUAGUCAAUUACUAUGUUGCUUUUCUGUGAAGAUUAAUGUGUGUUGUGAUCUUUUGAAAAGUGGGAGCAUAAUGUUUGACGGUUUAUGUUAGUCAUGAGUCAUAUUUACAAAUUGAAUAUAUGUGAGCCUUGAAUUAAUACUACAAUUUGGUUGUGGUCUGAGAUUCUUGGUUUCUAUAUUUUGAGAUGUAAUGGGACAGUGGUCAUGAUGGUUAAAUCUUAGAUGAGGUUAUGUGAUCACUUCUUAUGAUUGGUGACGGCAAGGUUUGAUCUUUGUCUCAUGUUCAAGUGGGAGAAUGUAAGAAUGUGAACAUGAGAUAAGAUGAUCGGAUAUUAGUUGUUUGAGUCCAAUCCGAAUAAGAAAGCCUCUAAGAAGAUGGAAUUCAGUUCUUGGCAGUAGAGGACUCUAUUGCAGGGAAAAACUGAUUUGAAUUAGGAAGGCUUAAGUAGUUUUCCAUAAGGAUUUUAAUAGGGAAUCCAUAUUCUAAUAUGAGAAGGAUAUGUGUGUACAUAUAUAUAUAUAUAUGGCAAUCUCUUCUCUCACAGGUGUGUGCUCUUUUGGAACUAAGCCCUAUUCUUAGUUUGAGUGAUAAAUACCCUGACAGAGAGAAGAAGAAUUGUUGUGCUUUUCAGGUUGAUCGAGAUCCACCAUGACUGCAUCAAACGGGAGUUCUACAGGUUAGUAUAAUUAGGUUUAUUUGGAUUGAUGUUUUGUGUCUACUUGGUUGUAGUUUAAGUAACUGAAUCUUGCAGCUAGAUUUUGGUUUACAUAUUUUUCGAUGUAGGCUUUAUCCACGGUGUGAGCUGCCGGCCUGACGCGGAGUUUGGUAGGGGAGGGGAAUUUGAAGUCUACGAUUUUUUGGGACGUUGGCGGGCAACAGUUGGUCGGGACUGCUCCACUUGGAAAGUCCGCAGCUCCGCAUUUGGCUAGGUCAGGCGGCAACACUGGCUUUGCAACAGCGAAGGGGUCGCUGCCAAGACCAACCACUCCGGCUUUGCAACAGCGAAGGGGUCGCUGCCAAGACCAGCCACUCCACCGUAGAGGCUUCCGAGACCUAUAAGUACAUUUCUUCUGUCUAGGUUUACUAGAGAAGGGUUUUCAUGGUCGUGAUCGUUGGAGCUAGUGGAAGGGUUUUUGUUUUGGUCACUACUAUUAUUUGUGGCUUUGCACGAGACAGCUUGUAAAUUGGAAUGCCUAGGGUUUCCAAAUGAGGAUAUUCGGUGAUACUUUUGGGAGAAAGGGGAGAGAGAAGUUGUGGGGAUGAUACUUGUGGCGGAGGUGACGAGUGGAGCUGACAUAGAAGCCAUGGUACUUGACUCUGAAUAAUACGUUGUAUUGGCUUUGCUUUUAUAAUGUGUUCUAGGUUUUACGUUUCUUUGCACGGGUGGCAGGCCGUACACACGUGGUCGGUCCUUAAGGGUUUGACGAGGAAUACUACGCAGUCAUUUAGUACAUGACAACCAUACACUAUAGCACGUGGCAUGUAUUUAGAGAUCGAGAGAGAAUUGGGUAAGGUUCACGAGGGAUUGUAGUUUCAGAAGGUGAAUUGGUUUUGGUCUUCUUGUGUACCAAUAAUUUUUACUUAGUCAUUUAGUGCAGGACAACCAUGCACUAUAGCACGUGGCAUGUAUUCAGAGAUCGAGAGAGAAUUGGUUGGGUAAGGUUCACGAGGGAUUGUAGUUUCAGAAGUUCAAGCGGUUUUGGGCUUGUUGUGUACGGCUGUGGGUCUGCUGUCACGGACUCUCUGUCUCAUUUGUGUCUUAUUUUUUAUUUUUUGACACGUUUUAACGUCAAAUCAUUAUAGCAAUGUUAUGCAAUUGGGAGCUAAAUGACCGAUGCUCUUAUUUUUUAGUUUGCUUUUUUUCCAGAUCUGAUCAAAUCAUGAUAGCAAUGUUAUGCAAUUUUCAAGAGGGAGAGAUGCACCUGGGAGAGAAACGGUACGGUGACUUCUAAAUCACCGUCCAACAGAACAAUUCUCAGUAGAGACUACUAGAGAGAGAUGCACCUCACCAAUGAAAAAUUUAACUGCAAAAAUUCUGGGUAUCGGGAGUUGUGGGGUGGGUCUUGGCAGUUUUCUUAUUUCUUUGAAUUUUUUAUAAUUUAUUUUAUAAAAGUAACAGUGUUUUGUGGGGGUUAAAUUGUAAAACACGUGUCAUCAAACUAAAUAAAGAGACACCAAAGAGACAUGGAAUUCGGGACAACAGACCCACAGCCGUUGUGUACGGAGGCAGACUCUCUGCUCUCCUACUUUCUGUGUCCUCCUGUUUUGUGUAGUCACGAUUAAAUCACGUCAAUAUUUUAUAUUAUUAUUUUAUAGAUAUAAUAAGACAAAAAAGAAUAGUAAUUUAAAAUAUUAACGUGACUUAACUGUGACCACACGAAUAGGAAGGCAUGAGAAGUGGGAAGGCAAAGAAUAUGCCUCCGUUGUGUACCAAUAAUAUUAUAUAUAUAUAUAUAUAUAUAUAUAUAAUUAGGAUUGAAGGAUGUAGAGCUUAUUUUGUUAUGUAUUCUAACAAUUUAAGUGCUUAUCUUUUAGGUUUUCUCUUAAACAGCAUGCCUAUAAAAAAUCACCAAAAUUCAAACCAUAUGACCAUUAGAUCCAUAGUCAUUUUAGUGUUAAAUGAACUUCACAAAAUAAGUCUCAAAAUAUGUAUAAAAAAUGGACAGCGUGAAUGGUUUGGAAAUUGGAAUAGGUUUGGAAAUUGUGCUUUUUGUAGCAAAUUGCAGCAAAGUUUGCUUGGACUUUCACAACCGUAUAAAUUAAACUGUUCGCUUUGUUGGGAAAAACAAGUUUGCCGCUGGUCUUGGGUUCCAAGAUCGGCCAAUUUGACGGCACACUUUUUGGCGUUGAGAAGCAGUACGGAGAUGUGCAGAUUAACUUGGAUUGAUACUCCUCCAUCUUCGUUGGUUCGUGUAUUGAACAAAGAUGGCCUUCCUUGCCCUCCUUAAUAUUUUUUGUUCUUCCUGCAGUGGAGGCGGUGACGCCUUGCUCUUGGUGCAGCGUCUAGUGUUCUGUACCCUCCUCUUCUGCAUAUGUUUGUAUUUCCCCUCGUUGCCCCUUCUAAGUGGGCUUCCUAUUGUUUUGGCUUCGGCCCUGGUUAUGAAAUAUUUCCAAUCUUACCCAAAAAAAAAAAAAAAAAGAAGAAGAAGAAGAAGUCAAGCACGGUGGGAGACUGGUCAUAGUUUCUAGAUUGAUGCUCUAAUUCUAAUGUUAUACAACGCGUACGCUAAAAUAUUUUUAUCAAAAUAUUAGUUUUAGUGUUAUCAAAACAAUAAUGUUAUUCUUACCAUGUUUUUGUAUCACAAUUAUAUACCACCUUAGAUGGCAUAUGAUGUAGAUAGCCACAUCAUUUAAAUUAAUAAGCAUUUAAUUUCAAAUGUUAAUCAAUAAUUAAUAAAAUGAUUGUUAAUUAAAUGAUGAUUAUGGUAUACAAGGAGUCUCCUUCUUCCUUCCCCUUUCCAUUCUGCUUUUUCUUCCUACCACUUUCUGUUUUUUUUUUCAUGCCAGUUUUUGUAUUGAUUUCUAUUGAUUUCCAUGAUUAUGGUCAAUCUUUAUAGAAUUUACUCGUAUACCACAACCACCAUUGAUUUCUAUCUCUAGACUCAUGCCCCGUAGCCCUAAUCCUCAUUCCCCUUCAAGUAUUUCUGUCUCCAAUCUUCUUUGGUACUCCAUGGUUGUUCAUCUCGUGAUUUUUUUUUAUUAUUUCAUUAAGUAACGCCUAUUAGCUUUCAUGCGAAUUAGGAGUCAAAAUCAAAUUUGUCUAUCGGAUUAGGGUUCAUGCCCAAUUAAGUUACUAACGCAAGAGAGAUUUUGAAGUCUACAAUUUUCCUUAUUUAAGUGUUUUAAUUAAUAAGAAAAUUGAAAUUAAACGAUUUAGCUUGUCCAACUCAUCUGCCACCUAAGAUGGUAAAUAAAUGUGGUAAGAAUAGCAUUACUCUUAUCGAAAUUACAAAAAAAAAAAAAAAAAAAAAAAAAAGCUGAUUCAAUAUUUAGUUAUUAAAAAAAAUAUAAAAAAAGUGAUCAAGUAACUAUCCAAUACCCAUGUAUUGGGUGCUUUGUUUGAAAAUUUUCAAAAUGAUAUUGGGCUCGUUUGGAUAUGUUUUUAAAAUGACUGAAAGCGUUUUUAGAGAAAAUAUUUUUUUGAUUCCAAAAGCACUUAAAGUGUUUUCUGCAAAAAGCACUUAAAGUGCUUUCUGCAAAAAGCACCAGUUAUGUGCUUCUUCCUAGAAGCACUUUAAGUGUUUUUCAAGCAUUUACUUGCUUUUUUACUAAGGAUUGGUUCCAAAAACAUUUUCACAAAAAGUGUUUUCAGUCAUUUUAAAAGUACAUUCAAACGAGCUCAUUGUUUUUCCUAUUUUAAUCAAGUGCGUCGUCCCCUGUUGAGAAUGAAUCUCAUAUUAUGGGGAGAGGGGUCUUGCAUGGAUGAGAGGAGGGACCUUGCAUGAGCUUAUAAGUAAGUUGGGUUACUCUCUAUAUUGCCAAGAGAAAUUUUAUUUGGACCUACUUUUCCUCUCUCUAAACCCAACUUUAAUAUUUUGUUACCUAAACUCUCUAGUUUACCCUCAUAAAUUAUAAACAUAAAUAAACUGGAAAAAGAAAAACUCAUCAAACCUAUUUCCCAACUGUUCUGGCGUCUCUUCCCUGUAUUUGUUGGGUCUAUCUCCCUCCCGACUGUUUUUUUUCCCUGAUAUUCUCUGUGUGUUCCCCCACCUCUCCCACACCCACCGAUUCUUUGUGGUGGCUAUUCCACCCAACGUCCAGUGAAUCUUUCCAUUUUUCUUCUAUUGCGCGUGAUAGGGCCUUGCUGUUAAUAGGCAAAACUAAGCGGCAUCGUCGACUCUGUAAGCGACUUGUUGCAGAAGUCCAAAAUGGAGUCAAAAGGAUUUUGUAUUGGGUCGGGUUGUUGAAGGCGAUGGCUGAUUUAGCAAUCUCGCCUAACUACUUCUAUAUGCAGGAGAAGGAAGAGGGAGGAAGGUCUAAAGUGGUGGUUGAGUGGUGGCGAUGUAUGUGGGUUCUAUCUCGGUUGAAUGGGUGUAGAAAGAUAUUUAAUUUUCAGUUUCUUAUUUUAUUUUGUAUAAGGGAUAAUAUCGGAAUUACAUAAAAAGUUUUUUUUAUAGCUGGGUGUAGAAAUAGUAUUGUUGGGUCUAAAUAAAAUUACCCUAUUGCCAAACAUAGUAUUGUUGGGUCUAAAUAAAAUUACCCUAUUGCCAAUUAGCUUUGUUUGAAAAUUUUCAAAAUGAUAUUGUUUUUACCAUUGAACCCUUGUUAUAUACAGUGAUGGCUAAUUUGUCAAGUUCUACGAAGUUGGGAUACCCAGCGUUUUAGCAUAUAACAUAACUUAGUAUUACAAGCAUAAUUAAUUAAAAUAAAGGAAAAUGAAGAGGAUAGCUUAGUAUUACAAGCAUAAUUAAUUAAAAUAAAGGCAAAAGUAACAGCCUGUCCCUAAAAAUGACGAUUUUAUAAUCUUAACACGUGAGUUUAUGAAGAUGCCCUUCGAGGCAAAGUGUUGACUUGUGUUGACUACCGCAUCGUGUCAUGUGAGACUCAUCUUCUUGGCGUAUUCUCGUUUUACUUGUCACUACGGACGCAUGGGCGCAAACGGGACAUGAUUUGGAGCUAUAACGAAUGAGUUAUUAACAUUUAAAGUUAAGGACAUUUUAGUAAAUUAAUUAAUUUCAGAUUAUGUUGAGGGGAAAAUCUGGAGUGCCGGUGGGUGGCCCAGAUUAAAGGAAAUGAAGAAUGGAUGGUGGAGGUGUAAAGGAAAGAAGAUAAAAGAAAAAUGAGAGGAAGUGUGUGACUAAUAGGGAGAUGAGAGAGUUAGGAUGGCCCAAUCAGAAACAAACGAAAGGAGGAAAAAGGAGAGAAGAGGGGAGCGGGGGAUCCCUUCGACCCGGUUCCAUUUUCCGACCCGACCCGAUCCUUUUCAUCUUCUUUGAUGGUUUUUCGUCGGUUUUUUCCGACGAACCACGUUAUCUAACCCCUUGGAAAAUGUUCCACAACCUUCCCUCAACUAUUACAAUCCAAAAUUGUAGAAAUUUAGCCAUGAAAGUAUGAAAACCACACCGGUGGGUGCGGGAAACCCUUGUCGUCGAUUCUCCCAUUAUUGCAACGAUUUUCACCAAUUACCACCACCUACAACAUCCUCUUGAGGUCUGGAAUAAAGCCCAAACAAGUUUUGCACUACUACAAUAUUAGCUUUAGAUGGCAGAUGAUGGUGGCGGAUUUAGAAAAAUAUUGUCGGAUAAAUUAUAUCUGACACAUUAUUUAAUUAGUGGUGAAUAUAAGAAAAAUCAUGUCGGUUAUAACCGACAUAAAUUCGUGGCAGAUACUAGCAGAUAUUAAAAAACUCAUGUCGGUUAUAACCGACAUAAAUUCCUAGCGAAUAAUUACUGACAGAUAUUAUAAAACUUCUGUCGGUUAUAACCGACAAUAUUUUUGAAUUGGGGGAAUUUAAAAUUUUGGGAGGGAAUUUAAAAUUUUGGGAGGGAAUUUAAAAUUUUGGAGGAAAUUUUGGGGGGAUUUUUACCCAUAUUAAUUCAUGGCGGAUAAUUACUGACGAAUAUUAUAAAGCUCAUGUCGGUUAUAACCAACAAUAAUGAAAAUGUUUAUGUCGAUUUUUAUUAAAAAAAUGUUUCUGUCAGUUUUAACCGACAUUAAUGAAAAUAUUCCACAGUAAAACCCCUACUUCUUCUCCUUGUGCUGGUGCCUUCUCCCUUCCCCCUUCUUUCCCCCUUUUCUCUUCUCCUCAUUUCCUUUUCCUUUGUAUUUUUGAUUUUGACAAGGUCUCUCCUUUAUUUGAUUCUUUGUUGUUCAUCUCUCACAAAUGUAGAGAGAGUAAAGGAGAUGCUUAGAGCGCUUUCUUUGUUCCUUUUUUUUUUCUUUUCAUUUUUUCCCUUUUCAAACUCCGACUAUGUCUUACAUGGCCGGUCCCAAGCCCGGAUAAAGGAGGAGGGGGAGGGCGUCAGGUAGUCGACAGCCGGCACUCCAUGAUCACGUCGAAUCCUUAUGAAAAUGAAUCCAGAACAAAAUCGCGCUAAAGCUAGGGCGCCACCCGUAAGUGGCGCGCUGUGUGGCCCGAGCACAGUGAUAAGUGAGCAAGGGUCGCUGUAUCUCCAUCGGCACUCGGAUGCAGUGUUAAAUGAGCAAGGGGGCCAUAGAAACUUCUUUUCGAACGACUCCACUCAAAGUUGUUUGGGAGCAUAUGCUCCUAUCAACUUUACCCGGGACACACAAAAGAAGUACUUUGAUCCUAUUAGACGGGGGAGGGUGAAGAAGCUAGGACAGAAGGGUAGAGUUCAAGAGAGCAAAAUGCGUUUAGGAACGUGGAAUAUAGGAACCUUAACGGGAAAAUCUAUGGAAGUAGUGGAAGUUAUGGUGAGGAGAAGGAUAAAUAUUAUGUGCCUACAAGAAACUAAGUGGGUUGGUAGUAAGGCAAAGGAUCUAGAAAACUCAGGGUUUAAACUUUGGUAUUCGGGCACAAAUAGAACGAGAAACGGUGUUGGCAUCAUCGUGGACAAGACCUUGGUACAAGAUGUUGUAGAUGUCAAGAGUGUAGGAGAUAGAAUCAUGGCAAUCAAGAUUGUAAUAGGACAAGAACUUAUCAAUGUGAUUAAUGCGUACGCACCUCAAGUAGGGUUGGAUACGAGUUCGAAGGAGAAAUUUUGGGAAGAUCUUGGAGACUUGGUGCAAGGAAUUGCUCAGACGGAGAAGUUAUUUAUAGGAGGAGAUUUAAAUGGACACGUGGGCAGGGAGACAGGCAACUAUGGAGGUUUUCAUGGUGGCCAUGGUUUUGGGGAGAGAAACGAGGAUGGGGAAGCUAUCUUGGAUUUUACAAUGGCAUAUGAUCUCUUCUUAGCCAACACCUUCUUUAAGAAGAGAGAAGAACAUGUGAUCACCUACAAGAGUGGGUCGUCAAAAACACAAAUAGAUUUUCUUCUAAUGAGGAAAGGGGAUCGUAUAACUUGUAAGGAUUGCAAAGUUAUACCAGGAGAGAGCGUGGCUAAUCAACAUCGCUUGUUGGUGAUGGAUGUACAUAUCAAAAGAGUAAGACAAAAGAACAAGACUUGGAAGUGCCCAAGGACUAGAUGGUGGAAUCUAAAAGAAGAAAAACAAGUCAUUUUCAAAGAGAAGGUAAUCACCCAAUGUGUGUGGGAUAGAGAGGGGGAAGCUAGCCAAAUGUGGGAUUUCAUGGCUAGUUGUAUCCGAAAAGUAGCAAAAGAGGUAUUAGGAGAGUCUAAGGGCUUUGCCCCACACUAAAAGGAAUCUUGGUGGUGGAAUGAGGAGGUACAAACAAAGGUGAAGGCUAAGAAGGAAUGUUGUAAAGCCUUAUACAAGGAGAGGACCGAUGAAAAUGGUGAAAGGUAUAGAAAAAAAGCGAAGCAAGAGGCGAAGAAAGCUGUCAGAGAAGCUAAGUUAGCGGCUUACGACGAUAUGUAUAAACGACUAGAUACCAAAGAAGGAGAGUUGGAUAUCUAUAAACUAUCUAGAGCAAAGGAAAAGAAGACAAGGGACCUAAACCAAGUGAGGUGCAUCAAGGAUGAGGAUGGAAAGGUUCUUGCUACAGAGAACGCGGUUAAAGACAGAUGGAGAGGUUAUUUUCAUAAUCUUUUCAAUGAAGGACAUGAAAUGAGUGCUUCUUUAGGGGAGUUGAGUAACUCAGAAGAGUGUAGAAACUACUCUUUUUAUCGUCGAAUCCGGAAGGAAGAAGUGGUUGUAGCUUUGAAGAAGAUGAAGCAUAAAAAAGCAAUAGGCCCAGACAAUAUACCAAUCGAAGUGUGGAAACUUUUGGGAGAGACAGGUAUAACAUGGCUCACUGACCUUUUCAAUAGGAUUUUGAAAACGAAAAAGAUGCCAAAUGAGUGGCGAACGAGCACUUUGGUGCCUAUCUACAAGAAUAAGGGCGACGUACAAAAUUGCAUGAACUAUAGGGGUAUUAAGCUAAUGAGUCAUACAAUGAAGCUCUGGGAGAGAGUCAUUGAGCAUAGAUUGAGGCAAGAGACACGGGUUUCGGACAACCAAUUCGGGUUCAUGCCAGGGCGCUCAACCAUGGAGGCAAUCUAUCUCUUACGAAGAUUGAUGGAAAGAUAUAGAGAUGGGAAAAAUGAUUUACACAUGGUCUUUAUAGAUUUGGAAAAAGCGUAUGAUAGGGUCCCAAGAGACAUUCUUUGGAGGAUUUUAAAGAAGAAAGGAGUACGAGUAGCAUAUAUCCAAGCUAUAAAGGACAUGUAUGAAGAAGCAAAGACUGCCGUAAGAACUCAUGAAGGACAAACCGAAAGCUUUCCCAUAACUGUAGGAUUACAUCAAGGCUCAUCCUUAAGUCCUUACCUUUUUGCGUUGGUAAUGGAUGAGUUAACAGGACAUAUUCAAGAUGAUAUUCCUUGGUGUAUGCUUUUCGCAGACGAUAUAGUGUUGAUAGAUGAAACUCAGGAAGGGGUAAAUGCAAAGCUUAACCUUUGGAGAGAAGUGUUGGAAUCUAAAGGUCUUCGCCUAAGCCGAUCAAAGACAGAAUAUAUGGAGUGCAAGUUCAGUGCAAAUGGAGGCCAAAACGAGUUAGGGGUGAGGAUCGGAGAUCAAGAAAUACCAAAGAGUGACCGUUUUCGUUACCUAGGAUCUAUCUUGCAAAAGAACGGAGAAUUAGAUGGAGAUCUCAACCAUAGAAUACAAGCUGGAUGGAUGAAGUGGAAGAGUGCAUCUGACGUGUUGUGUGACCGUCGUAUGCCACUGAAGCUCAAAGGAAAAUUUUAUAGGACGGCAAUAAGGUCGGCGAUGAUUCAACUUGGCGGGUUCGAGCAAAUAGGCGUUGGGCCAUAUUAGACACAGAACCUGCACACUGAACACUGAGAGCUAGCGAAUCCUUAACAGCUAACUCAUCAGACCGUUUGGAAAGUAGUCUGUUAUCUUUGGGAGUGAGAAGGUUCCUGGCCACCACCGCAGCGGUCAUAUCAUUCUUCAUCACGGAAUCCCCAACGGUAAGAGGACCAGUAGGGGAGACAAAGGAUGGGCGCCAUAUGUUGUCUGGAGAAGGCGGGGCUGCCUCUUCAACAAGGUUCAAGUCAAAAAACGACGGUCGGAGGGCCAGACAUUUUCAAAGGUGUUGAAGAGAGAAGAGGUCGGACACAAAUCAAGAUCUUAGAAGUGCAAGAAUGAAGCUUCUACUGGUGGAGAUUCAAGUGUGCUUUGGAACUUAAUGCCAGCCCCUAUAAAAAUCUGCACUCGACGGAGCUUCAGAAAUCGAAGAGGCGUUUGCUUUCUCAAAAGCUGGGCUGCUUAGAGAUCACGAGGGUUGAUCUCAGGAAUCGAAGAGGCGUUUGCUUUCUCAAAAGUUGGGCUGCUCAAAGACCACGAAGGCCGAUCUCAGAAAUCGAAGAGGCGCUCACUUUCUCAAAAACUGGGCUCCCCAGAGACCACGAGGGCCGAUCUCAAAAAUCGAAGAGGCACCUACUUUUCCAGCCUUGUCAGCACCUGUCACACGCACACUCAGCUUUGCGGAAAUUAUGGGCAUUCUGUCGAAGACUUCUGGGGAAGUAGAAAACACAUGAAUCUUACUGUUCAAUCACCCACUUCCCACACGCAAUAAUAGCUCAUGGGUACCACAGAUAACUUUGCCAAAGUUCUCUGCCAAAGUUGAGCACGUGAAGCUUGCAGCUCCCACUACAUCGCUCUGACCAAGAAGGGUAAAAAGAAUAGCAAAGAAACAGCACUAACAAAGUUUAGACCCAUAAAUUUUGAAGGUCUAGCUACCAUAUUAUUACCCACAAGGGUAAAGGAACAGUACCACUGCUGGAUAAUUGGAAAGUCCCUAUGUGUCAACCUCUGUGCUUCGUGGCAAGGUAGACUAGCAAACAUGCCCAACCUUUACUCACAUUCGAGAAAACACUCCCAAUAAGAUUGCUUGCUCCAAAAUCGAAGAGGCACCGUCCUCCGAAUCUCGAGAGCCAGACUCCCAACAUGACUACUUUCUUAAAAAUCGAAGAGAGGGUAAAGGAACAGUACCAUUGCUGGAUAAUUGGAAAGUCCAUGUGUGUCAACCUCUGUGCUUCGUGGCAAGGUAGACUAGCAAACAUGCCCAACCUUUACUCACAUUCGAGAAAACACUCCCAACAAGAUUGCUUGCUCCAAAAUCGAAGAGGCACCGCCCUCCGAAUCUCGAGAGCCAGACUCCCAACAUGAUUACUUUCUCAAAAAUCGAAAGAGACACUGCUCCCCGAAUCUUCGAGAGCCAGACCCCCAGCAUGAUUGCUUUCUCAAAAAUCGAUGAGGCAUCGUUCUCCGAAUCAAUCGAAGAGGCGCUCGCUUUCUCAAAAGCUGGGCUGCUCAGAGACCACGAGGGCCGAUCUCAGAAAUCGAAGAGGCACUUACUUUUCUAGCCUUGUCAGCACCUGUCACACGCACACUCAGCUUUGCAGAAAUUAUGGGCAUUCUGUCGAAGACUUCUGGUGAAGUAGAAAGCACAUUAAUCCUACUGUUCAAUCACCCACUUCCCACACGCAACAAUAGCUCAUGGGUACCACAGAUAACUUUGCCAAAGUUCUCUGCCAAAGUUGAGCACGUGAAGCUUGCAGCUCCCACUACAUCGCUCUGACCAAGAAAGGUAAAAGAAUAGCAAAGAAACAGCACUAACAAAGUUUAGACACAUAAAUUUUGAAGGUCUAGCUACCAUAUUAUUACCCACAAGGGUAAAGGAACAGUACCACUGCUGGAUAAUUGGAAAGUCCCUGUGUGUCAACCUAUGUGCUUCGUGGCAAGGUAGACUAGCAAACAUGCCCAACCUUUACUCACAUUCGAGAAAACACUCCCAACAAGAUUGCUUGCUCCAAAAUCGAAGAGGCACUGUCCUCCGAAUCUCGAGAGCCAGACUCCCAACAUGACUACUUUCUCAAAAGCGAAGAGAGGGUAAAGGAACAGUACCAUUGCUGGAUAAUUGGAAAGUCCCUGUGUGUCAACCUUUGUGCUUCAUGGCAAGGUAGACUAGCAAACAUGCCCAACCUUUACUCACAUUCGAGACAACACUCCCAACAGGAUUGCUUGCUCCAAAAUCAAGAGGCACCGCCCUCCGAAUCUCGAGAGCCAAACUCCCAACAUGAUUACUUCCUCAAAAAUCGAAGAGACACUGCUCUCCGAAUCUCGAGAGCCAGACCCCCAGCAUGAUUGCUUUCUCAAAAAUCGAAAAGGCAUCGUUCUCCGAAUCUCGAGAGCCAGAUACCACAGACCACUUUUUCAAAGUGCUCUGACAGAGUUAAAACAUGUGAAACUGGCAGCUCCCACUACCGUGCUAUGACCAAGCAGGGUAAAGGAAUAGCAUUACUACUUGUUGUUAGGGAGACUCCUAUAUAUGUCGACCUCCAUCCCCAACGGACAGGCAGACCUGCAAAAAUGCUCAACCCUUCAUCAUAUCUGAGUGGGCACUCCCAACGAAGCCUUUCGAAAUAUUCAGCUUUCUUUCCCCCCGAUAAUACCUCUGCAAACAAGCUAUACUAGAGCAAGAAUAUCUCAUAUCAUCAGGGUUAAAAGCAAGAGUAUCCCAUAUCAUGCUUUUUCCCUGUCUUUUCCUUUGGCCUUGUUUUUACCUGCAAGACAAGGAGAAAGAGAGCAAUCAGUCAGCACUUGGAAUCAAGCUUCCAACCAGGAAAUGACUGCCUGGAACCCCUUACUUGGCAUUGCUCUCGAGUACUCAUCUUCAACAUCUUAUGUUUCCAGGGAAGAUUCUGCAUCUGCUUGAGGAACAGAUAGGGCAAGUGCGAAGGAUACAAGGAAGCAUGCGGAGACAAGCGUAACAGCACACGUGCCGAUACAUCCAUUACUCUGUCAAAAGCAAAAGUAUCCCAUAUCAGCAGGGUGGAACGUACUCUAGAUUUGAUGGACUUGUUUUGACCCUCAAAUUCUUCAGUCGGCCUUAUAUUCUGGAGGAAACCAGAAAACCCUCCAGCUCAGUUCAAGAAUAAGCCUGUGGAAAGUUACUUCUUCAAAAGCAAAAGUAUCUCAUAUCAUCUCUUCUCAUUUUUCUUCUCUCUUUAUCCUUCAUGCUGCUGCAAGAUGGGGAGAAGGUGAACAAUCAGUCGGAGCUCUGAUUGCUUACCUUGUCUGUCACCUCUUUCAGCAGACCCCCUAGCUCGGCGACUUGGGGGACUCCUACUAAAUGGUUUGUAUCGCGCUUGACCAAGCCUGAAACUACAAGUAAGCUUCAAGUGAAAUUGAUACAUUACCUUGUGCAUCUCCACCAGUUAAAGAUACCACCCCUGGAUGGAGGAAGAGUACUUCCAGAGAAGAUGCCACAUCUACCUAUGAGACAGAUAAGGCAAGUCAAGACGACACCACACUCCGAUACUUAGAAGUUUCGUGAUUAUGAGAUCAUUCUCCCACAAUAUUUCCUAAUGUCAUUUGUACUAAAUCAUUCACUUGUACUCACUAAAGGAGAGCUUGAACCUAUGUACUUGUGUAAACCCUUCACAAUUAAUGAGAACUCUUCUAUUCCGUGGACGUAGCCAAUCUGGGUGAACCACGUACAUCUUGUGUUUGCUUUCCUAUCUCUAUCCAUUUAUAUACUUAUCCACACUAAUGACCGGAGCAAUCUAGCGAAGAUCACAAAAAGCGACCGUUUUCGCUACCUAGGAUCUAUCUUGCAAGAGAACGGAGAAUUAGAUGGAGAUCUCAACCAUAGAAUACGAGCUGGAUGGAUGAAGUGUAAGAGUGCAUCCGGCGUGUUGUGUGACUAUCGUAGGCCACUGAAGCUCAAAGGAAAAUUUUAUAGGACGGCAAUAAGGCCAGCGAUGUUGUAUGGCACAGAAUGUUGGGCGGUGAAGCAUCAACACGUACACAAAAUGGGUGUAGCGGAGAUGAGGAUGCUUCGUGGGAUGUGUGGGCACACGAGAAAGGAUAAGAUUGGGAAUGAGGAUAUCCGAGGUAAAGUAGGAGUAGCCGAAAUUGUAGGAAAGAUGAGAGAAAAUCGGCUCCGGUGAUUUGGACAUGUGCAAAGAAGGCCGACUGACGCUCCGAUUCGAAGAUGUGACUACGGGACAGAGGUUCAGGGCCGAAGGGGUAGAGGAAGACCUAGGAAAACUUUGGAAGAGACUCUAAGAAAAGACUUAGAGUACUUGGAUCUAACGGAGGACAUGACACAAAACCGAGCGCAAUGGCGUUCUAGGAUUCAUAUAGCCGACCCCACUUAGUGGGAAAAGGCUUUGUUGUUGUUGUUGUUGUUGUAUUUUUUCCCUUUUCAAAAUCGAAAUGUUCUAAAUUAUUUCACUAAUCCUUGCUAGUUUGAACUGCAGGAGUCUGUCUCUGGAUUUGAAAGAUUAUCUGGACUUACAGUUUUGAAGAAUUGGGAUUCUAGUGUUACACAUAUUAUUGCAUCGACAGAUGAAAAUGAAGCAUGCAGAAGAACCCUUAAAAUUUUGAUGGGUAUCUUGGAGGGGAAGUGGAUUCUGAGUGUGGAGUGAGUUUUACUGUUUUCGUUUUAAUUGUUCUUCCUCAAGUGCUUGGACUUUACAAUUGUAAUGAGUACAGAAGCCGAAAUGAGAUAUUGAUAUACAUGUUCACAUUGCUGAUAAUUCGUUAUCCGUCUGUUUGUGUAGGAAUUAAUGCUUGCACAUAAGUAAUGAAACUAGUUAAUGAGGAGCCUUAUGAAAUCAACGUUGACAUUUAUGGAAUCAGGGAUGGUCCUCGACUUGGUAGACUAAGGCUGCAGAACAAGGUUAGCUUUUCCUCGAGUUUAACUAUCAUCACGAAAACUUUAGAUUUUCAUGGAUUCACCAUAGGCAUUGUUAAUCUUGUUCAGUCCAUAAAUAGGUUACACACUUAUCUUAACAAAGGUGAGACCUUCUCAAUUCCUCAUCGAGAUGAAUCAAGAGCAUAAUUGUAGCAGUGAUCAAGAGCAAUUUUUUUAUGUUUCUUCCAAAUUGUUGAGAUGAAUCAUCUGUGUUUUGUUCUAAUAAUCUUACAAAUUUGUUGAGCAAUUUUUGUAAAGUCAGAAUCUUUGGUUUCGGUUGUGAGGUAUCUGAUUUGGGUAUAUGUGUUUUGCAGGGCACGGUGGUUGUGGCGGAGGAAGAUUAGGAUUGACGACAGAGCUCUGGCCAUGAACUAUCAGCUCUGUCUUUCUCUCUCUAACUAUGAAUUGAAUACAAAAGUCUGUGUUGAUAUGGAAAAUGUAGCUCAAAAUUAUUACACAAAUGGCAAAAAAAAAAAGUUCGAGUGUGGAGUUUCACUUACUGAUACAGGGCUUUUGAAACAGGGUUGUCUAGACUGUAGAAGAAAUCCAUGGCUUUUGGAAGAGGGGAUGUUCCAAAUCUAUCUUUUCUCCCUCUCUAAUGUUCUUCGAGGGGUUCUUGUGAUGCAAAAAGUGGUUUAUAUAUAUUUUUUAUUAUUAAUAAAUUUUCUGUCGGUUUUAUCAGACAAUAAUUCUUUUAUUUAUUCUUAUUAAUAAUUUCUCUGUCGGUUAUAUCUGACACAAUUUCUGUCGAUUUUAGAGUAUUUUCUAUCGAAAAUUUCAUUUCCUGACGCAUCAAUUAUGUCGCUUAUUAUAUCCGCCACUGCACUCAUUUCAUGUCGGAUUUUGCUUAAUUUCCAACAGUAUUAUACAUUUCUUGUCGGUUUUUAAACCGACACUAAUGGGUACUUUUGUAGUAAUGUUGGGGCGUCGGAGUUCGUUUAAGGUCGAAUUGAGCACACCCAAAUUCAAGGGUUCCGUACGGUUCAUGGUAAUUUGAGGUAUUUCUCAGCCAAAUUGUCCUUAGUCACAGAUAUGAAAGUUGCUCCACUCGUUGAGAUCUUCAUUUAUGUCAAAUUUGAGAAUUUUUAGAAAUAAUUGGAUUUUCCAGCGAAUCGGGGCGGCGGACCACCACCGGACAGCGCAUGGCUAGUGGGCCCCCAAUGUCAUUUUACGUUAAAUUGGUAUCUUGAUUUUAGGUUUGAUGUCUAUAUGUUAUGACUUGAUAUGUGAACCUAGUUUAAUUAAGGUGCGUUAAUUGGUAAAAAUAUGAAACGACGAUCCGACCGUGGGAUCGUCACCAAUCUUUAUUAUGUUAUAGUACAUUAUAUUUGAGAAUCAUAGGGACUGACGGAUAGGAAAUCCGAUAUACGGAUCUUCCUGAAAUGGAAUUGUAAGUUCGAAGAAUAAACGUUAACCGCCACUUUGUUUUGACUAUUGGUGAAGAUCCAACCGUUGGAUCAUAAUGAAAUUUUAGGAUGAUGUUUUAGAAGCAUAAUGUGGAUCUUUGGAAGUUAUUGAUUGGAAAUCCGAGGAGCGAAUCUUCCGGAUUGAAUUACGUAAGGUUGUGGACCCUACCGUCGAUCGUUGACUGACGAUCGACUUUUGGUCAAUGGGGCUUAAAUCACUCUAAAAUGUUUUUAGGGAUGUGUUUUACGUAAAUUACAUUAUCUAUGGAUAAGAAUUCUGAGAUGUGGUUUGAUAAUUGUCCUGGGCGCCGAUCGUUAGGAACGCUUCGAUGGUUGUGCUAGGAAAUUGUAGCAUAGACUCCAGGUGAGUGAAUCUUUUCCUUCUUAUAUAUAUAUAUAUAUAUAUAUGAUUGACAAUUCCACAAACGUUUAUAAAUUGAUUAUUGCAUAUAACUACUGUAAAUACUUUGAAGUACUUAUGCGAACUACGAAUGGCUUGAUCCCUAUUUAGGGUACGUAUGCAGUCUAACAAGACAUUAAAUGCAGUCAUACAAUAAUUGAGAUUAAACAAUUGAGACAAAGCCUUGUAUGGGGAACUGGGCAAGGUGAACGAAUUUGGUAAAAAUGUGAGAUUUAACCUUCUGAAUUGGUGAUUAAAUGUUGGUCAUAAAUCAAUGUGUAAAGAAUCAAGAAUUUGAAGUAAGGAAACGUAAGUAAUGAUAAUUAAUUAAACUAGUGUCUAGUUGGGCUUGUCACCUAUAAUUAUCCCCAAAAAUGAAUAAUUCGGGAGUAGGGCGUUAUAGCUUCUGCAUUUUUAUGCCACAUUAUAUAUAUAUAUAUAUGUGUGUGUGUGUGUGUGUGUGUGUGUGUGUGUAUAAUUGGAAAUGCUAUAACGUGGUUGAGUAUCAGAUUUCAUCAUGGUUUAUCUAUAUGUAUAUUACCUGCACACAAUUAUUAUGAACACUUUGAAGUGCAAAGGUGAACGCAAGACACCCAGGAAAGUUCAGGUGAGUUUAUGGUAUUAGUUGAAAUGAUGGGGUUAUGGUAACUACAUGUAUGUUUAGGUUGCAAUGAUAGGCAACUCCGACACUGUCGUACAAGUUGCCCAUGAAUUGUAUAUGUUACAAUAGAUAGAGUUAGAGGUCAUAAACCUGCACCCCGGUGUUAGUGCUCCCACCCGUGGCUAGGGCACAGUCUUUCACGAGAUGUUCACCUCUCGCAUCUUACGCUCACCUUGGAUCCAAGGUAGGUGCACAGUCAUGUCAUAAAGACCACUAUAGGUGGUUCCGACUAGUAGAUGACCCGUGAUUAUUCGCACAGUCUUCACGUGAUUGUAGCACUUGAGCGUAUUUAUUUACACCCAGUCCUGUCGUACAGACCACUUUAGGUGGUUCCGACUCGUAUGCAGGUAUACUUAUUGAGCUAUGGAUAAGUCGUACAGGUCACUAAAGGUGACUCCAACUUAUGAGCUAGCAUAUGUGAUGAAAUAUGUGAUGAGCUAGCAUAUGUAAUGAGAUAAGUGAUGAGCUAGCAUAUGUGAUGAGAUAUGUGAUGAGUUAGCAUACGUUAUGAGAUAUGUGAUGAGUGAUAUAAUCAUAAUUGCAUACAUUUUCAUGCCCUUUUAGUUUAGAUUUUUGUUAUCCUUUUGAGUGAAUUUAGUUUGUUUCACUUAGUUUUAUGUUUUUCUUAGAUUUGAAGUGUGAAGAUGAAGAAAGAAGAAAAAAGAGCAUUUUUAGCGAUUGAAAUGAGUUUGGCAUGCUGGAAGCAGAGGCUAUUUGUGCGGAUCAGCCAACUUUACGGAUUAAACUGUACUUCCUUAGAAUGCCAGCUGUUGAGUCUUAUACCAUUGGAAAGAUAUGAAAGUUAGCUUUCAGAGGAAUUUUACGAUUCGUGAUUCCGAGUUUCCUAGAAGACGUUAUAGUGGUUUUUCUACCAGAUGUCUGCCAGCAAGGUUUUACGCGGGAUUUGCAAAGAGAUUCCAGAUUUACAAAGUUUAAUUAAAGGAAACAAGCAGAGAAAAAAGAAGAGGAAGCUUUUAGAAAAGUUCAGGACUAUUCUAAACGGUGCAUAGUUAAUAUAUUUAAUAGUUUAGUGUGCCACAUCAUCAAUAAACUAAUCUAAGUCAGAAGAGAAAUUCAAGAGUCCCAUUCAAGUAAGUAUUCCAGCAGUUUUAUUCAGGAAUAAAGGAGGGCAGACCGUCGGACUUUAGGAGCGGACAGAGAGAGUUUUUGGGUUUUCGAAGGUGCAGAGAAGAGGUCGCAGCAAGGAGUGAAACAGAGUCGCCGAUCAUCUGGGCAAUCCAUCACCAUCGUGUGGAAGUAUUUUAUGUUUUUCAGAUUUUUAAUUAUGUUUUCAGAUUUUAUGAGUAACUAAACUCUUUUUCUAAGGUUAGGAUGAUGCCCUAGCAUGGAUGUUUAUGGUUUGUAAUGUUAUUCAUUGGAUUUCCAGUUUCUUUUAGAUGAAUGCUUAAUCACUGUUUGAAUUGUUACUGUUUGUUUGAGUUCUUUGAUUGAUCACCUUAGGACUUUGCAUCUAGUAAGAUUGGAAGAUGAAUUUGAGACUGAACUAACAAUAUAAUUCAAUUAGCUUCUUGUGGUUAAGUGUGGUAAAUUACAUUAUUGCUUGAAAAAGAAUAAUGGUUUGUUUGGGUCCCUUGUUUUCUAGAGGGUAAAGAGUCCUACUUGUUAAAUUUAUGCCUUAACUAGGAUAGACUGCUUGUUAGGAUAUACGACCUCUGCCUAAACUAGGAGAGAAUCAUUCACAUAAGGAAAACUAUGGUCUAAUAUGCCUGACAAGGACUUAGAUACGGGAAUUAUCAUCUAAAGAAUUGAAAGAUCCAUUGAAUGCAUUGAAACCUAAACUAGAUUGCUUGUGGUUGAUUCCGAAUCCCUAGAUUUUCAUCACUUGCCUUAAAACACAACCGUUUCUUUUCUUUAAUUUCAGUUUUUACUUAAGGUUCUGUUUUUGUUCAUUUAUAAAAUCAUCACAACAAAUUUUUUACAUCUUUGAUUGACUUAUUAAUUAAGAUCGAGUCUAGUUCGUUGUUUGGGUUUGUGUGUCUUUAAUAUAAUUAGAUUUGGUUUAGUUUAUCAAAUUGGAGAUUGAAUUAGAAUCCUCGUGGGAACGAUACUUGGACUUGCAAAACGUUAUAUUACGACUAUCUUGUGCACUUGUAAGUUUACACCAAGUUUUUGGCGCCGUUGCCGGGGACUCUAAUUGAGUCCCCCAAUUUGAUAUCAUAUUCCAUAUCUAAUAAGUAGUUUAUUGUAGAUUAUUCAAUUUGAUUUUGUUUUGUUCUCUAGUUUCGAGUAAGAGUCAUAACUAUUAAGAUAAGUAAAAGUAAUUUUCGUCACUGUUUUAUUUCAGUUUUGUAUCACUGUUUCGACACAGUUUUGGACUAAACUAUUCGAUUUUUUACCAGGAAUAUUGUGUAUCGUUGGAAAGCCCCAGAAGUCUAGUUUUCAACCCAAAAAACAGAUCAAUGAUUGGAUUUUUGAGCUGCAAGAAAUGUACAAAAUACUGAGCAGUGGUCAAACAAGGAGCACAGUCUGGUCGUAUAUGCAAGGUAGACGUUCGUUGCAAUUUGAGUUGAUUCAUAUAGACCAAGAACUUGUGCGUACUUUAAGAGAACAGUGGAGGCAGCGAGUGUGUCAAGAACCAGCCAUGGAGGAAGUAGUUAAUAAUGGUGGAAAUAAUCCUCCACCAUUGCUACCACCACAACCAAGGCUCAUGCGUGAUUAUACAAAGCCAACGGAGUACAACGCACCGUCAUGCAUUGUUUUGGCUCCAAUUGCGCAGCGAUUUGAGAUUCGUCCACAAAUCUUUCAGUUGCUGCCUAUAUUUCUUGGGAAGGAGGAAGAAAAUCCAUACCAUCAUAUCAAGGCGUUUUUCAAGCUAUGUUCCACAUUCACAUUCACCAAUGUUACUGAAGAGCAAAUUCGACUUCGGUUAUUCCCAUUCUCUUUGAGGGAUAAAGCAAGCAGUUGGUUGGAUUCUCUUCCCGAAGCAUCUAUCGACACAUGGACAAAAUUAUCGAAGAAGUUUUUGUCCAAGUUCUUCCCCGCUCGAAGAACCAAUGCUCUGAUCAAUGAAAUCAUGAGCUUUCGACAACAAGAAGGUGAACAGUUUCAUGAAAGUUGGGAGCGCUAUAAGGACUUGUUUCUUCAAUGUCCUCAUCAUGGUUUCAACACUUGGCAAAAGGUUCAUUAUUUUUACAAAGGUUUGAACUCUCAAUGUAGGAGUUUGGUUGAUUCAACGGUUGGUGGAACCUUGAUAGACAAAACUCCAGAAGAUGCCAUACAUGCCUUUGAAACUAUAUGUGAAAAUUCUGAGCAUUGGGAUUUUCCUACAAAAGAUUUGAGAGUUCCAACUGCAUCGUCAACAAAAAAAGGAGGCAUUUAUGAAGUUAAUACAAGGACGGGCUUAGAGGCACAAGUGGCAGCCCUCACCAAGCUUCUCACACCACUUGUAAGCAAGAUAGCCACGCAGCCAUGUACUUUAUGUGCGAGCAUCGCCCAUGACAUGGAAAAUUGUCCAACAAAUGCUAAUCUAGAAGGCAUCCAAGAGGUCAAUGCAUUUAGUGGGAGGCCCCGGAAUGAUCCAUAUUCUAAUAAUUAUAACCCGGGAUGGAGAGAACAUCCAAAUUUUUCUUAGAGAGAUUCACAAAAUAGCAUGGGAUCAUUCACUUCAACAAAGCAAUAUCAGCAACCUUAUCAAGCUCCUCCAAUUCAACAAAAAGACUCGUCUAUCAAGGAUAUGUUAUCUCAACUCUUAAAGAAAACUGAUCGGUAUGAACAUGAAGUUGUGUCGCUUAGACAAAGUCAGACGGUGUUGGAAAAGGCUCGAUCUAAUUUUGAGACUCAGUUGGGACAGAUAGCUACUACUUUGAACAAGCUGGAGUGAGCACAAGGGCAAUUUCCAAGCCAAACUGAAACAAAUCCUAGGAAUCAAAAGCAUGUUCAAGCUGUCACCACUUUGAGGAGUGGAAAGACGAUUGGUAAUAAUGUGGAAAGUUCAAAAAUUAAUAAGGAAGAAGAUGAAGGGGUCAGCACAUAUCGGGCAGCAGCUUGACAAGACAAGCUAAAAAAGAGAAGUAUAUGGGAGAUAUUUUAGAGCAAUUUAGAAAGGUGCAGAUUAAUAUUCCUUUUCUCGAUGCCAUCAAACAAAUUCAAUCAUAUGCGAAGUUUUUGAAGGAACUUUGUACUAACAAGAGACGGUAUGAAGAACAUGAGGAGGUGAAGUUAUCAGACACGGUUAGUGCGGUUCUUCAAAGAAAAUUGCCACCAAAACUUCAAGAUCCUGGUAGCUUUACAGUCCCAUGUGUCAUUGGAGAAAGAAAAUUCGAAAAAGCUUUGCUUGACUUGGGAGCCAGUGUGAAUUUGAUGCCCUAUUCUGCUUAUAAACACCUCAAAUUAGGCGAACUAAAGCACAUAUCCAUUUCUCUACAAUGCACUGAUCGUUCUGUGAAAUAUCCAAGAGGGAUUGUUGAAAAUGUACUUGUGUGUGUUGAUCAAUUUAUUCUUCCUGCUGACUUCAUCAUUUUGGACAUGGAAGAAGCCGAAAUUCCUGGUCGUGACUUGCCUCUCAUUCUUGGCAGACCUUUCAUGGCUACUGCAGGUACGAAGAUUGAUGUUAAAUCGGGAUUAUUAACUAUGACUGUGCAAGGUAUUACUGUAGAAUUUCAGGUCUUCGAAGCAUUGAAGAAGCCCAUGGAUCUUUAUGACUGCUUUCGUGUUGAGGUAGUGGAUCCAAUUAUAAAAAAAAACAUUCAUUGAAUCAAGCAUCUCAGAUCCUCUGGAAGUUUGUAUCUCUCAACAUGGGAUGAGUUUUGAAAAGGCUACCAUCAUUGAAGCAGAACGAGAUCUCAAUGCCGUAACGUCCUACUCUCUUAGAUGCCAGCCCAAAUUUGAAGCGUUGCCACUCACAAGCCAAAAUUGUACCAUCCAUUAUACAACCUCCAAAGCUUGAAUUGAAGCCUCUUCCAGAGACUUUAAAGUAUGCAUAUUUGGUGAUUCAGAGACUCUUCCUGUGAUUAUAGCUGCUGAUCUUAACCAAACAGAAGAGGAAAAGUUGAUGCAAAUGUUGAGGGAGCAUAAAACAGCAUUGGGAUGGAGUAUUGCAGACAUAAAAGGAAUUAGUCCUCAAUUUGCAUGCAUCGGAUAUAUCUUGAGGACAAGUCAAAGCCUUCUAGAGAGGCACAGCGACGUCUAAAUCCACAUAUGCAAGAAGUGGUUCGGGCAGAAGUUCUUAAAUUACUGAAUGUCGGCAUUAUUUAUCCUAUAUCUAACAGCAAAUGGGUAAGUCCACUGCAGGUUGUACCACAGAGAUCUGGAAUUACAGUUGUCAAGAAUGAAAAUAAUGAGCUUAUACCCCAGAGGACUGUCACGGGUUGGAGAAUGUGUACAGAUUACAGAAAGAUCAAUAAUUCAACUCGAAAAUAUCAUUUUCCACUCCCUUUCCUUGAUCUCAUGCUUGAGAGACUUGCAGGCCAUAGUUAUUAUUGUUUUCUUGAUGGCUAUUCCAGAUAUAAUCAAAUUCCCAUAGCUCCGGAAGAUCAAGAAAAGACUACUUUCACAUGUCCAUUUGGAACUUUUGCCUAUCGACGAAUGCCUUUUGGGUUAUGUAAUGCUCCCGCAACAUUCCAAAGAUGCAUGAUGAGCAUUUUCUCAAACUUGGUGGAAAGGUGUAUCGAAGUGUUCGUGGAUGAUUUUUCCGUGUUUGGGUCAUCGUUUGAUCAAUGUCUUCAUCAUCUUUCAUUGGUGCUCUAACGGUGUCAAGAAACCAACUUGAUUUUAAAUUGGGAAAAAUGUCAGUUUAUGGUGAAAAGUGGUAUUGUUCUUGGUCAUGUAAUUUUAGCUGACGGAAUUGAAGUUGAUAAAGCUAAGGUGGAGCUGAUUUCGAAGCUUCCUCCUCCCACUUCUGUAAAAGAAGUUCGAUCCUUUCUCGAGCAUCCAAGUUUUUAUCGCCGAUUUAUUAAAGAUUUCUCGAAAAUCACCAAGCCACUUUGUGAUCUGCUUGCUAAAGAUUCUGUGUUUAAUUUAAAUGGUGAGUGCUUACAAGCUUUUGAGACCCUCAAGAAAGAAUUAACACAAGCCCCAAUCAUAAAAGCUCCAGAGUGGUCUCUUCCUUUUGAAAUCAUGUGUGACGCCUCUGAGUAUGCAAUAGGUGUUGUGUUAGGGCAGCGAGUUAACAAACUUCCUCAUGUUAUAUUUUAUGCUAGCCGAAUUCUCACUUAACAACUUUCAUAUCCCUUAGUUUCCAAAAUUUAAUAUACAAAUUUAGUCUCCCAAGCAUUGCUAUAUUACUUAAGUAUUGAUUAAUAGACUUAUUUCUUAUGGUGACACAUUAUUUAGUUUACAAAUUUAGUCUAUCUAACAUUACUCUUUUGACAUUGUCUUGUCCACUGAUAUAAUUCUAUUUUUCUUGUGAUCAAAACUUCAAAUGUUAGCAAGUCGCACGUAAAGUCGCUUCUGAGAGAAUGUGCUCACAUUGUAGUUGAAAGAUUAUGUGGCUAGCAACAUUACAAAUUUAAUUUGGUAUAAUUUUAAAAUAUAGAUUGAGGAAAAAAAGGAUCACAUUAACUAGAAACUGAAAAGGUUUCGGCGCAAUAUGUUCAAGCAAGAAACUCAAUUUUGAUGCUACCGAUCUUAACAGCCUGAGCGCCGUACCUGGGCACUAAAGUCACCACCACACUCUCAUCAUCUUCAGCACCCAAAUCCUCCAACAGGUCCGUUAACCCCAACCUUAAACAACUCUUGCUCUUUUCCUUCUGCUUAUGUGGCACACUCACAAAACUCCCAGCAAACUCGCUCUUGUCGGGUCCACUCGGUGCCGCAUCCUCAUCAUCCACGUCAUUCACAUACACAUCAAACUUCACAGCCACAUCUUUGUCAAGCUCAAUCCCCCGAAUCACCAAUAUCUCCUCCUCAUCCUCUUUCUCCUUCUUGCUCCUCUUCUUCGGCUUCGGCCUUGACACCACCGUAGUUAUCUUCGUCUCCAAAUUUAUUGGAAAAUCUUUACCCGCCACCACCUUCCCCGAUGACGUCGUCUCAGCGGCCUUCGCCACUCCAGCCGCCUUUGCCUUUCUCGCAAGCUUUGUCCGACGUGGCGUCGGUCUAGAGUUGAGCCAUGGAAUCUCAACAUCUUCAUACGUAUACCCUAGCUUUUUAUUAUCAAGAGUGUCCCUCACCGUGACCCUAACAAGCUCAGCAUUCUCGUCAUAAAACAAAAACCCCGUAUCCAACCAAUCCUUAUCGUUAAUAUCUUUAUUUUUAGUCCCUAUACUUUUCCAAAUAUUCCACAUUCGAUCCAGAUUCAAAUGGUGCGCAAAAAAUAUCGGAUCCCUUGCAGUGGAGUAAAAAUUCCCCAUGUCUUCAUAAUUAGGUUGCGUGUUAUCUCCGGUCCAUGUAUGAACCGGACCAUGUGGGGUCUGUUCGAUUGCACCGGCCCCUGGAUCUGGUUCAGUGCCAGCCCUGUAGGGCGAACCAAAGAACAACAGCGGUUUCUUGGAGUUGGAAACCAUCUGCCUAUACAUGAUUUUGAGGUUGGCUUCGAUUUGAGCAUCCUUGGACAUUGUUUCAUCCGUGCCGUUGAAGUCAAGAUCGAUGAGAGUUGGCGGCUGAUGGCUGGCAGCGCGGAGCUCGUCGUAAAGCGGAGAGUCAGGGUUAGCGUACAAGGCAGGGAGUUGCAUGCCAGCUGGCGCGUCCCAGUUCCAAAACGGCAACGCGAAGGUCGGAUCGUCUAUGAGUUUGGCCAAGAUUCUUUCGUGGAAAUAUAGGUAGUAACGAUGGAAGGGGAAGAAAAGCCAGGAUUGAUGGAUUUGGAGCUCGAGGUUGGGGAAGCCGACUUGGUCGUACGCACCGUUACAAUAGGCACAGUGGACAUCGGCUUGCUGGGUGAAGCUACGCGGAUCGUCGUCCGGGAGGGCUUUCAUGAGCUCGAUGGCUUUUGAGUAUUUUUCGAUGUAG